UUCGGAGCAUAAAAACUAGGUUUGAAAAUUUAUUUCUUUAUUCGCAGCAAAUCUGUCUAAUCGCGCAGCAAUUACUAAAUUAAUUAUAACUUAGCUACAGAACUCGAAAUUUAAUCCCGUAAAUUUUCCCUGAAACUAGACUCAUAUAUCUACUCACCAUAAAAUUUUUAGAAUUUUUGGUUCAGCAAAUUAGUACAGUUUAUUAGUUAAAGUCUCCCUUGUGUCACCACCAGACUGCCCUGACCUCUAGUCACUAAAAAUAAGUUUUCUCACUAUAGGAUUUUCAUAUGAAGUUCUUACUUGUUUCUAUAGAAAAUAGACUCAUUAAGGAAUCUAAGCAUAUAAAUUUCAACUCAUAACCAUUUUUUUACAAUUUGUAAUUAUUUUCUAAACUCAGAACAGGGGACUCCAAAAACAGUUCUGACCCUAUCUUACUAAAAUUCACAUAUCUUAAAAUAUAAAUUUCUUUUUUUCUACACCGUUAUUUUUCCAUGAAAAUAGACUCAACAAGCUUUAAUUCCAUAUAUCAUUCACCCUCUAAUUCAUUUUAUACUAUCUUGGGUGAUUUUUUAAAUUCACGUCACUGUGCUGCCUGAAUUCCGUUUCUUUGCAAAAUUUUAUCCUUUCAUGAUUUCCAUGCAUAAUUUAUCACUUAAUUUUUCAUAACAACAAACACCUUCAUCCUUAAUCAUUUUAAUAACCAUACAUCAUCAAAUACUUACACAUCACUCAUUAGCAAAAUCAUCACUACAAACAUACAAAAUAACUAAAUCCCUAUACAUGCCAUAACUUAAACGUGUUUCGAUAUAAAAUACCGAGCAGUUGUAGUUGAUAGUGUGGACGAUCUCCGACUUCUUUAGGAUCCUUGAAGUAGCUUUGCAAUACUCGGUACCAAUUAUAGCCAAAUUCACCAACUUAGUCUUCAACUUUAUUCUUCCCUUUGUCUAACCUCGAGUUUCGUACUUCUUGAUCUAAAAUAGUAAAUUUAACUUAUUUAAUAGUCACAUUCAUCAAAAUAGCCCUCGACUCUAACUUUUUCAAAAUUACAAUUUUGCCCCUAAACUUUUACAUAAUUAUAUUUUUGCCCCAAGGCUCGGAAAUUAAACUUCAUCUCUUAUUCUUAUGUUUUAUAACAUUCUGAAUAUUUUUCCCUUCUAUGGCAACAUCAAAUUCUAAUUUAAUCCCUUAUCAAUACUAAUUUUAUUUUUGCAUUCUAACUCUAUAUUCUCUCUUAAUUCUUACUAUAAACUCAGUUUAAUUCUUCAAUUUCCCCAUAAAUCCCUAAUUUCGGGAUUCUUUCAAUUUAAUUCCUAUCAAUUCAAAACUUAUGUUUUAUUUUACAAAUCAAUCCUUUAUUCAAUUCCAAUCAAAAUUUCUAUCAAAUACAUCCCUAAUUUAACAAUUUAUUCAACAUGAACCAUGCUUAAUAAUCUACUAACUUCCAAAAUUUCAACUUAAAUCAAGUAGUAUUUUGUUCUAGGAUUUCAAAAAAAAUAUCAAAAUUAAGAGAAAAGGGGAUUAAAUUGACUUACCAAAUUACUUUGAACAUUAAAACCCCAAAUUUCCCUUUUUCUUUUCUUUUCUUUCUUUCUUUCCUUCCUUCCUUCUCUGUUUCGUUUUGCUCUCUGUUUCUUUCUUUCUCCCUUCUCUGUUUUGUUUUGUUUUGCUCUCUGUUUCUUUUCUUUCUUUCUUUGUCAUAUAUAUAUAAUAAUAUAAUAAUAUAAUAUAAUAUAAUAUAAUAUAAAAACAUAAUUAUUACUUACGCAUGUAUAAUAUAUAUUUUAAAUUAAAAAUAUCUUAGAUUUUUCUUUUGUUAUGCCGCCUCAACUUUAGAAAAAGGCAUAAUUGCCUAUUUGGUCCUUUAACUUUUCUUUAAUCUAUAAUUAAACUUUUAUCCUUACUUCAAUUUAGUCCUUUUUCAUAAUUAACUAUCAAAGCUUUAAAAUUUCUUAACGAAACUUUAAUAUUAUCCUGUUGACACUCCGUAAAUAUUUUUAUAAAUAUUUACGGCUCAGUUUAUAAUAUCGAGGUCUCGAUACCUCGUUUUCAACCCAAUUUACCUAAUAAUUUCUUUUAAAUCACAAAAUUCACUGAUUUAAAAAAUAUUUCUAAAAUCACACUUAACUUAUAAUUAUUAAUUAAUAAAUUUUUCUAACUUUUUCAUCAAUUUUAGUGAUCUCAAAUCACUAUUCUGACACUACUAAAAAUUGGGCUGUUACAGAAAUGGUUAGUAAAGAUUAUGUUUUGGUAUUAUGUAUGUGUAAAUGGUAGCUAAUACAAAGAAGUAGUUUCUUUGACAGUAGCAGUGACGUGAAUGUGAAAAAUCACCAUAAAUAGUAUAAAUGGAAUUAAAGAAUGAAUUAUAUAUGGAAUUAAAGCUUAUCAAGUAUAUUUUUAUAUAAAAGAAACGGUGUAGGCAAAGGAAUUUUUUAUUUUGAGAUAUUUGAAUUUUAGUGAGACAGGGUCAGAAUGGUUUUUGAAGUCCCCUGUUCUGAUUUUGGAAAAUCAUUAUAAAUUGUACAGAAAUAAUUAUGGGUCAUAAUUUAUAUGUAUAGAUUUCUUAGUGAGUCUAUUUUCAAAAGAAACAAAUGAUAACCUUAUAUGAAUUCUGUGCAAUUAGAUAAUUUAUUUUUAGUGCCAAGAGGUCAGACCUGUCGAGCUGUGAAACAGGGGAUACUUUAAUGAAUAAAUUGUACUAAUUGGCUAAGUCAAAAAUUCUGAAAAUUUUAUGGUAAGUAGGAAUAUGAGUCUAGUUUCAGAUAAAAUUUACAGAUUUAAAUUUUGAGUCUCGUAACUUGAGUUAUAAUUAAAUUAGUGACAAUCAUGCAGGUGGACAGUUUUGUUGUGAACAGUGAAUUUAAUUUUAAAAGUAAAUUUUUAUGCUCUGAAUUGGUAAGUUAAAUUGGAUGACAUCUCGUGCUCGAUUCCGGCGACGGUCUCGGGUAAGGGGUGUUACAAUGACCAACCUUCCCACAUAACUGGCACUGAAAUCACGAACCUGAAAAAUGACCUCGCCCACGACCACGAGCACCUGAUGAGGGUCGAUAAGCUGGUAGAGAAGAAUUAUUGUCAGCGGAGACAGUAGGCUGAUGAGUGACCAUGUUGGCAGAACUAGGAGCAUCAGACACAACUAGUUGCUAACGAGCUUCAGCAUCAAGUAACAUAGUAGUAACACUCUGGACACUGUAAGGAAUUGAACUCGCAGUAAUGAUUGUAAGUACUGACUCAUACUCGGACGAUAGACCAUUUAUGAUAGCUGUAACAUGUUCUCGUUCACUAAUAGCCUCUCCACAACUAAUAAGGCUAUCACAGUAGCCUUUAAUUUUCAUCAAAAACUCCUUUAUAGACAAAUCAGCCUUACGUUGAGAAUGUAACGCCCUUCUAUAAAACAUUAAUUGAGAAGUAGUUUUGCUGCCAAACAAACUAACAAGAGCAUUCCAAAUCUGGAGACUCAUAUCAAGACCAAUAAGAUGAGGAAGAACAACAAUACUCACCGAUGACAAUAACCACGACGCAAGAGCACUAUCUUGCUGUUCAAAACGAGCAAACUCCAGAUUUUCUUGUGAGAUACCAGCAUCAUCAAGAAAAAACUGAGAAGGAGGAACAAAUUGCGGAUCAAUAAACUUCUGAAGCUUCUAAGUUUUUACUGCUAAGAGAACUUGCUGACGCUACAACAAUUAAUUAUGAUCAUCAAGAAGCAGGCUGAUCUUUUUGGUAGAGAAAAACCGACUAUCAACCACUUUAUCCGGUAGAACUGACGACAUCGCCGGUGCAACAGAUUGAACAGCAGAUGGGCUAGAAGGGGAAGUCAUGAACGACUACCUCAAGAACGAACAAACCUCUGAUACCAUGUUAAAUUCUAUACUGAAGAAAUCUUGUAUUAAAUCAAGAGAAAGAAUACAUCAAGAUUAGUUUUUGAGAAGAACUUGUGCCACUAUAUAUAGGCAACAUGAAGCUGAUAACUGCUCAUAAUAACUAACAAUUAUUAGUAACUAAUAGCAACUAAUAAUUAGACUUAACAGAAUUCUCACAGAAGUCAAUUCCUGACUCAACCAUACUCUAACAAUAAUAAGCAAAGCUUUAGAGGCAAACUCUGUAACACCCCUAACCCGUCUCCGUCGCCGAAUCAGGGUUACGAGGCAUUACAAAACCAAGCUCACAUAAACAUAACUUUAAUAUCUAAUUCCAAAUGCAAGUCCAAUUCAUGAACAUAUAUAAUCAAAUUCAAGCAUGGAAGUUAAACUCUUUUCGCAUUGCUAUUUACACAAUAGGAUUCAAAAUUAUCCAAAACAUUAUCAAGCCUAUACAUGCCAUAAGAUCGAGUUCAAAUAUUUAACAAAAUACCAAAAAGAAAGUCGAUAGUGUGAUGGGCGGUGCUGAUGAUCCCCGAGCUCGUAACGCGUCUCCAAAAAAAAAUCUAUAAAAACGAAUGAACGAAAGCAAACAAAGUAAGCUUUUAUAGCUUAGUAAGUCUACAGCAUAUCUAUAAUACAUAUAAAAGAAUCAUAUAAUUCUUUAAGUAAAUUUAUUGAAAUUACAAUCAUCAAAUAUGAUUACUAAUCAAACACUACUUUAUUGAGUCAUUUUGUUUAAGUCUAAAAGGAUGUAUAUUUAUCUAAUACACAUAAACGGACAAAUGUAUAUACAUUAUAUGCAUAUAAUCAAGUUACUAGCAUAAUCCUUAACAGCAUAUACUGAUUUCUAGAGUACUUAUUAUUCGCACUUCAUCGAAUCCAUUUAAAUACAACUAUUCAACUACAUAUAUCAAAAGCCAAAUUUUUAUGCUUAUCAUCCAUAAAUGCCGAAUGCACAUAUGCACCUAUACCCAUCUAUGCCGAAUGCAUAGAUACAUACACUUAUUUUCACCUAUGCCGAAUGCAUACACAUAAAUAUAUUCACCUAUGCCGAAUGCAACAUAUAUAUAUAUAUAUACAUAUCUAUCAAUUGCUUAGACCAAAUAUAUGUAUAUAUAUAUGCUCAUCAAGUUAAUAUGACUAAAAUCAUGUGAUUGAACAUUUAUGUAUACAUCGAUUUCAUAUAAUCAAAAUCAUAGAGGUAUCAAUUGUAUAUUAUCACAUGCUUUAAACGGAUUCACCGGCAUUUAGCCUGCUAGGUUUUAAAACCUGAUUCAAUACACCGGCUCUUAGCCUGCUAGACUUAUAGUCCGAAAUGUGUCACCGGCAUUAAGCCUGCUAGACUUAUAGUCUGAAAUGUGUCACCGGCAUUAAGCCUGCUAGACUUAUAGUCUGAAUAAUUUCACCGGCGUUAAGCCUGCUAGACGUAAAGUCUGAAUUAUGUCACUAACGAUAAACCGAAUGAUACUGAGCUUUAACAAAAGAAUCUCAAUUCAUAGGAGUUGUAUAUCAUAAUGGUAUAUAGAAUUCACAUAAAAAUUCAGCUCAAUAAUUUAUAAACUAUAUCCUUAACCCACAUCGGUAUAAAAAGUUCAAUCAUCAAAUUCAACUCAAUAUCUAAAUUAUACAUCCGAAUAUAUAUAUAUAUAUAUAUAUAACUUAACACAUUGAAGCAUACUAUUAAUAUCGUACUUUCGAACACAUUAAGAUAAUCCAAGCUAAUAAUUUCAUCUCUUCAACCCCGUUCAAGAACCUUUACAAGAACGUACAUACCUAAUCGAAUCUCCCUUUUUCAUAUAUAAGUUUCAUACUUAAAUUUAUCACAAGAACAUAUACAUGCAUAGUUGCAUAGUCGAACCCCUUAUAAACUUGUAUAAAUGACAUACCUAAGUUCAAUACGAGAACAUAUAGAUGUAGAUUUGCAUAAUAUAUAUAUAAUUCACUCAUACUCUUAAUUAUUUCAACUAUCAUAUUUUUAAUUAUAAUUCAUCCAAAAACAGCUCAUAUACUUAUUUAUAUACUGAUUUUAUGACAUUAAAUAGCUAAUAGACUUACCUCGGAUAUCAGCAAACACGAUCGACUAUUCAAUUAUCUUCGACUUCCCCCGAUCCAAAUUCGUUUUCUUCGUUCCUUGAUCUAAACAUAGUCAAAUUUAACCUUUUUAUUCAUCAAAACAUUCAUUUGAGUCCAACAAUACAUAAAUGGGAAAAUUACCAUUUUGCCCCUAACAUUUUGCACUUUUUGCAAUUUAGUCCUUUUUGCACAAAACACAAAAUACACAAAAUUUGCCCAUAACACACAAGGGCCGAAUAUUCAUGGUUCUCAUACAAGUCCACACAUUGCAUUUAUUUCACAUUUUAGUCCCUUAAAAAUUUAUUUUCACAAUUUAGCCCUAAAUACUCAAAUUCAUCAAAAAUACCAAUACAAAACAUGUUAAUCUAAGACAUAUCUUCCAUUAUUCAUCAUCAAACAUCCCAAAACACAAAUAUUCAUCAAUGGCAUAAUUCAAAAUAUUCAUCAAUUCACAAAAUUAAGACAUGGGUUUUGAAGUAUUCAAAGCAACGAUCUCAAAAACGUAAAAAUCAUCAAAAACCGAACAAAAACUAACCUUGAAUUAAGCUUCAAAAGAUGACCGAACCUAGCUUAGGUUUCUUUCUUUUUCUUUUCUCUAGUUUCGGUCAAAAUAAGAUGAAAAAUGUGGCUUUUAAUUUGUUUGUCUUUUAAUAUAUUAACAUUAUAAUAUAAUAUAUUAUUAUAACCUUUAUACAUAAUAUAAAAACUAUAAUUUAUAAGCAUAAUGCGAUCCACUAUCUUGAAUAAUGGCCUAAUUUCCUAUUAAGGACUUCACAUUAUAAAGACAUUAGCAAGUUAGCACUUUACACAUUAAUUAGUCAAUUUCACAUUUUAUGCGAUUAAGUCCUUUUAUUAAAUUAAGCACACAAACAAUAAAAUUAAUUCACGAGGUUUUCACACAUGUAAAUUAACAUAUAAUAAACACAUGAAAUAAUAUUAAAAUAUUUUUUAACUCGGACUUGUGGUCCCGAAACCACUAUGUUCAAUUAGAGUCAAAAUCGGGCUGUUACAAACUCACUCAAUCCUUUAUGUAUUGGCUAAAGUAUUAAAAGUCUAGAUGCAUUCCAAGUGGUAUCAAGGGUGAACGGUGCAAUUAGGUGCUAGAAACCUUAUAUUGCUUGAGGUGUAAUAUGCAAAAAAUGUGCUAACUUGAGUGAAGGCAUAAUAUAUACAUGUGUGUGUUUUUGUGUGCAUAUAUAUAAUAAGCAUAAGAUAUAUAAUUAUCAUAAUAAACUCUAAAGAAUGAUUCAGUUUAUCUACUAAACAUGCAAAAUUUUCAUUUUCUUUCUUUUGUUGGGCCAUAUCCAUGAUUUCCUUAUGGUUUUGUGUUUGUUGCUGAAUACAUAAAUAUUGAGAAGUAAAGAGUUUGAUAUUAUCACCUAUCUUACUGGUAAAGUAAAGCUAAUGAAAGUAAAAGACAUUAAAUAGAAUUUCGAUUAGGUAAGCUUUUUUUUUUUUUUGCUCUUGCAUUGGGAAAGUGUGCACGCACUAGAACUUAGGUGCACCAGGUGUGCGCCUCCCUCAAAAGGGUUUGAAACGCUUUUGUUGUUUGGUGCUAAGGCCUAAGGCACAAUGCCUUGACAACACUGUACAUUCCCCAAUUUCCCAGAUAAGUUCCUAAUCUUCCUUGUAGCCAUUUAAGACUUUAAGGCAUUAUUAUGUUUGUUGAAACCAUCUUUUGAAAAACAAAAAUAUUUUAGGUUGUCGACUUUUUAAAAAAUUAAAAUUGGGAGUCGCCACCAAUCUUUAUUAGGGUGUGAUUGGAUCACCUAAAAAACGACUUUGGUCUACGAGUUUUAGAAAAACGGAUUCGGGAGUCAGUUACGUAUGAGGAAUGAUUAGCACCCUCGUAACGCCCAAAAUUGGUACCUAGUUAAUUAAUUAGUGUCUUAAGGUCGAGAAUUUAGAAAAAACGUAAUCCUUAGCAAAACUUAAAAGGCUACGUAUUAAGACCCUUAUUAUUUCAGAGAAAGAAGAUACCACACCCAAUGCGUUAGGGCACAACAUUCUAAUUUUCCCCAAAAUGAAUUGGGCCAAAAUACUUGUACAAUAAAAUUUUAAAAGAACAUCCACUUAUCCAAGAUUUAAGAAAUCACACCCAAUACGUUAGGACACGAUUCCUCUAGAAUCCCAAACUCGGAAUAUUUCCUUUACUUUAAAAGAACAUUCACUUAUCCAAGAUUUAAGAAAUCACACCCAAUACGUUAGAGCACAAUUCCUUUAAAAUCCCAAACUCGGAAUAUUUCCUUUAUUGUUUUUAGAAAAAAAUUUCAUUUCGAGAAAUCAAUCCGUCACAUCCAAUAUGUUAGGAUACAACGUGUUGAAUUUCCAAUAAUAAAUUCUUAUUUUUUGAUUAAAGAGAAAUGCUCGAUUGUUAGACUUAACGAAGAAAAUCGGAACCCAAUACAUUAGGGCUCAAUUUCCUUGAAAAUCCUAAAUUCAAGCAUUCUCUCAAUUUUGAAAAGUUUGAAAUCGAGUAAAGAAUGAUGUGAUGCUAUAUUAAAUAUACAAUGCAAUAAUAAAUAUUACAAUGGCCUAGAAAUAAUAUAAAUAAAUGAAUAAAUAAAAUCAAUAUACAUAAUAAAAAUAAUCACAUACAAAAUAUCAAAUAGAUCAUAAAAAACAAUUCUUUUUAACAUAUAAAUGAAAACAUGAAUUAAUAAUCGAAUGAAGAAAAUAAACAAAAUAUAAAGAAUAAAAGGCACAUAAUAUAUACAUUGAAAUUAAAAGCCAUACACAUAAUUUACAUAUGUAACUUUGGAUUAAAAUUUAUAAAAGCAGAAUAUAUAAUACAUUUGUGAAAAUAAAAUAUAAAUUAUAAAGUAAGUGUUAAAAAAUACAUAUAUUUGAGCAUUUAAAAAAAUAAAUAUAUUCAUAUAUAUAUACAAGUAUAUAAAAAACUGGUUAAAAAUAUUAAUAUGUAUACAUACAUAUAUACACAAAGAUAAAUAUAACAUAUAUAGAUUAUAAAAAAAUAAUUAUAUAUAAAUAAAAUAAAAUAAAAUAAAAUAAAAUAAAAAUAAUUACCUCAUAUUAAAAAAAAUAAAUAUGCGAAAAAUAUUAAAUUUUUUUUAAAAAUAUAAAUACGCACAUAGAAACAAGUAUAUAUAUAUAGCUAAAAUAAUAAUAAUUACAUAUGAAAAUAAUAAUAAUUACAUUAACAAAAUUAACUAAUUUUAAGAAAAAUAUAAAAAGGAUUAAAUUGAACUACAAGUAAACAAAUUUGGGGUAAAUCUACAAAUAAAUAAAAUUUAGAGGACUAAAUUGAAUGAGCGAAUUACAUAGAGGGGCUGGAAGGGAAAUUUUCCCUUAUCCUCUAAAACGGUGUCGUUCAAAAGGAUUAAAUUGGAAUUUAAAAUAAAUAAAAGGGUAAAUUAAAAAAAUAAAGAAAACUUAAUUACAAAAACAUUAAAAGACAGAGGGGCUAAAUAAAAAAUAAAUAAAAUUCGCAAUGGUAUCACAUUCUCCCUUUUUUAAAAUCAUGAAUAAAAAAAAUAAUCGAAAGAAAAAAAUAGUAAGCCACAUUUAAAAAAAACUGCCAAUCGUUCUUUUUUAUUCCUCCUCUUUCCUCCCCCUUUUUUUUUUUUACAAUGAAGGGAGAGGCCUCUAUUUAUAGUUGAGCCUCCCCAAAUCCAACGGUACAGAUCAAUUACAUUAACGACUGAGAUUAAAGGGUAUCUACAAAUUAAAUCUCUAAGAUUACAAAAUCAUAUAUUCUAAGAUUGCAUAUCAUAUCUAAGAUUAUAUAUCAUAUCUAAUAUUGCAUAUCAUAUCUAAGAUUGCAUAUAUCAUAUCUAAGAUUGCAUAUCCUCAAAAAUUAUGUUUCCAUAUGUGAGCCCGGGCUAAAAUUGAGUAUUACAAUGUUCAAUUAGGUCUGUAUUGUUGAUAAAGUUGUUUAAGUACUUUAUUUUUGCAGAUCAGCUAUCUACAUGGUCAUUGUCUUUGCUACAUCAGCAUCUACAUGGCAACAUAUGAAAAUUCAUGCUAAGUUGGCAUUUAUUUGGCUUAUAGCCUAGCUUAUAUGGCAUGCAGAUGCCACAACAGUAUCUUUAAAUCCCUUAUUUAGCCACAUAUGUUGCCUUUGUAAAUGCUGAUAUGGCAAGGUAAAUGGUGUCAUAGAUGCUGAUAUGGCUAAGAUAACAGAUUUUUAUUGGUUUCCAUCCUGGUCAGGGUUCUAUUAAACAAAAAUAGUCCUUAAAGGGUUGAGUUUGGUAUGGUAGAAAUACAAAUGUAGGGGUUUAUCUAAGAAAUUUAAGAAGGUACAAAGACCUUUUUCUUCUAAAAAGAAAAAUAGCCUAUUAUUACUUUAUUAGCAUGGAAUGGUUUUAGGUGUUUUUGUACUUCAAUUCGAUUUGCUUGUUACAAACAGGCAAGACAACUGGAAGCAAGCAUUGAAUUGACAGGGAAAGCCGUGGAGGACCCAACAGAAGUAGAAGUUGAGCUGAAGCGAAGGCUUGGACAGCUGACUGAUCAUUUAAUUCAGAAACAAGCUCAGGUCUGUCCUUCAAAUUUUGUGCUUGUGAAUGAUUCUGCUUAAUAAGUGUAACAUUGAUGUUUUUCCUGUCUAGUAGUCAUUAGGUGCUUAAAGUGCAAGGACAGAGUGAACCUUAGCAACCUAAUAAGUAAUAUAUCUGUUUGUGUGUCUGUAUAUAAAUUAUAUCGUACAUAAAAUGUUUUCAGCUUUAAGGCGAAGGUGGGAAUUACUAUUUUAUUUUGCUUUACUUUAGCUUAAAUUUGUUGACUUUAUAGCAUGCAGGAUGACAAACAUUAGCAGAGAAACAAUUAAUUUUGGCUCCAAAAAUUAAUUGGUCACUUGCCAAAAUCUGUGGAAUGAUUAACCCAAGCAUCUUUCUGCAAUAACUCAAUUCUGCAACACCGAUGCCAAAUGGUGAAAUGCAUGCAUUUAUUGAAUAACAUGAAAAAACAAAUUGAUAUUGAAGAGUUACUUCAUUUGUUAAGCUCCUCACUAGAUUAAAUAGCAAUCUUUCUUUUAGACUCAUUCGUCCACUCUGUUUUUCUUCUGCAGGUUGAGGCACUAUCCUCGGAAAAGUCGACAUUGUCAUUUAGAAUUGAGGUACCUAGUUUAUGAAUUAAUUAGCAUUACUGUUUUUCAGAACUGAUCCACUGAUCUUGUAAUUUGUACUUGUGAACUUCUUUAGGCAGUUUCAAGGAUGCUGGAAGAGGGCAAGUCCACGAAUAUGAAUAAUGCCACAUCAAGUGAUUUGGAAUUAGGAACAUGGGGUCUCUCAAGUUCAAAGUUGAAUCCUGUUCAAGACAAAAUUCGUUCUGGAAAACUGCAACUUGGAUCAAUGAUUAAGCAGUUGGAUGCUAUAUUUUUGGCAGGUGCAAUAUUCUUAAGAAGAAAUGCAACAGCAAAAGUUUGGUCUUUGGUAUACCUCAUUUGCCUUCACUUUUGGGUCAUAUAUAUUCUAAUGUCACAUUCCCGACCAUCAGAUGAGAAAAGAUCUGGUGCUGUUAUGUCCCUUGGUAAAUAUCAAUAGAAGUGUAGGUGUGUAUUUUGUAAUUUCUGUAUUUCUUGACACAACUUUCAAGAGAUCUAUGUGCAGGAUGUAAUAAUUUUUUAAUUUGUGCAGUUUUUGGCAACAUUAAAACUACACAAGAACCACAGUUGAGUAAAGACGAUUACUAGCAAUCAAUUAACCAAGUCAAAUACUUGCAUGGGAAUGAAUUUUUCAUUGCCUGAAUCAAGUAGUCAACUGAGCCACAUGUAGAGUGUCAAAGAUAUUAACUUUUCAGUCGAUAUUAAUCUCGGGAUUAAUAUAUUAGUAGAAAAAAAAAUUGUUCAAUUUUAACAACAUUUGUAUUUAUGUAGAUCAAGUGUCUGAACCAAAUCUUUCUCCUUUAUUCCCGACAAAUGGAUUGAGUGCCCUAUCAUCGAGUCCUGGGUCGUCUUCAUCUUAAUCUAAAAAAAUAUUUUGAUUAUUUGAAUACGAAUUUAAAUUAAUUUAAAAUUUUUUAAAUUCGAAUUAAAGAAAAGUACUCGAAAUUAAAUUAAUUUAACUGAAAGGUUAUUAUACUUUAAACUAAUAUACCUUUUUAAACAAGUUCUUAUGCUUAACUUUUUACCCAUAAAAGUUGUUUAUUUUAAUGUUAAUGUAAAAUAUUUUGAAUUUUUAAAUUAAUUUGUGAAUUUGAUGAAAUUAAUUUUUUAAAUAAAAGAAAAAUAUAUUUUUAAAAAAAAAAAUAAUAAUAUUAUAAAAUUUCUUGAAAAUGCUUAUAUGUAUAAUACACAAAAUCAUUUUUUUUUGAAAAUACUAAUUAGUUCUCCUAAAAUAUAUUUUAAUUUAUACGUACAGCAAAGUACAAUUAAAAACUAGUUAGCUCUAAAUCUAAUUACUAGUUGUUAUUAGUUGCUUUCCAGACCCACCUUAAAAAAAAAUAGUACACCCCCAUGGUUUUCUUUUGAUUAAAAUGUGUCAUAAGCCCAUAUAUUGUUUAUAAAUUUAAAAUUUAGUUUUUAUAUUUUUAUUUUUAAGAAUUUAGUUAUUCUAUGUUUUAAAUUUUAAAAUUUGGGUUCAAUUAUUAACAUUUUUAUUAUUUUUUGUUAAAAUUAUUUUUUAAUUAAAAAAUCAUAUUUGAUAGAACUAAAAAAAAUAACAUUAUAAUGAACUUAAAUUUAACAAAUUAUUUUUAACAGUGUUAAUAAUUAAAACUAAAUUUUAAAACUUGAAAAGUAAAAAAUUAAAUUCUUAAAAAUAGAAAUUUAGGGAUUAAGUUAUAAAUUCAUGAAGAGUAGAGAGAUUUUAUGUUAACCUUUUCUUUUCGUUAGAUUAUUACCAUUUAUAUUGCUUACGUUUAAUAAUUAUUUGCCAUUAAUUAGUAAAAAAAGUAAAUUACACUUAUAGUCACUCUAAAAUAGGGCUAGUUCUAUUUUGGUCACUUUAGUUUUUUAUUAUAUUUAAUCAUUUUAAAUAAGAUAAUUGUGCAAAUUAGUCACCACUGUUAAAAUGUCCGUUUUCUUUUAUCGGAAUACUGAGUGGUUUAUUAGCCCGUUGAGUGACUGACAUGUUUUAUUUUUUGUUGACUUUUAACUAAAAUUUGGGAUCUCCUUAUAAUUAGUCCAAAAUUCCCCCUAAACUUUAUAGAGAGGCCCUAAACUUUUGACUCAACAAAAAAUGAAAUACAAUAGUCGUUAAUGUGCCACAUCACUAAUCCGAUAAAAGAACAUUGACAUUUUAAUAGUGAUGACUAAUUUGCACAAUUAUCUUAUUUAGAAAGACUAAAUUGAAAAAAAAACCUAUUUUAGAGUCACAGGGUAUAGUUUACCAAACAAAAAAAAAUCAUAUUUGAUUUUAUGGUUCGCAAAUCGCAGUAGAUCUCACUUUGUAGUUUAUCCCCUUCUGUCUCUUUCUUUCCCUGCUUCUUGUGAAACAGAAAAACACAAAAAAUGUAAGUUCCUUUUGUUUUUUAUUUUCAAUUUUUUGCUUUUCUUUUUGUUUCAAAUCUCAUUUUCCAUUCAAUUAAUUACAAUUUCCUUCGAUUCAAUUCCUUUAAAUGAAUCGUACUGGAUUCAGUUCCAUUCUAAUUCGAUCUGUUUCUCCUACUGAUUUACAUUUUUUGCGUUGUUUAAUUUUCCUUUCUGUUUAAUUUUGUUUUUCUACUUUUGAUCGAUUUUUAAUAUGAGAAGUUUUUAUUUCUUGUUUCUUAAUUAUAUUUGCAAAGGACGUUACUUUCGGUACUUAGUUUCUCUCUGGACAAGGGAAUUAAAUAUAAAAGGAACUCUAGUUUUCAAUUCUAAUUGGUUUGAACCAUUUCUGAUAACUGAGGUUUCAUGAUCUAUAGUUUAUCUCAUUAGUUUAGUCAAGUCCGCUUUAUAUGGAAGCACUGGUUUGAUUUUUGUGAAUUUAGAAUGACGUGAUUACUGCAUAUUGAUAAAUAAUAGACUCCAGAUUCUGAUUAGGAUUAACAGUGUAUUUGGAAUAACUAAAGAUUAAAGGAAGCCAUUUUAUUGAAUGGAUUUCAAGUGUAGCAAACUAUGUAAUUGAGAUGAAUUUGAAAAUUAGUGGAAUCCGUUUCUUCUACAUAAAUAGGGAACCUUUUUUUUUCUUAAGCAACGCUUCCAUUCGUAAUUUUCUUCUACAUGAAGAUUAGUGGAAUCCAUUUACUUUUAAGGUGCGGCUUGAUUUGCUACUUGUACUACUUAAUCUUCAGGUUGUGAAUUCUCUGUCGUGCUCCUUUAUUUUUGUCAUUCGUGAUUUAUUUUAUGAUAAUCAACCCCCCCCCCAAAAAAAAGGAAGACAAGCGUGUUUAGAUUCAAAUGGAAACAUUAUUUUUGAAGAUUUUGAAAUGACAAUGUAUCUUUAGGAGAAUAAAAUGCUUUUUUACUUGUAUCGUAUAAAGAACCUUAUUCUAUAGCUGCUGUUAUAUUUAGACAUUUAAUAGUUUUUAAUCAAUUGCAACUUUGCUUUCUACUGAUUCAUUUGCUGUUAUACUCAAAGAAAUAGUAAAAAGCCAAGUAUAAAAAUCAAUAAUCCAACAAAUCCCCACUGUUUAACUACUUUUCAAGCUUAUGGAAUUUGCUAGAGUGGUUUAGAGAAUGAAGCUUGAUACGUUUAACAAAAUUUCAAGCUUGAAGCUUCUAUAUUUUUUUUCUGAAGCAGUUGAGAAUGAAAUUACAAUUACUUUUUUAAUUAUUUUCUUUACUUUUUGCAUUUCCUGCCCAGAAAUGAAUUUUCUGUCUCAUUGUGGCUUUCUUUCUUGACAGAACUACAAAAUGGGUAUGGCAGAAAACACUAACGGAAUGGAGGAGGGAACACUGGAGAUUGGCAUGGGUAAACUACUUGCUUUAAACUAGUUGCAUGAUCAUCGUAAGAAACUUUGUUUGCUUUUCUUUGAGUGGUUUAUGUUUUAACUAUGUAUUGAGUGCUCUGUCUAAUCUUGAGAACUGCCAUAUGCAUUGUGACAAGCAGGAUUUAUUGCAUGAAAGAAACUGGUAAAGUUAAAAGAAUAAUUAUAUUACUUUUCUUGAGUUGAUUACAGAAUAUAGAACUGUUUCUGGAGUUGCUGGGCCUUUAGUAAUCCUUGAUAAAGUGAAGGCAAGUUCUGUUUUCCUCACUCAUUAUCUGGUAUCAUUCUCAAGCUUGUUUAGGUUUGAUUUCAACUUCUUAUUGUUUGACGUUUCAUGCUUUUUCUAGGGACCCAAAUAUCAAGAAAUUGUUAAUAUUCGAUUAGGGGAUGGGACAACCAGACGUGGUCAAGUCCUUGAAGUUGAUGGAGAAAAAGCUGUUGUUCAGGUAUUUUCUGUCUAAAAUUCUCUACCUUUCCUUUGUAACUAUGAAUUCCUAUUAUAUGCACCUUUAUAUCAUGCCAAAAGGAAUAAUGUCUGGUGCUGCAACUUCACUAAUAGCAUAUUCUUUUAUCCUUCAUAGCUCUAAUUAUAUGUCACCUUGGCUAGGUUUUUGAAGGAACAUCCGGAAUUGACAACAAAUAUACAACUGUGCAAUUUACAGGCGAGGUAUGUGACGGCCUAAUUUUCUCUUUUAUGUUCAAUCCUAUUCUUGCAUCUCCUAAUUUGAUUUGAAAAUAGCUUACCUUCCAACACACCUGGAAAAUAAUAGAAGUAGCUGCUUCUUUCUGUUGGGAAAUUUUUAAUUAAGAUGGUCGGUUGGCAUCAUUUGUCUGAUUGUAUGCAUUUAGACAUUAAAAGGGCAUGCUUACACGUUGUUUCUUGAAUCUUGACAUAUCUGGUUCUUUAGUAGACCGAAGGGAAUUAAGUCAUGCAAUUACUAGACCUUGUAGACUUUUUCUGUUUUGUGGUGAGCUAAGGCUCUCUUUUGGCGUUACACUGGCUUUUAUAUUGCAAUAUUUUUUCUUCUAAAGGUUAUGACAUCGGCCCAUGUAUUUGUCUAGAAUAAAAUUAAUGUUUGGUGUUUAAUUCUAAUUACAGGUUUAGUAUUUAGUAUACGGUUAGAUUAGCUAUCUAAUUUCUGCUUAGAACCAUGGUUUGUAAUCCUUAAAAAGAAUGAAACACUGAGCAUGUGAUGUCCAUUGAGGAAUUAUUGAUUGUAAUUGUCACAUCCUCUGUAAACGUUAAUAAGUAGCAGGCUGUUUCUUAUUUGCUAUGUUUCUCCAACUCUUGUCAAAUAACCAUGUCUGGCUCAUAUUUAGGCAUGAGUAUGGGGAUAUCUUAGAUGUACAUUAAAAACUUAGAAAAAAAAAAAUUGAAUAUACCCAUGUCGGAAGCUUACUCCAUAACCGACACUUAUAUCCGAGUUUGACUAACAUAGCUUAUUCGGGCUUCUUGGGAAUGUUUUUGUUUUCCACUUCCAACCUUUCUAGUUAUAAGGUUAAGUUUAUGCAAUCAAGCCUUUAGACCAUUGUUUAUGUUUAUUGGUUUUUUGGACGUGAUAAUCAUUAGGAAUUGGCAGCUUAUACCAACAUUUGUUUGCUUUCUUGUUCUUAUGCCCAUAGAGAAACAAGCCCCUUGGCAUCAUGAUGUGUGUAAUUUAGUUGCCAUGGCCCUGUAGAGGUUUUACUAGUUAUUUGUUUAGUUUGUAAAUGAGGAAUAUCCCCAAAUGUAUUGAGGCAAGCACGUACAAGUAGGGGAAAAAAGAAUAAAGGAAGGAAAAGAGCAACUGCGUUUUGCAAUGUCUUUUGAACUUAUUUUAGAAUUGGUGUCUGCUACUUCCUGGUUCUUGUGAGUUGUGAAUCAAUUAUUGUGUCUAAUGUUUGGAUUAACUGGUAGGAAGCUAAGGUAGAAAAAACUUGGGAAGACUAGAAGUGCCUGUUUUGAGUGCAUUUUGAAUACUAUUUAUUUUACCCCCUUUGAAUUUUUCUGCUCUUUUGAGCUUAUUUGUCUGUAUCCCUUCUCCUGACUCUCUUUUGUAGGUGUUGAAAACUCCUGUCUCUUUGGAUAUGCUUGGGCGCAUUUUUAAUGGCUCUGGAAAGCCAAUAGAUAAUGGUCCACCUAUCUUGCCUGAGGCAUAUUUGGAUAUCUCUGGUAGGAAGCUUGUGGACCAAAUGACAAUUGAACAGUAUAAGUUGCUUGCAAUUGGUAGUUUGUUAGCUACAUUACUUAUCCUUUAAUCUUUUACUUUGUAGGGAGUUCUAUUAAUCCUAGUGAGAGAACCUAUCCUGAGGAAAUGAUACAGACGGGGAUUUCAACAAUUGAUGUCAUGAAUUCAAUUGCUAGAGGGCAAAAAAUCCCUCUCUUCUCAGCUGCUGGUCUUCCCCAUAAUGAAAUCGCUGCUCAGAUUUGUCGUCAGGCUGGUUUGGUGAAACGUUUGGAGAAGACUGGAGAUCUGCUUGAGGUAAGGUUCACGUACUAAUAUUGCUUGCCUAGUAAUAACGUGACAUACUUGAUGGUUUGAAUGAGUUAAUGUUCUAAUUGUAAAUCAACUAUGAAAUUUUAAUGAAGUUCUUUUCAAGUCUCAUUUUAAUUUUGGAAUAUGUCACAACCAGUUGCUUGUCCCUUCAGAAUGAACUCAAAAUUGAAGAUACAUACAAAAAUAAAAAGUUUCAUGUUGUGUUAGUUGCUAUCAGUUACCUCUAGUAUUUCCCAAUACUGAAAACAUGAGGCCUUUGUCCUAGACAUGGCUGUUUCUUUCUACCUUUCGAUAAAUUCACAGGAAGCUGAUUGUUUCACUCACCUGAUUUCAGGAUGGUGAAGAAGAUAAUUUUGCAAUUGUGUUUGCGGCUAUGGGUGUAAACAUGGAGACUGCACAGUUUUUCAAACGUGACUUUGAGGAAAAUGGCUCAAUGGAGAGGGUGACCCUUUUCCUAAACCUGGUAUAAUUCAAUUUGAGAUACAAAGGCCUUAUUCAUUUCAUUUUAAAAUGGGAAGAGUGGGUUGGUUAAGAGGUUGCAUCUACUUCAAAAAUCAAUUUAUAGCUGGAAAUUAGCUUCUACUUUCUUCUCUACAGGCUAAUGAUCCCACAAUUGAACGUAUUAUUACUCCUCGUAUAGCUCUCACUACUGCAGAAUACUUGGCAUAUGAAUGCGGGAAGCAUGUUCUUGUCAUCCUUACAGACAUGAGUUCUUAUGCUGAUGCUCUCCGUGAGGUAACAAAAAACAACCAUGUCUCAUUAGUGCAAUCUCUUUGGUGCACAUUACUUCUACUAGCUGUUGAUAGCAGAGAUGCAUGAAAGCAUAUAUCAUUUUUUCACUAUCUCUGAUGAUUCUGAUUGCUCAUACGUUCUAGACAUCUAAUACAUGCAUUUCAGAAAUUUAUGCAGCUCCCAAAGCUUUUAUUUGAAUGUUGAAAGUUUAUUGUCUCUAAUUAUCUUAAUUUCAUCUUGUUCUAUAGAAUGUUAUGCUAUAUGUUUGAGACAAACUACUAUUGCUAAUGCAGGUGUCUGCUGCCCGAGAAGAAGUACCUGGAAGACGUGGAUAUCCUGGGUACAUGUAUACAGAUUUGGCCACAAUAUACGAGCGUGCUGGACGAAUUGAAGGGAGAAAGGGUUCUAUCACACAGAUUCCAAUUCUUACUAUGCCAAAUGAUGGUAAUGCUUUUUGUAGCUAUGUCUACUUUUUGCACUGCCAUGCUUGCUUUAAUGGUAAUUCUGAUUCACAACUUGAUUCUAUUUAUCUCUUUUGGCAGAUAUUACACAUCCCACUCCAGAUCUUACUGGAUAUAUCACAGAGGGGCAAAUAUACAUUGACAGACAGCUCCAUAAUAGACAGGUAAUGUCAAAACUAGCCUUUACGAGCUAUCAACCUAUUUAUCUAGGAUGCGUGAAGGUUCGCAAAUUAUCACCAUGAUUUUCGUCAAUUUAUGCAUAAAUUUCGUUGUUAAUAUGGUCUUUUAUGUUGGAACUGUUUUUUCUCUAUCCUUCCAUUUCCUUGGCAAAUUUCUCAGGGUGACUUCGGUUGAAUUUGGCUCAUCAGUGUGUGAUUUGAUGGCUCUGUACCUUGUUUGCUUUACUGGUUGAUAUCAAGUCAACAGUAUUCAUCUGUUUUCAAAAUGGAUUUUGGUGUAUAUGUUUUUCUUCUUUGUAUGAAUAACAAUUAAGUUGAUUUCUGUCAAUUAAUGUUUUCUUCUUUCUGAAAUGGACAGAUAUACCCACCAAUCAAUGUGCUUCCAUCGCUGUCUCGUUUGAUGAAGGUGAGGAUAGCAUCCAUCAACAUGGAAAUUAUACAAAUCUUAACUUACUAUGAAGAGUAACCAAUUUUCUUUUCUAUGUAUAUAUUUUCUCAGAGUGCCAUUGGUGAGGGCAUGACACGCAGGGAUCAUGCUGAUGUGUCUAACCAGGUCUGAUUGCAUCGUUGUUGUGAUAUAAUUUCAAUCCUCAAUUUGAUGUUAAGGAAUCUAACCUUUGCUUUUGUUUCUCAAUCAUUUCACCUUCAGCUGUAUGCAAAUUAUGCUAUCGGUAAGGAUGUGCAGGCCAUGAAAGCUGUGGUAGGAGAAGAAGCACUUUCUUCUGAGGAUCUGGUUUGCUCUCUUUUCCAGUUUCUCAUCAAUUUUCACGCAUCACCUUUUGGUAAAGUACUUGCUUAGAAAGAACCUAAUGUGAUGUCCCUGAAUAUAACAGCUAUACUUGGAGUUCUUGGAUAAAUUUGAGAGGAAGUUUGUUACCCAAGGAGCAUAUGACACCCGCAACAUCUUUCAGUCACUCGAUCUGGCGUGGACUCUGCUUCGCAUAUUUCCUCGUGAACUUCUCCACCGUAUACCCGCGAAAACUCUUGACCAGUACUACAGUCGAGAUGCAGGUAAUUGAAGGAGGCAAAGUGAUGCCCUUAGAUUGCCUCCUGCUUGGUAGUGUUUAAAAGAAGUUUAUUUACCAUCAGCUUCAUCUGCUCGAAUAAUAAUUGUUGAAUUCCAGUUAGGUUUCCCCAUGAUAGCUCUUGGGCUAGUAAAACAAGUGAUCAAAUAUGACUUCUUUUAUCUAGAGGAAACCAGGGGGGGAUAAGAGGAGGAACUAUAAAGCCCACCUUGUGUUACUUGUUAUUCUAUAUUCCUAUUUAUUUUUUCAAUAUUUUGUAAUUCAGUAGAUUUGGAUUUCUAUAUCCAUAUCCAAACACUGACCGAGACCAGUGCAUCCCAACUGCAUUAGCUGCUUUUCUUCUCUUCAAUUUAUUUUCAGAGUUUUGCUUUGUAUUGUAUUGGUUUUUAUGUGAAGAUGAAAAUAAGGGAGACGGUGGACGACUUGUGCUGUUAUGUUGAAUAAUGUUUUUAUUUUUUAUUUUUGUCUUUUUGGGCAAUCAUAGAAACAUUGUUUCAUUUAUCAAAGACUCUAGCCCAUCGAUUGCAGUACAUAUGGAAAACAAGAGACAAAGCAGCCUAAGCAACUAUAUACAUACAAAAUGGUUGCAUCACUGUAUAACUCGACCUCCAAAGGCAGCAUAUGUUUAAUCAGAACCAUGAUUUGACAAACCAACAGCCUACCUUAUGGUUAUGCUAUGAUUUAGGCUCAACCAUCAAAUGACCAACGAUGCAUCGACAGUGGUGAGACGUUGGUCAGCCGGAAGGGUGAUCCUUCCGAAAGGAUUAUAGUAUAUAAGCAACGACUCUCAACCAAUGAUAUAAGCAAUAAGUACCAUACAACCAUGGCUUAAAAUUCACUUCAUUAUUUUAUUAUCCAUUAAUAUCCAAUAAUUACCAUUCAAAUGUGUAGGAUUCAUUUAUUAAAUGUGGUGGAAAUCAAUUUGUGGACGAUGAUUAAAUAUGCAUUGGAUAUUAUUGAAUGAAAAACUAAUGGAGUGGAGCCAAACCUCCAUACAACAUAAAACAUAGCAAGUAAUAUAUGCUCGUUCGAUCCCCAAUCUUAUCAGAGACAUUCGCGCCAGCUAUCCUAUCUGGCUCCUUUCCAUCGGAUUGCAUUAAUGCUUUCUCAGAUGCAUCAUUUUGAAUGUCUACCUCACUAGCUCCUUCCAUUUUUAAUGUGCAAAAGAUUUUCCAGUCCUGAUAUUUCGUUUCUCUCACAUUUCCUUCUCGUGCGUGAACUUCAUUUCCCACCAGCAUUUUCACUUCAUCAUCCUCGUCAUCAUCUUUGCUUUGGCUAAGGUUUGCUUGAUCACCAAACUCCUUUUUGCUGAUGGGUAAGGCAUGAAUCUAGUCACCAUAAAUCUUUUCCACCUUGAUUUUUUUGGUGGUGGACCUCCAACUUCUAAAGGCGUGACCUAACCUUCCACAUGCAUAACACAAACCUUUCAUGUUCAAAGACUACCGUAAUAAGAUCGUUGUCAGUUUUGCGAAGCUUGAAGUUGUUGGGUAGAGGGUUUUCAACUUUAAGACCCACAUUUGGUCCCAUGAGCCUUUGUUUCUUUGCUAGAUGUAGAUGUAGAAAGAUGAACCUCCUUGAUGCUUCCUCUCUUUGAGGAUCAAGUGAUCAGGUGGCUGACCCAAUUAGCUUCUUUUGUUCCCUCUCUCUUUUAAACACAAACGGUAGCAUGUUUCUAACUUCAAGGUCGCGCAUUUCGCUAGGAUCUUCAACCGCCCAUGGCCAUACCUUCGUUUAAGAUGUGCACCCACGGCCCACCAUGACCAUAGGCCCCGUUUUAUUUAUUUAUUUAUUUCACAAUCAUAUACCACUUUGCAGAUCAACGAAAUUCCCCUGAUUCGACCAUCGACUUUAACGUAUGAUUCCAACUCAAGUGUGAUCAAUGUUUCAUUUUCUAGGUCACCCAGAACUGUCUUUUUAUGGCUUCUUUGCUGUCGUUGUCCAAGGUCAUGCAAACCAACGCAAGAAAGACGAGAAAACUAAAAAACGCUUUAGAGAAAGAGAAGCCAAAUGUAGGUGACCGAAAGAGAAUUAUAAAAUAUUGUGAAAAGGGAGGGUCAUUCAAAGUAUGAGAAGGUCUUAGAAAGUUCCACUCAAGGACGAACGCUUGAUGGAAAGAAAAAUUGCUUUAUCAGGAAAGCAAUCUUUCUCCUUCUACAAAACUAUAGUACUUGAGUGUAAUAUUAAAUAAAAUUUAAUUAAAGAGAACAGAAGUGAUUUAUUCCAAUUAUGUUACAAUCCCAAACCAAAUACAAAUUUAAUCUCCCAAGCAUGCACAUCUACAUUUGAUUCAAACCUCUUUCCAUAUAUUCCCUUCUAGAUAUUCUCUUGUUUUUAGAAUUAGGAUGAGUGUGAAUAGAAAAUGAUGUUGUGUAAAAAUAAUUUCAAAAUAAAUACAAAUGUUUUCAUGCGUAAUUGCUCGCCUGCUUUUAAAAAGUUGUUAACCGAAUCAUUUAUAUUAGAAUUAUUUUUAAAAAAAUUAAUUUUUAUACACUAAUAAAAUAUUGGCACAUCUUAAAUAACUUAAAUAUGGAUAAAUGCAUAAAAAUAUUUAUGUAAAAUUUUAAACAAUUUAAAAAAGAACCAUUUAAGUUAAAUUUUUUUAAUUUUGCAAGAUUUGAUCUAAGAAACUAAAAUUAAAGUAAAAAAUAAUUAAAACAUCAAAGUAAAGAAAUAUAGUCUAUUGUAUAAACUUUUUUUGAAAGGGUCAUGGAUUUAGAUAUCAUGAAACUUCUAUUUAUUUAAUUUCACAUAAUAAAUGAUGAAUAAUUUUAUGGAGAAAAUCAAUAAGUAAUCAAUUAAAAAUUUAAAGGAAAAAAAUGAUAUAUUUCAAGUUGUUGACGUGUCAAAAGAAAAAUUAAUAAAAAAAAUUGUAACUUACCUAAAACCCACCAAUACCUUACUCUAUAUAUAUAAUAUCUAUUUUAUUUUUUAAACUCUUGACUUGGUUAGGGAAAUUACAAAAAAAAAAUUAAAAUACAUUAUAAUAUUUAAGGGUAUUUUAGUCUAUUUAUUUUAAUAAAAAAUCAACAAAAAUAUACAUAUGAUGAGAUUUGAAUCCACGUCAAUUAGAUUAGUUAAACAUUUAAUUUACCAGUCAACCAAAGCUUCAUUUGAUAUAUUUUACACAUUUUUAUUUUAAUAUACAUAAUUUAUUAUCUCCAUUAGUUGUAUAUAUUAUUUAAAUUGUUUAUUGAGUUGAUAUCACGAGUUAACUCGACGCUAACUCACAACUGAUGACAAAACCAUAAUAGAUAAUUGUAGUGCAUUUAUUAUUGUUUAUCCGUUGUAUUUAUGUGUUUAAAUUUUGUUUUACUUAUAAUUUAAUCUAUUUUUUAUUCUAAUAUCGUACAUAUUUGAUGUGUUUUUAUGAUUAAUUAGUUUCAAACCACAUGUUUCAUUGUUUAUUGUAUGUUAUUUUUAAACACACAUUUUUGUUUUAAAUCUGUGAUUUUCACACUCAUAUGUGUGUGAUAGCAUUUCUAGUAUAUAUAUUAUUUUAUUAGUGUCUAAAAACUAAGGUUUUUAGAUUUUUUUUUUGGAUAUUCUUCAUGUUUAUUUUAUAGUCCAUGUUCAAGGCUUGUUGUUAUCCCUCCCAACAAUGUAUCUUACCACUGCAUCCAACACUUGUUAAUACUUUCAGAUAAUUCUAAGAAAAACUAUUACAAACAAUAAAAAGAAGAAUAUUAGAGAUGCGUAUCAAAGAAUUGUGAGGCGUAAGUGGAAAGUAAUCUUUUAAGCAAGCACCUAAAGAACCUGAAUCCUGCUGCUGAUACUUUAGCUAAUCUAAUGAAAGAUUCACCCCUUGGCAUGAGUUUUUUUCAUGGGGUUCCUCCUAUGGUUGAUGAUCAACUACGGAUUGGUAGAUGUUUUCGGUUAUCCAACCCAAAUCCUACUAUUAGUUUACAAUUGAUGCUGUUUUUUUCUUGUUUAAAAAAAUAUAUUUAUUUUUAACCUUUCAUAGUUGAAUUUAAACCUUUUUAGUCCCUUAACUAAAAGGGAAAAAAAAGUAUUCCGAACUUUUAAAAAAAAAAUCAAUUUAAACUAUUUUCACACACAAUAUUUAACUUUAGUCCCUUAAAUUGUUUAAUUUCUAUUUCGAUCCCUUAGAUCUUAACACAAAAUUUCUGGCUGCAUUCCAUGUAUGGAACAGUUGUCAAUUUUUUUACGUUUGCGUUGAGUGGGAAAGAAGGAAAGAGGCAAAAGAAAAGGGGGAAAAAUGUAGAAAAAGAGAGGAAAAGAAAGCAAAGACAAAUUUGAAAAAAUUAUAUUGUACGUUGAUUUUCAUAUUUUUUCCACGUAUUUUAAUUUUAAAGUAAUAUGGAUUUACUCAUAUUUUCUAUUAAAACUAUAUUUAAAAAGUUUGACACGUGGGUUGAUUUCAAAAUAAAGUUAUUGAAAUAAUAAAUUUUAAUUUUAAAUAAUUUAUACUAUUAUUUAAACCACUAAUUAAAUUGAUACUAUGAGUAAAUCGAUUACCAACUCGAUUAGAAAAAGAUAAAUUAAAUUAUUUGAUAUUAUUUUAAUUUUUUAUUUUAUUUGUAAAAAUUAAUAUAUAAUUGGAUUUGUAUUACCUCUAUCAAGUAUAUAUCUAUAAUUACUAUUGUUUAAAUCUCUAACUGAGUUGGUGAGAUGAAUUUUUGUAACAAAAAAAAAAUUGACCAUUAAAUACAUUGAAUCAAAAAAUUAAAAUGUAUACAUAUACAAAGAAAAUUUUAAUUUAUUUUAUAAACUUACCAAAUAUUAAAAAUUUAUUAAAUUUAUAUUAUGGUAUACAAUAAUUUUAUUAUUAAUUAAAAUAAAUAAUAUCAAAUCAUAUUUUGUAUUUAUUUAUAUUAUUUGUUUAAUUAAUUAGUAUUAACCUUAUAAUGAUAACAUAUACGUAACUAUUAGAUUGUACUAAAAAAAUAAAUUUAUGAGUAUAUAAUAAAAGUUAUUAUGAUUUUAUUUUUAAAUAAAAUGGUUAAAAUAAAGGGUCAAGAUGAUAAAAGAAUUUUGUUAAAUGGGAGUGUUUUUUCACUAGAGCUUAAGUUUUAUAUUUUAAUUUUAUAUUUUUCAAAAUUUAAAAUAACAAAAUAACAUAGUGUUAUAUUAAAAUUAUAUUAAGACAGUAUGUUUGUUAUAUUAGAUUUUAAAAAUAGAAACUUUUAAUUUAAUGACGUUGGUUAGAAUUGAAAUUCUAAAAUUCUACAAAUAUAUUGACUAAAAAUAAUCAAAUUAAAAUACAGAAAUUAAACCUAUAACUUACAUAUAGCACAAAAGUAAUAGUAGAUUUUAAUCAAAUAUUAUAUUUAAAAUUUUCCUUUUAGAUUGAAUCUUAGCUCGAUUGGUAUGAACAUAAUAGCCAAUAUAAGAGGAUGUGAGUUCGAGUAUUCUAAAACGUAUUAUUUUUUUAUUUAUGGAUUGAAAAUGAACUACGAAUAAUUUUAAACAUGCCGAAAAAAAAAAAGUACAUAUAAUCAAUCAAGGACGAUGGCAGAGGCUAGCGGAUGUCUGGUGAGAGAGUUGUGCACUUAAACCGGAGGAUUUGUAGGGCUUUUUGAAACUUUGAAGAAUCUCGGUGGGUUGUGAGAAUGGAAGAUUCGAAUAGUUAAGGAUUUUAGAUUGAUGGUUACUAGUUCUCACACUUUUCAUCAUCUGAUGCAGAAAGGAGAGAAGAAAUUUCAGAAAAAGCUAAACUGCUAUUAGGACUGUUUUUUUGCUUUGCGUGUUUAGGACGUUUUAGUUUCCCAUUUCUUAAUGUAUGUUUUCUUAGGAAUGUUGUUUAUUGCUUUAGGAGCCCCAAGCACCGCCCAUCCGGGUUGCUGGUAGUUUGACAGCUGGACGCGAUGCAAGGUUUAAGGCUUUGUUUAGUCUUUUCAAAUUUAUUAAAUGCAUUGGGUAAUUUGAUAAAAAAUUCCUUUUAAUCUGAUUGAAUAUUAAUUGGAUUGGCAUAAAUAUGGUAGCCAAUAAGAUAAUAUGAGUUUAAGUGUACUGAAACAUACUCAUAUCAAUAGAUAAAGAAGAAAUUAUGAAUAAUUUUAAAUAUAUUUUUUUUUAAACAAAUUUAAUCCAAACUUAUAAUCAACAUCGCCAAUUUUUUUUAAUGGAAAAUUAUGUUAUAAAAAAAUUUAAAAUUCCAUAAACGGUUAUAUAUAGUAAAGAAAAAGUUUAAUAUAUAAAUAAAUCACACAUUUGUUACAUUUUCAAUUGCAGAGUACUCCAAACAUAUUUUAUUCAAAAAAAUUAUACUUUGAAAUUUUACAAGCUUAAAUUAGGAAUAUUUUAAUAUCAAAAAUUUCCAUUGAAAAUUUGGGAAAUAUAAAAAAAAUAUACAAAGUAGAAAUUUGUUGCAUAAAUUGGUUGCUUUCUGGGCUACAAAAGGAAAAAGAAAAGCAGGGAGGUUUUUUUCACAGCUGGGAGGGAACGCACGUUGCAGUCACUGCCUGCAAGAACUUUUUAAUGGCCUAUGCAUGCCACCUACGUCACACUAAUCUAACCCCACCCUUCUCACCCCUUUCACACCUCUUUAUAUACUCUCCCUUGUCUCUUCCACACUGCACCCCACCCCCACUCCUCUUUCUCCCAUGGCUGCCUCCGUUGAUCCUCUCGUUGUUGGUCGUGUCAUUGGCGAUGUUGUCGACAUGUUCGUUCCCACCGUCACCAUGUCCGUCUACUAUGGUUCCAAGCACGUCUCUAACGGAUGUGACAUUAAGCCUUCUAUGGCUAUCAACCCUCCCAAAGUUGCCAUCGAUGGCCUUCCUGACCAGUUUUAUACUUUGGUUCGUUUUUUUUUUUUUACCAAUUGGGAAUUGGGUUAUCUUUCUGCACUGUUUUUAGUGUAAUUUGUUUGAGAGAGAGGGAGGGUAUGAUUGUUUAAUGCUUGUCGAUAUGUCUCUGAGUGAGGCUGACAAUUAAUGAUGCAUGCUGGUGAUGAUUUAAACCAGGUGAUGACUGACCCUGAUGCGCCAAGUCCCAGCGAGCCAACCAUGCGUGAAUGGGUUCACUGGUACGUUGUUUCCCGCCCCCCCUUGUUUUUGAGAAAAUAUUUUGUAAUCAUGUUGCUGAUCAUUUCGUAAACCAUCACGCAAUUUGCUUUCGUCGCUGUUUCAGGAUCGUGUCUGACAUUCCUGGAGGAACCAACCCCACUCGAGGUAUAAACAACUCUCUAUGUAUUUAUAUUGUCUUAUUAUACCCUCUUCAGAAUAUUGCCAUAUUUUUAACUUUAUUAUUUCGAUUGAUUCUGCUGUAAAGAAGAGAAAUUGUAGCAGAAUUAUUUAUGAUGAUAUUUACUGUGAUUUUCUUUUCAUUCUCUUUUAUCUCAGCCAAGAUUAAACCAAUUCUUGCAUGCAUGCAUGCAUCCCGAGGGAAAAUUUUCCGAGACAAUUAUAAUCUGGUUUUCUUAUUAAAUCAAGUGGGUUAUAUCUAUUUUUAGUAAAUUAUGAGUACAAAAUUAAACAACAAAGUUGUUUGAAAAAUCAUCUCAUACUAGGUUAAAUGACACAAGAAAAGAAGUAAAUUACUACUUUCCGUGUGUAUGUGUUUACUAGAAUAAUUAAUAAAAAGAAAAAAAUGGGUGUUGAAAAUACAUCUAGCAUAAAGCUUAGAUAAACAAUUUGCAAUUUGCAGCAGUAGAAUUUGAGUUGAAUUCAUUGUUAAAUCUGUCAAAGAUCCAAUACAACCCUAACAAAUGUUGUCCGCCACCAAAAUUCCUUUUACUAUGUAAUCUAUAUAUCACUGACACUCACUGCAAUCUGCAUCUGCAUCUGCAUGUAAUUAAUAUAAUUAAUUAAAUAUCUUAUUUUGGCUCUUUCUGCAACCCAAUAUUUUCCUAUUUGUAUUUGGGAUUGCAAUUGCAUGCAUCACAUAUCUGACACAUGGUUAGUUGUUUCAACAACAAGUAGCAGCCCAUCCAUGCUUUGGAUUCUCUUGUAUAUAUGCCACAUGCCAUGUAACUACACUGUCCUCGUGGCUUCCAUCGGGACACAAUAUUGACCCACCUUAUAUAAUAUACUCUUAGUUGAGAUGGGAUAUAUAAGAUAUUUAUAGUCUUAAUAACUCUUAUCAAUAAAAUAGGAAGAUUUAAUACGGACAUGCUGUAAAUUGAACAUAUAGUUUGCCCAACUCUAAUUUGCAUCAUGUGUCAGGCUUGUGAUGUUUAAUCCUAAAUUAUAAUGAUAUAAGGUAGGGGGUUUAAGCACAUUAGUUUAAUAUCAGUGGGGGAUUAUUCAAUUUCAGGGAAGGAAAUCCUGGCAUACAUGGGUCCACGGCCUCCAGUAGGCAUACAUCGCUACAUACUGGUGCUGUUCCAACAAAAGGGCCCGUUGGGUGCGGUGCAGCAACCGGCGACAAGAGCUAACUUCAGCACUCGAUUUUUCGCUGACCACCUCAACUUGGGACUGCCUGUGGCUACUGUCUAUUUCAACGCCCAAAAAGAGCCCGUCAGCCGAAGGCGUUGAAUCUCCCACACACACUUCUCUCUCUCUCUCUAUAUAUAAAAUAUAUAAAUAUAAAACUGGUUCGACUCUUUAGCUUUAUAAAGUAGCUUUGGCCAAGUGUAGUCCUAGUACGUAGUACGUUUGAGAAGUGUAUGUCUCUUCGUUGGGUUUAUAUUUGAUGCUAAGUUAUCGAACUUUUAUGCCGAUUAACUGAGCUUCCUUAUUCUAAUUUGAGUUAAUCAAGUCCUUAAAUUAUACUCUCUUUUUUAUUUGUCAACGUUUAAUCUAUAAUAUAUAAUAUAUUUGGUGCAUUUGUUGUACAAGAUGAUGAAGAUGAUAGGAUAAUUAACAUUCUUUAAUCAUGUUUCUGUCGCACGUAAAAAGGGAUAGAUAUCUUUUUAGGAUUUAUAUUUAAUACUCUCACCAUUUAUUCAUUAUACAUUUAUCAACAGAUUCCCGGAUUAGAUGAUGGUACAAAAAUUCAUGUAAUUAGAUCACCGACUAAAUGAUGACACAAAAGUUUUUAAAAAUAAGUAAUAGUGAUUUUAUUUUACUUUUAAUAACAACAAAAUUAUAUUAAUUUAUUAAUAAUAGAUUAUAGAUAAAAAGAGAUAAAAGUAUCAAGAAAAUUUUUGCAUUUAGAGACAGAUUGUAUUUCGGCGGCUCAUUUAUCUAUAUAUAUUUCGAAAUGUGUAAAUUAAUUUUUCCAUCCUGUUAAAUGAUUAUGUGGAGCAUUAAUUUAAAUGGUUAAAUAAAAAAUUCCUAAAAAUUCAAAAUAUAUAUAUGUAAAAGAAUUUAAAAAAUUUACAAAAGUCAUUCUUUUACAAACUUUCAAGUCCAAAUUAAACCCAAAAAUGGUCAUUCUUUUAAAAAAUCCAAAAAAAUAAUUCACAUACUUGAUUGAAGCCAAAAAUAAAUAAAUAAAUAAAAAUUUGAUUGAGGCAAAAAAAAAAUCACUAAAAGUUAUGAUUCAUCGCUUUCAAAUUUCUCAUGUUUAUGUUUUUAUUAAUGUUUAAUUUAACCUUCAUUGUGCAUACUUCCAAUUAAAAGGUAGAUGAAAAAAUAUUUAUUAAUGUUUACUUUCUUUUUACUUUAGUGAAUUCUCAUUUUUGCAUAUAAUUUAUUUUCGUAUCUUCUAAUGGCGUGUAAUCAGUAUUAUAAAAUUUCGAUUAUUUAUUUUUGCAUCCCCUUAAUUAAUAUAAACUUUCAUAUUUGAAGAUUUUAUUGUUAAAUACCCUAAAAAGCUUCAAUCUUUUUAAGUGUUUGAAUGUUACAAAAAAAAUUUUAAUUUAUUAUUUCUUAUUUGGAUCUGUUAUGAUCUUAUUCGAAUCUGUUAUCAAAUCCGUAAAAGAUAUUACAUUACCAAAGAAAAAGGAAAAUCGAGCUCAUACCUAACAAUAAGAAAUGACAUGGGCUUGGUGAUGGCUACAUGUGUACAACAAGAUUGGAAUAUGGGUAAUUCCUUUACGACAGAAGCACUAGCUUGUAAUCGGGCGCUUCAUUUGACCACUAACUUGGGGUUUCCAAAGCAUAAAAUUAAAAGGAGAUUUCUUAAGCAUGCAAUCAAGAAACUCAAAACUAGUACAUUUGACAGAUUAACAAGCGAGCCUCUGGUGGAAGAUGGUAAAGCUCUACUUCGAAGGUUUUACCAUUACUGACUCUCUCAUGUCUUUAGAUAAAGUAAUAUGGUGGCUCGCAAACUAGCGAAAGAGGGAUCGAUGCAGGACUAUGGCCAACAUUGAUGGAAAAAGGAACUCAAAUAGUUGCAUCCAUAGUUCUCAGCAAGUAAGUAACCCCGGAACCCAAGGAAAAGAGUGAAGUUGAUAAUGCAUGGAUGGAUUAAAUUUAUUAAAUUAAUACGGGAACAAAAUUUUCUAGACGUGAUUAAAGUGAUAAUAAUGAGUUUUAGAUUUUAGUUAGCUUUUAAAUUUUAAAUUUUGUUGAGUUCAAUUUUAAGACUUAAAUUUGAUUAUAUAUAAGCCCAAUAAUGUAUUUAUUAAGUUUCUAUUUUAGAGAUUUAUUUAUUUCAAAUUUUUAAAUAUUUCAGACUAAUUUAGCUUUAAGGAAGGUUAGUUCUAUACAUAUGGUAUUUGUUCUCUAUAGCUACCAUAUAUGUUUUUGCUCGACUUUUUUUUAAUAACAUACUCCAAGGGAUAUUUUCAUACAAACUAAUUUCUUUUUCUUUUUUUUUUCUUGAUAGAACUUUUGUUCUAAAUUCUUUAAGAUUGUAGAGGAGAUUCAUCAUAAUUCUAACUUGCGUAAUUCAAGUCAAUUGGGUGGGUUGAUUAAAGACUAAUAUAUGGUUCUUUCUUUGUUUGUGUAAGUUCAAUAAAGUAGGCUAGGUUAUUUAUCCAACUAUUUGUCAUCAACUAGUGGCAAAGUCAGGGGUUGGUAAAGACCUCGUCCCCCCUAAAAUGGAAAUUUUUUUAUUUAGGCCCUUUUAUAAUUUAUAAAAUUUUAAAUUAGUAAUAGUAAAUUGCACUUUGGCCCCUCAAAAAUGAUAAAAAUCGAUCCAAUCCUUAAAGAUAUAUAGACUAUUGAAAUGGCAAAAAUACAUUUUUACUAUCGUAAAAAUAUACAAUUUAAUUCUGACUCCCUCAUAAAAAAAAUUUCCUGACUUUGCCCCUGUCAUCAACACUAUUUAUCUUCUUUCUUCUUUUCAUCAAUCAUUCAAUCAUCUUUUGUUUCUUUUCAUUGGUUCUUUAAUUAUUUAUUUUCUAUUGAUUUAUUAUCUGAUUUUUGUUGGAAAUUUUCAUAUUUGAAUCCAAUAACUUUGGUUUAUAAGCUACUCUUGCAAAAAGCUACUUAGGUUGUAAUAAAAAGUUAUAAACUUCGAGUUGAUUGUUCUGGCUCUUAAAGUUUAAUCCCGAGCUUCUGCAUCAUUUGGUGUUAGAGUCUACGUUUGGUUGUUUAAUCUCAUCCUUGACUCGACAUCAGCUCUCACUUAAACCAAAAAUCGUCAAGAUUUUCUUUUUAUCUUAUUUAUUUAAUUUUUCGAAUUUUGUUUUAAUUUUUUUCAAAUCUUUUAAAUAUUUAUUAUAAUUAUUUAGUAACUGGAUUGAGCAAAAUAAAAAAUAAAAAAUCAUUUAAGUAUGUUACUCACCUCUUCCUAAAUUAUCAUUUCAUUGUUCGAAUUUGUCAAAAGUGAUCGAAAAAUUUGCAUGAGAAGUCGACAACCCUCUCUUUCAUUCUCCAUGAAAAGAUAAAACUCAUUGUUUCUUUUGCUUUUGAAUCAAAAUGGUUGAGAGAAUUUUGCUUGCAUGGAGGGAUUUCCAUCUUUGUUUUUGUUUGCAUGAGAGAUUUGGGUGUUAAAAAUUGAAAGAUUCUUAAAACAAUUGUUUUGGGUGUGGGUUUUGAUUCGAAAAAAGAAAAAAAGAAAAGGAGAGUAGUUUUGAAAACCAUUUUUUGGGUUAGACUCUAGAUUUCAAAAGAGAAGAAAAAGAUGAAACCUUCAAGAAAAACUAAAAAGAUUUGUCUAAAAACUAUUUUCCAAAUUCCAAUUACCAAAAUUUCGAAAUUUUGAGUUUUUUUUGUGAGAAAUUUGAAUUUGUCGGACCGGAUUUCUAAUAAGUGAAUAACAUGAAAUUUUGUACACGUUAUAUAUAAUGUUAUUGCAUUAAAAAUUUUGAUCUUUGGUUAGAAAUUAUGUAUCCUUUAAAAAUAUUGAUAUAGCAUCAGAAAUUUUGGUAUAAGCUAUUGAUCCUCACACAUAUCCUUGAUAAAUUUUGGUAUAAAUAUGUAAUAGAAAAUAGAGUUAAAAAAAUUUGAUAUUAACUUAUUGUAACCAGUUGAUUUUGGCAAUUUCUUUUUAACGUAGAGAACCUCCACGUCCAAUAAGGUUAGAUAUAAGCCCAAUAUGGUGGUUGACACUGAUGUUUGGCGGUGGUUCAAAUUGUUCAAGUUGUUGGGCUCUAGUUGGUUUGACUAUGAAGUCACGUGCAGCAACUACUCCCAUUCAACAAAUUACUGAAUUUAAGUGACAGUAUUAUUUCAUCCAUAAAUUGCAUGAACCGGCUUUUGAACGUUCGUUUGUGACUUCAUGCACCCAUGCUCAAAACGUAGUAACCUUAUCCUCUUUAUAUAUCUGAAUAUCCACUGGUUAGCACUCUCAAUGACAAGACAAAAUAUAUACAUUUGGAAGUUUCUAAAUUUGUAUCCUCUAACUCAUGAAUGGAUAUAUAUCAAGGCUUUUCACAUCAACAUAAAUGGUCUGUUACGAGUCAAUUAAAUAUUAAUUUAAUUAAAAAUAAUUAAAAUAAUAUAGUAAGAUUUGAACUUAAAAUACCAUGAUUUUUAAACUUUUAAUGUUAUCAUUUCAAUCAAAAGUUAAAAUUACCAUCCAAUUUGUAAUGUUAUACUUGAAGUUCGAUUUUGUACAAUUUUAUACAUAAAAUUUUGAUUUAAUUCAAUUCCACAAACCACCAACACUAUUGUUGAUAUACUAGUGUUCUACAUUUACAUACCGCAUACAGAAAUAAUUAUAUUUAUCCAAAAUAAAAAUAAAUAGAUGUAUUUAUUUAAAUGUACACAUUUGAACCAUGAUCAAAGUUUCAUAUGUAUAAUUACAUAUUGGAUCAAAAUUUGUGUAUAAUUUUGAUAUUUAUUCAUUUUAUAUAAGCUUUUAAUAAAUAUACUUUUUACAUAAUUUUUUCACUUACAUUGUGAAUGUAACGACUAUUUUUUUAAGCAAUCAACUAAGACUCUAAUUUAAAAACAAUAACUUUUUUUUACUAAAAGAAAUUAUAAUUUCUAAAAAAUAAAUUGAUAAUAUGAAUAACAACAUAAAAACUAUUUCAACAUAGUAGUUCAACAAGAUAUACUCUUAUAUGGUAAGAUUCAAAAUUAUAUAUAAAUUUUCAUCUAAUAUUAUAUAAAUUUUAGUUUAAUUUAAUAUACAUUAAAUUUGAAUUUUGAUUCAAUUAUAUACGUGUGAAACCAUAAUUUUAAUUUAAUUAUACACAUUUAAAAAAUUAAAUUUGAUUGUUUUCAUUUUUGCUAAAUAAUAUUUUACCAGUGGUUGUAUAUUCUUGUUAUGGAAUAAAAAUUUAAGCAAACAGUUGAAAAAUAAUACUCGACCAAAAAAAUUAAUACAAAAUUGUACCAUUUAUAUAAAUCACUUCGUCAUUGUAUUUUCUAAAACUACUCAUAAUCACAAAUGAGAGGAUAAUGCACUUGAAAACACUUGAACCUACGUCCUCUUACAUUAACAAUAACCUCAUGCCAAUCAGACUAAAACUCAAUCAAUUAAAUAUUCAAAUUUUUAAUUUUUAAUUUCAACUUGAACAACUUUAUUAAAAAAAAACUAAAGUGUUAAGCGUACAUUUAUUUAAUUUAAAAUAUUAAUUUGUCAAAAUAUUAAAACUACAUUUAUUCUAUUAGUUUUUCUGAUACAACUCUGUUUUGAGUUUGACCUAUAAUUAGCUAAUUUAUAAACUGUGUCUUGCUUUUGGUGAGAAACCAAAUAUUUUUUCUGGAUAAAAAAUUAGAAAAAUUAAAAUCGGAAGGAUAGGAAUAUGAAAAUUAUAUAUAUUAUAUUAUAUUUAUAUUAAAAAAAAUUCAUUUCUUAUUUUGAUAAAGCUAAAAGAAUAUUUCAAUGAAGUUUUAGUGUGUUUGAUUAAGGCGGAGGCUUGUUCUGAUUUUUAAAUACUAAUUUAAGUUUGUAAUUGUGAUGUGUGGAUCUUUUUAAUUAUUUGUACAUAUGUUUGUUUAAGUUAUAUUUAUAAUAGUAAAAAUUAAAAAAAAAACCUGAAAAAUAUCAGGGAAAGAAAUGAAAAGUAUAUUAUUUAUAGGACACAAUUUUAGAGAUAUAGUCUAAAUUCGUGGCUAGACUUGCAGUGUAUCCCACUUAAGUAGACUCCAGCAAGGAUUUUUGAACUCUAACUCACAAACAUAUUCUAAACGGCUUAUAAGCAUAGUAGGUGUUAUUGUGAUAAAAAAAAUGAAAUUAAUUAAACAGUAAAAUAGUGAUGGAAAUAUCACAUUAUAGACUUAAAAUUAAUUAAGUGCCAAGUUUUAUGGGAAAGGGGAGGGGCGAUGGUAAGAUCCAGAUUGAGGUCGGGUAAACAAGUACUGCUGAUAGUCUCCGAAGCAGUUGCGGGAUUAAAGGGUUGGCAUGCAGAACUGGAGUCGUUGGAUGCAUUGGAUUUGGUUAAUGUAGGAGAUAGAAGCGAACGACGAUUGUUUGGGUCGAUUCCCAUCAUCAAAAGUUUCUUUCUUAAGUGAAUAUUCCAGUGAUUCUUCACUUCGUUGUCGGUCCUACCUGGCAAUCUUCCUGCUAUUAGUGACCACCUAAACAUUUCACGGUGUCCAUUAUUAGUAAGCCAUUUUGCAGUCUAAUUAAUCAAAAUAAUGUAGUUUGUUAACUGUGUAUGAAUUUAUCAAAUACAAAUCCUUACAAAGAAUUAACCUAAGGUUUCGAACAAGAAGAGAAAGCAAUAUACAUGUAAUAUAAAAUUAAAAAAAACCUACCUAUUUCCAAGGAGAGCAUGGAGUUUGAUAAUAAGGUCCUCUUCAUCUUCACCAAAAUUGCCUCGUUUAAGGUCAGGCCGCAGGUAGUUUACCCAUCUCAGUCGACAACUUUUUCCACAACGAAGCAGCCCUGCUCAGUCCAAAAAAGAUAAUUUUUUUCAUUAUCUGCCUUAAUAAAAAUCCUCAAGACAUAUAUAUGAGAGGAAAUGGUGUUAGAGAAAUAGACCGGCAGCCUGAGGAAGAGAGCGCCAGCAACCUUCACCAUGUUUUAGAAUGUAAUCCGUGAGCUUCUGGUCUUCUAAUUUAGACCAAGCUCCUUUGUUUGUGUCUUUCUUUUCACAACAAGGCUUCCUCAUUUGCAAACCCAAAGGCAAUGAAUUGAGGCAUGCAAAAGCCACAGACCAGAGUAGAUGUAGCGGAGGAGAAAUAAACAAAGAGACAAGUAGUAUAUAUAUAUAAACAAGGGUUUGUGUUUGUCCCCAGCUGCCAUGGCUUGACUUACGGCUACCAGCCGUUGGAUUUGUCACGCUUUCCAUGCCGUUGGAUGCACGAUUCCACGUUGAUUUCAAGGAAAAUAAGUUAAAUCCAUGAUGGUCAAAUGCUCAAGUAGCCUCUAUUGUUUAACCCCAUUCCUAGGGCUAGUUUAGCCCUACUAGCUAUUAAAAAGUUUGGUUUACUAUUUAGCAUUGUUGUGGAAAGAUGCUUUCCAUAGAAGUUUUGGGUAAGGGUUGGUAAGUUUACAUACACGUAUAGCAAAAAAUUUUAAAAAUAGAUAUUCAUAUAAUAAUAUUAAAAUAUUAUUUGUGAAAUAAUAUAUAUAUAUAAAGUAUUUGUUGAAGAAUCGAACCCACAAGAUUAAAUGUCACUUAGCAAUAAUUGAUUGAAAUUAUCUCUAAUCUCAUUAUAUAUAUAGAAGCAGAAAAAAUUUUGUUUUUUAUGUUAUUAAAUUUACAUUUUAAAAUAAAAUAGUUGAAGUAAAAUAAAAGUUGUAAUAGAUAUAUAUUUAAAAAUAAUUAUAAUUUAAUAGAAGUUGUGAUAAUUAUUACACAUUUAAAAAUAAACCAAAAUGAGAGGACUGUUGUAAUCUUAUUUUUUAAAUGCAAAAAGUCCUUUUGUUAGUUUUGUUUAAUUGGUCGUAAUCUUAUUUUUUUCACCAAAAAUAAUAUCAUAACUUAAUUGAUAUUUAUUAGCUAAAAAAUUGUUGUGUUAAUUUUAAAAUAGAUUUAUUACUUGAAUAAAACUUUAAGCAUAAAAUAUAGGGAAAAAAUUGUGAUAAUUAUAAUUUAAAUUAAAACUAUUAGUUAAAAGAAUUGAUAGUAAAAAAAAAAGUUUGUUAAUUUUAUUAACAUAAAAUACAGUUAUUACUUGAAUAGACUUCUAAGAAUUUUAAUUAUCACUUAAUUAAAAUUUUAGAAUUAAUUAUGUUAAACAAUUAUUGUUUUGAAUAUUAUUACUUUACAUUAAUUAUAUAAAGAAAACUAUAUUGUAUGUUAAUAUGUUAAAAAUAUUUUAAUUAUAAUUUGAAGAUUUUCUAUUAUAAUAUUUGAAUUGAUAAGUUAAUAUAUUUUAAUUAUAUUUCACGAUAUAAAUAUGGAAUUUUUUUACGUUGAUUACUGUAAUUAAAAAUAUAAUAUUUAAAAUUUUGAUUAAAUAUCAAACGUGUAAAAUUACAUUUAUUUUAAUAGGGUUAUUAUAAUUUAAUAGAAGUUGUGAUAAUUACACAUUUAAAAAUAGUUAGAAUUUAAAUUACAUUUAUUAGUUAAAAAUUUGUGUUAACUUUAAAAUAGAGUUAUUACUUGAAUAGAACUUUAAGCAUAAAAUAUAAAAUAAAAAAAGUUGUGAUAAUAAUAAUAAUAUUAAUAGAAGUAAUAUUAAUUAAUAUGAUAAUGGUCAUAUCUUUUAAAAGUUCUACUUAAAAAAUAAGAUAAUAUUAUAUUAUUAAUUAAUAAAAUUAUAAAUCUAUAAAAGCAUCAAAUAUAAUUGGAUAAAUUUAAAAUAAUAAAAAUCUAAUUUUUUAAUUUAUUAAGUAAAUAUAAUUUUUAUAUGUAAGGUUUUAUUUUAAAUAUUAUAAUAUUAAUAAUGUUAAAUUCAUUUUUUAUAAUUAAUAAAACAAAUGUGUGAGUUUAACAUUAUAUGAAUACAAAGAUAAAAUCAAUAUAUUAGUAAUCUAAUCAAUAUUGUAUAAAUUUAUUUAUUUAUAAAUAAUAUUUUCAUUGUCAAUCUAAUAGUUAAUAUCAUUUAAUUUGCCUUUAGAUUCAUAUUGAAUCAUACUUAUAUUAUUUUAGAUUAAUUAUCACUUAAUUAGUGUUAUAAUUACUAGUAUUUGAUUUUAAUAAUAUUUACAUACUUUUAUCAUAUAUUAGACCAAUUCACAUUUAAUUAGAAAAUAUUUUUUUUUAAUUUUAAAAACAUAUUAUUUGAUAAAAUUUAAAAAUAAACACGUAAAAUCACGUGCAACGCGCUUGGCAUGAAAACUAGUAUAUAUAAAAGCACGAGUUUAGAAAAAUUUUUGAACUAAUGAGUAUACCUUUUAUUUUUCAUCAUAUUACUAAAUUCACAUUUAAUAAUAAUAAUGUUUAAUUUAGAAUUGUUAGUUAAAGUUGAAAUAAAAUAGAAGUUGUGAUAAUUAUUCAUUUUAAAAUAAUUGUAAGUUAAUAGAAAUUAUGAUAAUUACUGUAACACCUCUAACAUCUAACCGUCGCCGAAAUCGGGUUACAAGGCAUUACCAGAUAACUCGGAUAAUAUACAAUAAUUCUUAAAUAAAUAACAAACAUAUGUAAUCAAUAAAUUCAUAUAAAUUCUUACUAAUUGACUUCAUUUUUUCUUUUUUCUAUUUUUUAGAAAAAUUUGAACAUAACCCCUUUAUAACUAUUGAACCUUCCCUGCAAAUUUCAAAUUUCAACCAAUGCAUUUAUAUACUCAAUUAGACCAAAAUACCCUUUUUAUCAAAGUGCACCCAAAAUGAACAUAACACAUAAUGUUUCCAUUCUAAACUAAACAUUUCCAACUCAAGCCAUAUCACAUAGCUUGAUCAAACCCAAAAAUUCAUACCAAAAACUAACUAUACAUGCCAUAUUUACAUUAAUUGCAUGAGGUCCAAAAGUACCAAAAAUCGUUUUGAUAGUGUGAUAGCCAAUCUCCGACCUUGUCCAAAAUCGAGCUAGCUUCCGAAUCUAUAGAACAUAAGAAAAUGAAUGAAGUAAGCACUAAGCUUAGUAAGCUGUAUAAUAUAGAAUUAAAAUUUUCCAAUUUAAUAUCUGAGCAUUAAAACAAUUAAAAUCAAUUCAUUUGUCCACAAAGUCUAUUCACAUCACCAUCCAACAGUUAGUCAUAUAGCCAAAUAUAUCAUGUCGUCCCUAUAAUUCAUAUAUUCAUAAAACAACAAUCCAUGUAAAUCAUGUAUUUCAUGUAACUUUUAAAUUAUGUAAAUCAUAUAACAUUUAUAUCAAUUUUUUUCCUAUUCGUAUAACCUGCAAUUCAUCGGUAAUAACAGAAAUUUAUCCGUAACUUAUACAUAUCAACGGUAAUUCAUCCAUAUAAUUACGUAGCUUAUUCAUAUAAUCAAUAACAGUAAUUAUGCCCGUUGAACCUAUUAGAACAUCGAGGGAUACACGGGGGAUACACUAUAAGUGUAUUUAUCAGAAAUUCGUCAAUUCAUUGUCAUUUUCGCUCUUUCGAGCCAUGAUCGGUAAGCUCAUUCCGAGCUGAAUAAAUGGUAAGCUCUAUUGAGCUGAAACGGUAAGCUCCGUAGAGCUGAAACGGUAAGCUCAUACGAGCUGUGGUGAGUCCGCAAAAAAUGCAAGAGCUCGACCAAACGGUAACCCUAGUGACAAGUCACUCGUAUCCGACAAUUUUCUAAAGUUCAAACGGGCUCAGUAUUAUCCAAUUUCAUCAAUUAAGCAAUGAAAAAAAAUCAAUAACACAAUUUCUCAAUUCAUAUGUGUAUAUAUAUCUAAUAUUAUUGAGUACAUGCAUUUAAAUACUCAAAAUUUCAUAUUCAAUGCCUAUUAUCAUGCUAAAUCUAUAUAACGUAUAUAGUAUUUGUAACAUUUCAUUUGCAUUCAUGUAAACAGUAAUAUAAUAGUAUACCGGUAAUUUAAAAUUCAAGUAUAUCAUUCAUUCAACUUACAUACAUUCAUUUUUGGACAAUUACAAAUAUUUAAUAAUUCAAUUCUAGCUACACGAACUUACCUCGUAUUUGCUCGAAUACUUUCGUCUUCCCAUCUAACUUUUGUUUCCCCCGAUCAAGUUUCGGUAUUUGUUUAUCUUGAUCCUAAUUGAGAAUCUAAGCUUGGCCGAAUGUAAAAGUCAUAACUUUGGCUUUCUAACCUCAAAAUCGUGCAGAAAGAAAAAUGACUGCACUUUCUGUUUUGUUUUUUUUACUUUAAUUCACUAUUAAUAACCAUUUUACCAAAUUAAUCUUAAUGAAAUAAAAGCAUAAUUCACAUAUUUUAAGAUAAAAGCAUAAUUCACAUAUUUUAAGGUCAUUUAUGACCAGCACCACUAUCAUUGGUCCAAUAACAUAAUAAGGACCUCUCAUUAAACUUAUCAGCAAAUAAAUACUCUUAACUUAUAGCAUGCUACUUUUACAUUUUACGCGAUUAAGUUCUUUUUAUCAAAUUAAGUAUUUAAACGGUAAAAUUUCUUAAUGAAAUUUUUAUACUAUAAUUCCAUCAUGCUGUAAAACUUAUUAAAAUAAUAUAAUAAAUAUUUUUACUCGGUUAAGUGGUCCCGAAACCACUGUUCCGAUCAGACUCAAAAACGGAUUAUUACAAUUACACAUUUUAAAAUAAUUAGAAUUAUUUAAUUUAAAAAAUAUAUAUUUUAUACAUUAUCAAUUUUACAAAUAAUUUAUAUUAAUUACUUAAAAUUUAUUUAAAAUUUAUAGUUAAUGUAUAAUUAUAUUAUAUUAUUAAAAUAUCAUACAACUAAACUAAUUUUUUUUAUUUUCUACUAUAUGUCUAAAAAUAACGUUUUAACUUUCAACCACAAUUUUUUGCAGCAAUAGAGAACAAUAAAAAUUAACAAAUACAUUUUUUUUAAUAACACUUUUCAACCAUACUUUUCUAAACGUAUUUUUAAAAAGUAUUUUCUAACCUCAACAACAAUAGAGAACUAACCCUUUGUAUCCAUAUUUAAUUAAACUUAUUAUUUUAAAUUGAUCAUCACUUAAUUAGUGAUAUAUUUAUAUACAAAUUAUACUAACUAUAAAAAGAUGAAUUAGUACUAUUUUCAUUCAAAUUAUUAUUUAUAGAAUAAUUGGAAAUAAUAUGCUUUUAGUAUUAUUUAGUAGGUUUUAUUUUCGUCACCAAUAUUAUUUAUUUAUCGCUUUUAAGGAUAUAAGAGAAAAAGAUGAAUUUUAUAUUUUUUUUAAAUAGAGAAAAUCGAAGCAUUUUUUUUUUAUGUAUUUUCACGUACUUCACUUUUUAAAAAUGCAAUUAAUUGCAUUAUAAAGCAAACAAAAAUUUAUGUUCAUCGAAGAUGAUGAUGAAGAUAAUACCAUUGAAGAAGAAGAUUAAGAUUGCGAACAUAAAAAUCUUUUUGUAAUAUUACAAGUAUUUAUUUUUAAUUUGAAUUUUAUUUUGUUGUUAAUGUAAUUUCAUUUUAAUUUUUUUAUGAAGUUGGAUUUUUUUAAUUUAUAUUUUAAUUAUGAAAAAAAAUUUAUUAUUAUAAUUUAAUUACAUUCAACAGCUCAAACAAGAAAAUUAUUUUACAUUAAUUACAGUAAUUAAAUUAUAACAUUCAAAAAAUUAAAAAUUAAAUACAUAAAAUCACAUGCAUUACAUGUUACAUUAAGAAUUUUUUUUUUUGGUGAAUUACAAUAAUAGGACAAAACUUGACCAUCAAACUAUCACAACCUUAUUACAUUAAGCAUUAAGAAAAAUGAAAAGCAGUAAUAUAUAAUCAAGUAAAAAUUAGGGACGAAAUUAUAGACAUAUGAUCAAUGCAACCGAUGAUUAAGGGCCUAAAGAACUACAGCUAAACUAAAUGGAAAGUAGAUGUGACUAACGAGAUGGUCGACAUACUAAUAUGACUUUAAAUAACAUGCAAUAGUGUUAUUCUUGUAUUCCAGAGUACUUCCUCGAUACACUUCAAGUAUAACGAUUACCUCUAACUUUUAAUUAGCUCUCGCAAAACUUGAGUAGCAUAUACCUCUCAUUUUUCAAUGCUGAUGUGCUAAUCCAAUUGUUCUAAUAAAGUUAGCUUUCGCAAAUCUUUUCUAAAUAAGUUAUUAUUUAGGAUCCUUAAUCUUAAUUCAACCAAAUCAAUUAAAACUUUAUUAUAUCAUUAGUUAUGGGCUUUUUCUAUAAAAAUAUCUAAAAAUUUUGAUUAUUUACGAAAAUGAUCUACUCUUAAAAUCAUGUACGUAAAUGACCCGUUUUGAACAAUGAAUUCCGGUGCUGCCAUUGCCAUUGGUGGCACCACCCAUCAUUAUCACCCAAUGAUUACCAUUGGUGGCACCGGUAUAAGUAUAUGUAUACCCACCCGUUUAGAAUACCCAUAUUUACUAAAAAAAAAUUUUUUUAGUAGGUGCCGCCAAUGUCAACAGCACCACAAAAAAACAUUAUUAUUUUUCUAACAUCGGUGUUGUUGUUGCCAUUAGUGCCACAAAAAACACUAUUGCCGCCAUUGUCAUUGGCAGCACCUAUUAAAAUUUAUUUUUUAGGGUAUACGUGACUUAUACUGAUGCCGCCAAUGCCAACGGCAACAUCCAAAGGCGGCAUCCAAAGAAAUCAUUUUUUAAUUCUACGGGCCAAUCAUUGGCUGAUUGUGAUGGGUGGUGCCGUCAAUGGUAAAUAUAGCAUUGUGGUUUACUGUUUAAAACAAGUCAUGUACAUGAUUUUUAAUAUAGGUCAUUUUCAUAAACAAUUAAAAAAUUUGGAUAUUUUUAUAAAAAGUCUUGGUUAUGUGACAUGCAUCCUUUUCAUAUGUAUUAAAAAAAGUUGUCAUAUUUUUAAAAAAGUAUAUAAUUUUACUAGUAUGAUUGUGAAUGCAGGUAGAUAGGUUUCUAUUUCCGAGAUCAUUGNNNNNNNNNNNNNNNNNNNNNNNNNNNNNNNNNNNNNNNNNNNNNNNNNNNNNNNNNNNNNNNNNNNNNNNNNNNNNNNNNNNNNNNNNNNNNNNNNNNNNNNNNNNNNNNNNNNNNNNNNNNNNNNNNNNNNNNNNNNNNNNNNNNNNNNNNNNNNNNNNNNNNNNNNNNNNNNNNNNNNNNNNNNNNNNNNNNNNNNNNNNNNNNNNNNNNNNNNNNNNNNNNNNNNNNNNNNNNNNNNNNNNNNNNNNNNNNNNNNNNNNNNNNNNNNNNNNNNNNNNNNNNNNNNNNNNNNNNNNNNNNNNNNNNNNNNNNNNNNNNNNNNNNNNNNNNNNNNNNNNNNNNNNNNNNNNNNNNNNNNNNNNNNNNNNNNNNNNNNNNNNNNNNNNNNNNNNNNNNNNNNNNNNNNNNNNNNNNNNNNNNNNNNNNNNNNNNNNNNNNNNNNNNNNNNNNNNNNNNNNNNNNNNNNNNNNNNNNNNNNNNNNNNNNNNNNNNNNNNNUGAUUCUAACCAGACAUAGUCAGGUGUCUACCUUUGAUAUGGUUGUAGGGACUGUUACAUGUCUGGAAAAUAAAAGAUAGGGAAGUAGUUGAUGGUUUGGGUUUCCAUUCUAUCUGUUGUACAUCCCUUGAAGGAGUCCAUCGUUGCCCAGUACUAUGUGUUCUGUUAUUACUUGAGCUACAUCUGGACAUUACAUCUCUCAACACUUCUUUAUAUAUGCAGCCAAUCUAUACAUUCAAGUAUGAAGGUCAUCCUUAUUUUGGACAUAGUGGAUCGCAUGUUGUGAAUCUGUUUGUUUUUUUAACGGGAUACUGAACAAAUUAUAAUAACACUUAAUAUAUGCGUUUGGAAAUACUUCCCGUGCUUCUUUAUCUUUUGAAUACAGAUGCAUUUUAUUGUUUAUCUGUAAACUAUUAUUUAAUAUUUUGUUGUUUGUGUCCCAUGAGUCCAACCAGACGUAGUCAGGUGUCUACCUUAGAUUUGAUGGUAGGGACUGUUACAUGUCUGGAAAAUAGAAGAUAGGGAAGGAGUUGAUAGUUUGGGUUUCCAAUCUAUCUAUUAGCCAUCCCUUGAAAGAGUCCAUCGUUGCCCAGUACUAUUUGUUUAGUUAUUACUUGAGCUACAUCUGGACACUACAUCUCUCAACACCUCUACUCCAGUAGUCAACUUAUGCAUUCUAGUAUGAGGCCAUUUUUAUUUUGGAUAUGUUGACCACUUCUAUGAAUCUGUUUGUUAAGAGAUAGUAAAGCAAAUGAUAGUAACACUUAAAUGCUUCAAUUCUUAUAUUAACUUAUUUUGAAUAUUGGUACAUUUUUAGUUGUUUGUUUAUGAACUAUUAUUUAAUAUUUAGUUGUUUACGUUCCACGAGUAGUUAGGUGUCUACCUUGGAAUAUGAUUGUAGGGACUGUUACAUGUCUGGAAAAUAAAAGAUAGGAAAGUAGUUGAUGGUUUGGGUUUCCAAUCUAUCUAUUAGCCAUCCCCUUGAACGAGUCCAUCGUUGGCCAGUACUAUUGUUUAGUUAUUACUCAAGCUACAUCUGGGCACUACAUCUCUCAAAACCUCUUUCUAUCAGUAUUCAAUCUAUACAUCCAAGCAUGAAGGCCAUCCUUAUUUUGGAUAUAGUGGAUCACGUGUUGCAAAUCUGUUUGUUUUCUAAAGGGGUAGUGAAGCAAAUGAUAAUAACACUUAACAUAUGCAUUUGGAAAUACUUUCUGUGCUUUUGUAUCUUUUGAAUAUAGAUGCAUUUUUGGUGUUUAUCUGGAAACUAUUAAUAGUUGUUUGUCUCCCAUGAGCCUAACCAGACGUAGUUAGGUGUCUACCUUAGAUUUGAUGGUAGUGACUGUUACAUGUCUGGAAAAUAAAAGAUAGGGAAGGAGUUGAUAGUUUGGGUUUCCAAUCUAUCUAUUAGCCAUCCCUUGAUGGAGUCCAUCGUUGCCCAGUACCAGUCUAAAGUUGUUAUUUGAGCUACAUCUGGACACUACAUCUCUCAACACCUCUUAAGUAGUCCUAUACAUUCAAGUAUUACGGCUAUGAAUAUACUUCUGCUGUGAAAAUAUAUUCUUCUUUUAAAAGAGAUAGUGAAGCAAAUGAUAAUAACACUUAAUUUACGCUUUUGAAAUACUUUCAAUGGAUAUGUACCUCUGAAUAUUGAUAUGAUGGUAUGGGCUGUUACCUGUCUUGAAAUAAAAGAUUCGGAAGCACUUGUUCGGUUGUCUUCCACACUAUAUAUUUUCCAUCCCGUGAAGGAAUCCAUCGAUGGCAAAGGACCAUGUUUAGUUAUUACUUGAGCUACAUCAGGACACUAUAGCUCUCAACACCUUUCAACCUCAGUAGUCAAUACAUACAUUCUAGCAUGGGGUCAUUCUUGUUUUGUGCAUAGUAGAUCACUGCUGUGAAUUGUUAUUUCUAUAAAGAUAAUAGUGAAGCAACAGAUAAUGAUACUUGGUAUAUGCAUUUGCAAAUCUAUGCUUACAUUACAUACCUUCAUUUCAAAAUAGAUGCAUUUUUAGUUGUUAAUCUGCGAGCUAUUAUUUAAUAUUUAGUUCUUUGCAUCCUAUGAGUCUAACCAGGCGAUGUAGGGGCUGUUACAUUGAUGCUCUGAGAACUCUGAGAACUGAUUUCUAUACUUGUAUAAGGUGUUCAUUGAUGCUCAAUAAUCGGCACUAAUAAUUUAGGCUGUCUACAUCUUCACUCGUAUCUUCAGAGCUUAUCCACUGAAGUUCUAGAAAGUAUUCAUGAUUUAAAUUUGAAAGGUUUAGAUUAGAAAUGUAAACACUAUGAGGUUUUGAUACCUAUAUAAAAAAUUCUAUGUGGGAUUCCUCUGUAUUCUACGAAUACUGGAUUUAAAAAAGCCAUAGCAUUUCUCUUAUUGCUAAAGAUCAGAUUUCUGAUUUUAGUUCAACUCUUCACUAUGUUGAAGGCAUUGUUGUAGUUUUGUAAUACUCUGAUGUCUGGUUGCUGGUGGAAUAAUACGAGGAAAAGUUUAUUUUAUAUAUGUAUUAUAAUAAUUAGACAUAAAUUUAAAUUUAAAUUUUAAAAGAUGAAUAAAUAAUACUUUUAUAAAAAAUAAGAACUCUUUUAAUUGAUUUUUUGUUGUUGCUAAAAAUAGGUUACAAAGCGGCUAAUUAGAACAUAUAUGAUAAAUAAUACUUUUACGUAGGGUAAUUUAUUUUGUUUACUACCUUUUUUUCAGUUUUUUUUGUAUAUUUCGAAAGACCAAGCAUCCAAGUGGAAGGACUUGAAUAUCUGAAAGUAAUAUUUUUCACGUAAAGGGAGUUCUCUUUACGACCUGCAAGACUUAAAUAGGUCACUAGGGCAGGUAAGGAUUCAAAUACCCCACCUAAGGGGUUUAUAUGGGGUUUAAAAUGUAACCGUGUGUUUAUUUUUUAUAAGAUUAAAAGCAGCAAUAAGUUGUUGUAAAUUUAAUGUGCAUAUUUUUAAUAAAGUAAUAAAUUUUAACAUGAUAAUGUUUGUUUUAUUAUUUUAAUACAGAAGGAUUAAAUAAAACAAAAAUAAAUGAUGUUUAAAGAUUAAACUCAACCCUAAAGAAAAUUUAUUUACAAUUACUUUACCAUUCAGUUUAUGAUUAAGUUGCUAAAUAAAUGUUCUUAAAUAUAAUUUUAAUAUUAAUUUUUUCUUGCUGAGGCAAAGUCUAGUAUAUGUGUAUAUAUAUGCGUGUGUUUAUGCAUAAAUAUAAAUCAAAAUUAUAAAUAUUUAAUAUUUAGUUUUUUAGACAUAAAAUAUAGUCUAUUAUUAUAAAUCAAAUUCAACAACUUAAUUCAAAGAUGUUUUUUAAAUGAAUUUAUAAAAAAAAGGAAAAUAUCAUGAGAAAAAUAUAAAAUAAUAACAAGUGAGAUAGUUUUUUAAAUAAAAUUUUACAUAAAGCAAUACAAAAAUACUUCAAAAACAUGUUGCAGCAGGUACGAUAUAAAAAAUCUCGAUACCCAUGAUACACAUAAAUAAUUUAUGCAAAACUGGCAUGCAUUUUAAUAUUUUAUUUUACUUUACAAGGACACGAGGCUCUGAGAUAGAUCAACUUAAUAAUAGUCUAAUUGUGCUCUCAAUUCUUUUACACACAUUUGAAACUUAAUGCUAACCUUUUCAAAAAUCCAAUUGAUAUUAUUUUAAACAUCAUUAAAUUAAAUCAUAUAACAUUUUCAAAAUAAAGAAAAAUUGACUUUAAAACCGCAAACAAGCAAAUAUAUACGUUUAUUAUGUUCCAUUAAAAUAAUGCUUAAAAAUCUUACAAUCUCAUUUAAAAUUAAAGGUUUUUAUUUACGUAUAAUCUUCCACACAUAAUAUUAAGUACUUUUUUAUUUUAAAAAUACCACAAAACCCAGUUCUCAGAAUUCCUUGGAUGGUGUUGCUAAUUAGACUUAAAUAUAAAAAAAAUAGCAAGACUAAAUAUCAAAUAUGCAAAAAGUGGGCAGAAUUAGAUUUAAUAAUAAUUUGCGUCAUAAUCUUAUCGUAAUUCAAUAAUUAUAAUAAUAAUGUAACCUAACAAUAUUAUUUAGGAACAAGCUCGGAUUGAAACGAAGCCAGUCCUCUUUUUUUUUCAAUCACCUUGGCGAGUUAAAAAAACACAAAUAUGCUUCUUUUUUUCAACAAAUUCGACAUUAAACAGACUUGCCUACCAAAAAGCAUCCAACAAACAAAGCUUGAUCAAACUGAUUGAACACCAUUAACCGCAAUUCUUUUUAACCCCUAAUGAACAAUGGGUUGGUGUGUACUGGUUCAUACCAUAUAUCAAAAUCACAAUGAGAGCAGCAACAAUAACCAUCUCAACUUCUCUUGACAACUGUUACAUCAAUACAUCUGUAAUGCAAUAAUAGAUAAAGCAACAAUCCCUCCACUCUUCCGUGCUGCAACACAACAGGAUAAGUUACACAGCAAUUUGCUUACCUGCCAAGGUAAGUACAUCAGUCAUAUUUAUCCAGAUACUAACAAGAGUAUAUGAAAACUAAUUGCAAUAAUCUUGUGUAUGAUAAUUUGAAAAAAAAGUAAAGCCUACUCCUUGAAAUUGAAUUAACCAACUGCAUUGAUCGAAUGGCAUGGAAUGCUAUGGAUAACCCAGUUUCAGCAUGAUUUCCGAAUUAAACAUGCUACCAACUAGUGUAUGAGUCGAGAGGAAUAGCACAAGAAAGCCAGUUUCAACUCCAUAAUUGAUUCCCUAUCUACAAGUGAAGAGGCUUGGGAUCAAGCCACACAAAACGCACUAAUGUUGACCAACCAGGAUGGAUCUCCAAAUAAAGUAGGUGUGUAACAGUAGUGUAGUACUUUGGUGACAAAAGGAUCGCACCCCUCACAGAGGGAAGAAAAACCUUUAAAAAUCCAAUUCUCGGUUUUGAGACAAAAAUUUGGUAUCAGAAUUGUUAUCAAGUCAAAUAUCUUAAUUUUCUUUUCCAUCCUUUCUCAGUGGUCUAUUAUGUCCUAAGUUGGAUACCACUAGGGGAGGUUAACAGUGACACAGUAAAAACUUCACACAGCAGAUAUAAGCAAAGUUUGAAUCUCACCUCUAAGAACAAAAUUUUUUAAGCACUACUGCGUGAAGGAAGAUCAGUGACUUUUCCCACUGCAAUGGUUUUCCCUGUAGAUAUGAUAAUUCGUGUGACUCACAGCCACCGAGAAUAAAUAAUUUAUCCACAAUUGGAAGAAAAAAUAAAGGGUCUCUUUUACCUUCAGUGCGAAGAGUGAACCUCCCAAGUUGAGGAAAAUCUGAGAACUUCUCAACGCAAAUCAGGCUAUUGACCUAAGAAGCAUGAGAAAAUAGUAUUUUAUCAAACCCAAAACUAACAGAGAGAUCAAUGCAGCCGAUAUCUUCUGUCAGUAAUCAUCUGAUAGAUGUAACCUACUGAAUGGAGUUUCCAGCCUCCUCCCCCCUAAACACAACAUACUAAAAAGAUUGUGCAUCACACACGCAUCGGAUAGAGUAGAGAACCAACCAUGCUAUUAUGUUGCAAGUUCAAUCUAGCUGGAAAUGUUGGUACUAGGCACCUAUUUCGAAUUUAACAGAGCAUUUUCCCAUUUCUGGAACCCCAAAAUGAAAGCUUAUUGUGGCCUAUCAUUAGUUGGUAAUGAUCCUAUUAUUUCUAGUUCUACCCUUAUGGAAAAAAGGACAAGCAAACAACUUUGGGACAACUGCUUUCCGACUGUUUCUCACUUUUUUAAUCAGCCAAUUCAUCCAGUUUCAUUUCAAAAAAUUAUAGAAAAAUGCAGACAACCAAGAAAGUUGAAUGGGGCAAGAAACAAAAUAUCAAGUUUGGUAGAUUAAAAUUUUAAAAUGAAGAGUUUGAACCUGAAUACGACAAACAACAACAGCACCAUUCUUCACAAAAAGAACUUUCUUUUUCAUGGGUUUCUUUGUCUUUGGAUCAAUUUGCUGUAGUAGCUCAACUAUCUCGCAUUCCUCAACAACAGAAUGAAUGUGCAAGACAGCCUUAUAGCCAGCUGUAAAAAUAGCCUAAACAACGACAUUUACAAGACAGAUUACAUUCAGUCAUUAUGGUCGGAAUGCAUCAAGUUUAAAGAGUAAGGACAAUAGAAAAUGACAUAAAAUGCAUACAUUCUCAAGUAAUUCAAGGAUCUGCAGCUGGGCUGUAAAUUCAGUGACCGUAGGUAUCGGUUUUACUACAAGAAGGGAACACACACAUUAUACCCUAAAACUAACACACAAAAAGAACCUAAGCCAAGAAAGGGAUAGAUUUAUCACGGAACUCCAUUUAAGCAAAACAUACCAACACUUGACAAGACAAAACCUGACGAUAUGUCCUCCUCUUCAAUCCCAGAUAACCUAACCCGUAGAUUUUCACCAGGUCCAGCACGCCUAACCUUAUCUUCAUCACAGUAUACAGCUAAAACUUUCACUGGAGCCUGCAAUCCAUGCAUAAAAUCUUCAUACCCAUAAGAUAAAAAUGAGCAUAUAUACAUAAAUAAUGAAAAGGUUGAAAAGAUAAAGCACCUUGUUUGGCAUAACUAAUAAGGAAUCACCCUCACAUAUGCUUCCAGAUUCUACCUUUCCCAUAACAACAGUUCCCAUGUCUUUAAAUUUGUCAAUUAUAGGCAUCCUAUAGAGAUGAUAGCAAUCAUCAGAUGCAUCAAAAAAUAAGAUAACCAAAAAAUUGAUUAUGCAUGCUACUGUUAGAUGGCAGGAAGCCAGGAAAUAGAACCAAACAUAAAAGUUGAGCAUGCAGUGAAUCCUGCUAAGGAAGAUAGGCUUUAGAUCACUUACCUAUAUGAACCUUUUGGAUCUCUGACAGGAACUUCAACAGAAUCGAGGGCCUCAAAUAGGCAGGGACCAUUCCACCAAGGACAUAUAUUCUUAUCUACUCUAGUUUUCAUGUUAGUACCAACAAGACCAGAUAUUGGUAAGAACUGGACAUCUGCAAGUUCAAACAGGAGAAACCAAUGAAAUACAAGUGGUUUUAAAGCGUAAAAUAUAUGCUCAGCAAACUAAGCAAGUCUCCAACAUGGGAACAUAAGCUUCACUAACAUAUAAAAACAUGAUAUCAUCAUCUGAUCCUAUUAAAAGUUAUAAAUUGAAAUCAAUAAAUCAACAUUUCAAUAUCAGUAAUUUUGGGAGACAAAGCCUAUUAGACAUAAAAUUACAUUGCAACUACGCAGAACAGAACAUAAUGCAAAGAAAAAGUAAUCAAAUGUUACACAAGUUUUUGGCAAGAAAAAAGCAUCCUAGACAAACUAGCAGGAACUAUUUACUUCUAUUCCACAAUUUUAGCUUCAAAAUAAUUUAAUAGAAACACCUGCUGAAGGCCGAACAACCAUAUUGAAACUACAUAAGUACCAUCAGGUGAUAAAACAGAGUUCUAUAACUACCAUAUCAGACUAAGAACCUGAAUAUAUACUGUAUGCAGCAUUGACUUUAUUAGUUUGUCGAACAGCACCUAGGUUUCCUAGACAAACUGACAGCAAUUUACUUCUACUCCACAAUUUCAACUCCAAAAUAAUUUGAUAAAAGAAUAUAUUGCUAAAUAGCUAAACGUGUGUUAAAACGACAAUAGGUAAAAUUUCUUUGGAAGAUCAUAGCAGAGUUCUAUGCUAUCAUAUCAAACUAAAAAACCCUGAAUAUGUAUGCCUAUAGACAGCAGAAAACAAGUCCGGUCACAUAAGCAACCAUGAACAUAAUACAAAAAAUGCAAGGGACCUUUGCAAAUUAAGCACUUCAAUAUCCCAAAAGUCAUGGUAAUAACAUACGUAAAUGGUUCAACAAGCUUGAAAAUAUCACCAAGACAAAAUGCAACUUGGAAGUUAUUUAACAGUUUCAAUACCUUUCUUCACAUUGUAGCCAGAUGACCUGAGAAAAGGUACCAUCUUUGAUUCAAUUUCAUCAUACCUGUGAAAGGACUCCAUCAGUACUAUUAAACAAACCAAACUACAACAUAAACUACACAAUAAGGACAGCACAAAAGCUUAGACUUUUUACAGAACCCAGUCAAAGUACCUUUCUUUAGACCAGUUGACAGUGUGAUCAUCCAUCUUAUUAACUACUACAAGUAGCUUUGACACACCCAAAGUCUUUGCGAGCUGCACAUGUUCACGGGUCUGCCCACCCCUCUCAUAUCCAGUUUCAAAUUCCCCUUUACGAGCAGAAAUCACCUAAUUAAGAAACCGUGGACAUUUAUGAAAUCCAAAUCUACAAUAUAUACACUAUAUUAGGCAGUUAAUGGAGAGACAGAGGAUGCGACUUACAAGCACACCAAUAUCAGCUUGAGAUGCCCCACUGAUCAUAUUUGGGACAUAACUCUUGUGACCCUAAGUAGCCAAUGCAAAAGUGUAUUUAGUUUUAAUAAACAAAAUUGCAUCAAAAUCUAUAUUCAAAAUAAAAAGAAUCUGGUCAAAAAUCAAAAUGACUUUGUUCAGUUCCAUUUUUUAUUAGAUAUAAGCACAUUAAUCGCAGUUAGACAAUACCCUAAGGCAUAUCUAAUGAAAAGUAACAUGAUAUGGAAACAUUUGGUUUUAUAUUUUCUGUUACUUUCUCUCUUAUUUAUGAGCAGCAUCAUUAUAUAGCAAGAGAGCAUGCUAUUUGCAACCUUAUAAGACAAAUUUGUGAUGCACUAUUAAAUUGAUCCUGCAAUUUUAAUCAUGUACGAUAUAUUUUUAAUAUCAAAAAAGGCAUGUGAGGAGCAACAUAGGUACUAAAGAAAGCAAUUCAACUAAACAAAAAAUCAAGACUCAGAAAAAAAUCUCAAUUUACAAAGUAAAAUAGUAAAAUAAAUGAGAUUAUCAGCUUAUUCUACAAAUAAUUAAAUGUGCCAUUUGAAGGUAAGAUAAAUUAAAGAAAUAACAGUGUAUUUUAGAGGCAGUUCCCUUACUGGUGCAUCCAAAAUGGUAAAUCUAGUUGUCUCAGUCUCAAACUGUGCUCUUCCAACUUCAACAGUUUUACCCUGCAAUCAAUAGUUCGAAUUCAGUUAACUCCUGGAGUAACAACUGCAGUCUAGCUAAUCAUGAAUAACCGUUGACAGUAUGACAGGAGAUAUACAAGGAAUUAACUAUACUUUCACAAAGUUUAUAACAACAUUUCCCCAUUGUACACUACCUUAACCCUCUCCUCUUCAUUAGUGUCCAUAAUAUAUGCCAUAUACCUAACACAUGAAAAGUAGUUCAGUCAGAUAAUGCAAAAGCCAAAGAUCCCCAGUCUGUAAGACAUUUUCAUUGAGGUAAUUGAUCAUGUGCUGAAUUAAGCAAAUCUUAAAGAGUGGCAGGUGAGUGGGUAUGUCAGUUUGAGAGAAAAAGAGAUAAGAAUCUCAACAUCAAUAGAAUGAAAUUUCCUACUGACAAAUCUGCAAGGCAAUUGGAAAUAAUUUUAAAAACGGUGAACCAGUGUUAGUUCUCAAAAGAUGCAAAUUGCAGAAUGGAUCAAUUGUGAAAAGAUACACAUACUAAAGUAUAAAUGAAUCUUCAAGAGCAAUAAAAUAAUAAAAUAGACAAAAAGAACUUUUCAGCACUUACAGCAUCCAAGAAAAAGUAAAAAAAAAAAAUGGAAAUGGUUUCCAAUUUGAUAACAAAUUAAUAACAAGCCAAUAACUUGUCCAAGUACUGUAAAUUCCUUUGACAACUACAUCUUUAGUACACUUAAUAUUGAUGAAACCUUCACAUAGCUUGGAUGGAGGAAAAGAGGACUCAACCCAUCAAUCUCUCCCCUAUACAUGCCUUUCAGCUGGAAGGACAGCUAAUACAGUGCCUCCAUGGAUGCCAGUCAUCUAGUCACUCAUUUAAGUCAUGGGUUAAAUCCUAGUACUACCAUGUUUGAAUUAGAUUGAAUCUUGGCUCACAAUUCUUGCUGUCUCGGUCAGAAACACUCCACAAUUUCAAACCUGCUAAUGUGAACCGUAGAUCAUACUCCCUCUGUCCCAGUAAAAAAGCCACAAUUGACAUUUUUUAGGUCGAACUUUUCAAACUUCAACUUCAAUUAUUUUAAAUAUUUUAAUUUAGAUUUUAUAAAAAGAUAUAUCUAAAACUUAUUUCAUUGAAAGUUUUUAAUGAAUUUUUUCAAAAUUAUAUUCAUAAUAAACUUUAAAGAAUAAGAGGUUAAAGUUGAAAAUUUUUUACCACUAAAAAUAAAAAAGUUACAAAUUUACUGGGAUGGAGGGAGUAUCUCUCAAUCUCAGCAUUCACUUCAUGCAGAUUGACUAUAGGAAACUAAUCUAAAAUUGAUAUAGUGAAGAUUAAUACAAGCAAAACAAUUACUUAACUGUUUCAUCACAGACAGAUACAAAGAAACGUUCCAAACAAAGUUCAUACAGCCUAAAUUCCAACAUGUGCAUGCUCUUUAGAGAAAACAAAUAUAGAAGGAACAGCACUGAUUUACUAUCCAAGUUAUAUACCAAACCUAAGCCUCACCAGCUUUCUCUACUUUUAUCCUUAGCUUCUUUCUCAUACUUCUGGAUCGUACGGUCAUCAACCUGACCACUGAGGAAGAGUAUCUGGCCUCCAGUUGUUGACUUGCCAGCAUCUAAGAAUCAAAUAAAAGAGUCAAAACAUACAAUGGAUAGAAAUAAUGUGUUUCAGUACAAAAGCAUUGAUUAUGAGCAGUCUUUGAUAAUGCUUAUUUAUUAAAAUAAGCUGAUAUAGGAUCUUUUAAUGAAGAAGCUUGAGAAGACAUGUUGCGACUAAUCAGCAGUGACUAGGCAUUGGUUAAACAUCCUUUGAGAGAGGUUGUUCGAAUUUUCUCAUUUACAGCUUUGAAAUACAUUAACCAUUUUUUCUUUUAAUCUACCAUAAUCCAAUUCCUAACAGUCGGUCCCGUUAAUAAUUAAACUUAUAACAGCUUUUCACAGAAUUCAUGCAUGUUGCUAAAUUGACUAAACUCAGUGAAGCACAUAAUAAAUAAGGGCUUGGAGAGGAUAAAAGUACAAAUUUCCACUGUUUCCUAGGUUAGCAUAAGCGGUUCAAUAUUGAACGUAGAUGUGUAAUGCAUGCCAACUUUCACAUAAGCAAAACCAUGAAGUAGGAAUACCUACCAACAUGACCAAUAAAGACCACAUUCAAGUGGCGCUUCUUUUGUGAUUCCAUUUCAUCUGGUACUUCUGCACAAUCCAUAUCAGCUACUUCCUUGUCUUUCACUGCACAACAAAACUAAAAUUGAGAACAAGAAAAAUGAAAAUUGGAAUAUUAAAGUGACAGGAAUAAUAGAGGUAAGCACGGGAAGGCAGAGAAAAGGGAAUGAAAAAACCUUUUGGCUCAGCCUGGACUGGCUGAGAUUUAGUAUCAACCUCAUCCGUCAUACCUGAAAUCAAAAAUAGAAAAGAUCCCAAAACUUUUCAAAAUGAAACUAAAACAAUAAACAAAAGUUCAUGAUGAACAGAAAAACAUGCAGCAUUUUAGCAAAAGAAAGAGCAAGGAGAAAAUUUAGAGAAAAAGGUUAGCACAAUAAGCAUCUGAGUUGCACCUGCUUUGGUGUCUAAAUUGGAAAAAGAGGUAAAAAUACCAACAAUUCAUAUACAGCAGCCCAUUAUAAAUGAUAAUGUAAAAAUAGAGAUGGUCAACAAAAGAUAUAGGUAAUCAAGAAAGAAACAAAUAUACAGUGAUACAUGGACUCUUCAGUUCAUCCUACCAUAACUUUAUCCCCCUAUUCUUGAAUGCUUUUAGUUCAUAGGAAAUGAUGAACAGUUUCAAAAGAAAAGACAAAAAGUUAUGCCUAACAUAUAAAAUGCCUGAGACCAAGUCCUAAAUCAAUGUAACAUAGCUGAAGUAAACCCAAACCUAAUUCAAAUCAGCUCUACAAUUCACAAACAGACACAGUUUCAUAUCCCAUGUAAGACACAAGAAAACACAUCACCUAGAGACUCAUAUCACUUUUGCACACAAAAAAAGGAGUCGUCCAUGAAUUAUAUCUAAAAGCUUCUAAUAAAACCUUGUAAAACAGUUUAAUAUCUAUUAUUUAUUCAAUCUUACUGUAACUUCACAGAAUCAACGAAACUUAUUUCGUAUAAGAACUCUUAAAUGCCAUUUUGGAGAUAGAAAUAACUGUAGUCAACCAAGUUUACAAUUUAUAAUCUUGAAUGAAUUUCCACAAUGACAACCUCUCCUCUAUUCUCUAGCUCUCCAAUGCCUUCAUUAACAUAAGAAGAUAGGCACCACUUAAAUACAAAGUUCAACAAAACUACCAACCUUCCUCCUCCACCUUAUCUGUCAUUUCAACUUCUUCUGGUUUUGCAUCUUCAGGAAUGAGCGUGGCAUUAUUAUCUUCUGUUAAGAUUCAAUAAUAAAACUCAAAAAAAGAAAAGUGAUUCCAAAAAAAAAAAAAGGAAAACCAAAACAUAUAUCUUAUUCAUAAAUGAAAACAAGAGUACACUACCAGCAGAGUCAAGCUGCAGUGCACGGAUCUCAGCCUCAAUAUCUACAAAUUAGAAACCAAAAACAAAAUAGAGAGAAAUUGUAGACACGUUAAUUCCGAAAGUUGUCAAUAUUAACCUCCGCAGCACAUAUAGAAGCUAAAGCGAGUUAAAAGAAAUAAUGAAAUUAUUAUUACAAACAAAUUCCUAUAAUUUAUAGCCCUAUUCCAGUAAGAAGAAUUUUAGUUACUCAACUAAAGUUCAAUUCAGCUCAUAUUUACAAAAGGCAAAAUAUCUCAAUAAUGAGAAACCGUCACUCACAUCUGCUAAAACGCAUUGAAAACUACAAUUAAUAAAAAUCUUGUAAUUAGAAAAAAUAAAAAGCAUAUAAUUGAGUGAACUUUUCGACAAAAACAGAUCAAAACUGAAGCAAUCAGCGAGUAAAUCAAGCAGAUCCGGAAUUAAGGAAAGCAAACACAAUCAAUACUGAUUGUAAGAAUAAAGAGAAAAUCAUGAAAUGAAAGGUCCAGAAAGAAAAACACUGAGAGACUUACCCAUGGAUGCCGAGAGUAAACGACAAUGUCUGUGGAGUAUGUACGCUAGGGUUUUGUGGCAAAUAGGGCGGCGCUGGUUGCUCGGGAGCUGUUCUUUCUUUCUUUUUUCUUUUCUAGUGUAGAAAAGAGAAUGACCCAAGAAAAUUUUUGGUUAUAUAUGAGAUAUCAAUUCUUUAGCAUUUUAUCGUGGCAUGGAUGGCGAGCACCAUGAGGAAAGCAAUUACCCGGCUCAAUAACUUUUGACAAUAAUUUCAUAAGUUGAUAACGAACUUUUUCAAAUAACAUUGUUCCCCCCGGCCCAAAAAAUAUAUUUUGUUUAUAUUUUUUUUUAAUAAUUUGAAAGAUUAAAUAGGUAUAAUUUUAUAUUAACUACAAUAUUAUCAUAGAUUCAAUAAUAUAUUUUACUUUUUAUUUGAUUUUUUUAUGCAUUUCUAAGUGGUUAUUAUCAAACCAAUAUUUUCAGGAAAAAUAAAAGAAACCAAAGUGAAAUAAAAAAAUUUAUUAUAAAAAAUUAAUUUACAUGUUAUAAAAGUGUUAUAAUAUAUUUAUUUACAAAAAAAAUUUAUGGACAUAAUUUUUUUUCAUCUUAUAUGUUAUAAAAAUAAUAUACUUGUUCAUAAAAUUUUUUUAUAGUUUUUUAUCAUAACUUAUUUAUAAGAAAAUAACUUUCUAAAGUUAUGACAAAAAUAUAUAUUGUUUAUAAGAAGUGUUAUAAAAGUUUUGGAUAAUUUAUAAAAAAAAUUAUAAAAGUUAUAUAUUAUAAAUUUUAUAUUAUUUUUACUUAAUAAGGGAUAUAACCAAGCAUAAGUUUUUCUCUAAAUUAUUUUAUAAGGUUUUAUAAUUAGAGUUUAUAUAAGGAUUAUGCUAAUUAUGCAAAUAUAAAAUAUUUUCUUGCAUCAUGUCGUGGAGUAUAAUAUCAUUUAAGAGAAUUAUGCUAGACACAAGCAUCAUAGAAAGUUCGCGAACUCUUUAACUUGAGACAUUUAAAAUUUUGAAAUGUGGUUGAUAAGAUAUUUAUUGUCCUAAAAAAACAUUUUUUCCUCUUAACAACAUCACUAAUAUUUUUUGUGAUUAAAAGACAUAUAAUGAUUUGAUAAUAAUUUUUGUUAUUUAUUUAGAAAUUUUUUAUCCUAUUAAUAAUUUUUACAAUAAUUAAUAUUUUUUAAAAUAUAAAUUACGUAGCCGUGUAAGUACAAUUUGUACUAUCAAACAUGACAUAGGGAAUUACGAUGUAAUUAAACUCUGUCAGUUAAACACGUAUAGCGAAUUACAUUUAAUUGCAAUUACAAAAAAAUGUAAUUACUACCCUAAUAAUUACAUUUCCAUCCAAUUCAUUGUGAUGUCCAAGCAGAUAUCUUCAUAAAAAAAUUUAUUAUUUCACAUAAAUUAUUGAUUAAAAACUAAUAAAUACAAUAAAAAGGAAAAGUCCAAACUCAUAAUAUUAAAAUGAAAAAUACUUACCAUAUAGUUGAAAAUGUAGCCAUUGUGAAAUAUAAAUAUAUAAAUAUAAUUUUAUAAUAAUAAUAAUAAUAACAUAUAAUAAUUAAUAAAAAUUUAAAAUACCCAAUUUGUUAAAAAUAAUAACAAAGAAUAGAAAGAAUAUCAAUUAAUUGAAUUUUUAAAAUACCCAAAUUACUCAGACGAUUUGGAAAUACAUAAUACGCCUAAUUUGUCCCUAAUUACUCUUAAAAGGAGUUAAAAGAAAAAGUCAGCAAUGAACUCAAACUAUUUUUUUUUUAAUUGUAUACAAGCUUGGAGGAUUAUCCGAAAAGAAAGCUAGAUAUCGAUCAAACAUUGGCAAGGAAAUAGUACAAGAAGACUAAAUUCAUGGAGACUAGGUUGAAAAAACACAUUCAUAGUUGUUCAAAUGGAUUAAUUGCCAUAUUAGUCCUUUUUAAGAUUUUAUAAUUCAAUUCUUACUUUGGUCCCUCAAAAAAUAAUAUUUUAUUUCGACUCAUUUAAUAGAAAUUUCUGACUUUGCCCUUGUAGUUAACAGAAAUAUCAGACAAAUUGAUAAAAGGGAAGCUAGUUGUAAUCAACGAGCAACAUGUGCUAAGAUCUAAUGGUCAAAGAGAAAACAAACUGAUGUAAUGACAUUUUGAAAUAUGGUAGCAUGCAUUGCUUAGAAAACAUAAGGAAUAGACUUUACUCACAUUUUGGUGGGAAGGGCAUAAUGUCUUGGAAACAUAGUUACUCUAGUGAUUACAAACUUAAUAUAAGAUAGCACUAGUAAGCUAUUGUUGUUGUUAUCACGCGUAGGUUGUGCUAAAGUUUUGUGCAGCUGAUCCGUGAAUAGUUGCAUUUGCCCUUCCAAGUUACAACCAUUAUUGAUGUUACCCCUUUAUGUGGUUUAUUUUGUUAGCUCUUAGAGGAAAAUUACAUGUACAUGUUUAAGUUUGGCGUUAAGACCAUAUGUUUGUGUAUAAGAUUUUACUAAGAUUACUUUAGUGUGAUACCUCUGUUUUUGUUAGAAUGUAUGGUGUUAGAAUUAAGUGACCCAAAUCCUUAUUUAAAUAAAAUAAAGUCGUAAAAUAAAAUAAAAGUAAAAUCCAUAUAGAACUACAAUUCUUUUAUUUUAUUUUAGAAUAAGGUUUUUUAAACAUUAUUAAACUCUAUCUAUUUGAUAUUGAUUAGAAUAAGGUGUUUCAAUCUUACUACACUCUUAUUAGAAUAUAGUUUUACAAGUCUAUAAAUAGACAUAAUCUACUCCUCUUGUAAUCAUUCGAAUUCGACAUAGUGAAUUUUCUUCUCCUCUGCUUGUGGUUUUUUUCUCGAAAGGGUUUCUACAUAAAAAUAUGUAUGUUAUUUAUUUUUAUUUCUUUUUUUCUUUGCGAUAUAUUGUCAUUACCGACAUUCUAUUAUUUUUACAAAUUGGUAUCAGAGCUUUUCAGUUAUUCAUCUCAAUCACGGUAAUGGCGUUUUUGAAGUAUGAAAUUUUGCUGUUGGAUCGCAACACCAGAUUUGCGUUGUGGCAGAUUAAGAUGCAAGCAGUUCUUGCGCAAAUGGAUCUAGAGGAUGCGCUGCUAGGGAUAAAUAAGAUGCCUUCGACAUUAACAGAUGAAUAGAAGAAGCGUAAGGAUUGAAAGGCAUUAACAUAAUUACAGCUGCAUUUGUCUAACGAAAUUUUACAGGAUGUAAUGAAAGAGAAGACCGUCGCUGCAUUAUGGAAGAGGCUGGAACAAAUAUGCAUGUCGAAAACUCUAACCAACAAGUUGCAUAUGAAGCAUCACAUUCAUGCUCAUUGUUUGGAGGAAAGUGCGUAUGUGCACGAGCAUUUAACAGUGUUUAAAGAAAUUCUCUCAAACUUGGAGGCUAUGGAGGUUCAGAAUGAUAAGCAAGAUCUAGGGUUGAUUCUACUUUGUUUGUUGCCCCCGUCUUAUUCAACCUUUAGAGACACAAUUUUAUAUAGCCGCAAGUCUCUCACAGUUGAUAAGGUUUAUGAUUCUUUGACCUCGUAUGAUAAGAUGAAGCAUCUUGUGGUUAAACCCGACUCUUAAAGAGAGGGUCUCAUUGUUCAUGGGAAACAAGAUCAGAAUGCUGAUGAUGAUCGUGAAAGGACAUAGGAACGGAAUCCUCACGGUAAAUUUAUGGGUAGAUCGAAAUCUUCAAACAGAGGUAAAACUUGUAACUUUUGCAAUAAAAAAGAACACAUUAAAUCUGAGUGCUAGAAGUUGCAGAACAAGAUCAAAAGUAAGGUUGCGAAUCAAAAGGGAAAACAACCAGAAAAAUCUGAUAAAGUUGAUGUUGUAUAAGACUACAACGAUGAUGAACUUCUAGUUGCUUCUAUCAACAGAUCUAAAGUGAGCAAAAAGUAGAUCCUUAAUUCGGGCUGCACCUUCCACAUGAGUCUCAAUCGGGAUUAGUUUACAACUUAUGAAACAGUGUCUGAAGGUGUUAUUUUGAUGGGAAAUAAUAUUUCGUGUAAAAUUACAGGUGUUGGAACGAUUAAAGUUAAAAUUCUUGACGGAGUUAUCAGAACAUUUAGUGGCGUGUGACAUGUUUCAGAAUUGAAGAGAAAUUUAAUUUUGUUAAGUACUAUUGAUUCAAAAGGGUACAUAUACACAGUGAAAAGCAGGGUUUUGAAAACUUCCAAAGGUUCCCUUGUUGUGAUGAAAGGGCAGAGAAAGACUGUCAAGUUAUAUGUUUUGCAGGGUUCUAUUGUUACUGGUGAACAACUGUUGCUUCCUCUUCCUUUUCAGAUGAUGAUAUUACUAAACUUUAGCAUAUGCACCUAGGGCAUAUGUGUAACAGCCCGAUUUUGGGCCUAGUCGGAACAAUGGUUUCGGGACCACAAAUUUGAAGAGGAAAAAUAUUAUUGUCAUUAUAUUUUUAUGGUCUAAAAUUUCACAGAAAAAAUUUUUAAAAAUUUCGUUCGAAAAUUUCGACGUUUGGGCACUCAAUUUAGUCAAAAGGACUAAAUUGUAAAAAGUGCAAAAGUUGAGUUCUACAUGUUAGAAGUGUCUAAUUGUUAUGAAAUUAUAAAUUGGGGGUCCUUAUAUGACAAUUAUACCAUUAGUUAAUUGAUGGACAAAAAUAGACAUAAGAAAUGGGUGAAAUAGAUUUUUUUAAAUGGGGGCAUUUUAGUCAUUUAGUAAUAAAAAGAAUUAAAAAGGGAAAAAGAUGGUAAAAUGUGCUCAUCUUCUUCACGGUGAACGAAAUCAGCAAGGGGGAAGCCAUAGUUAGGGUUUUUAAGCUUUCAAGCUCAAUAGUAAGUGACUCCAAGCCCCGUUUUUAAUGUUCUUUACGUUUUCGGAGUCUUUGUAACUUAAUUUAGCUUAUUCUAGCAAUAAUUUAACCUAGGGUUUAUAUUUGGAAAAAUACACAUAGGUGAAAAGUGUUUAUUUUGUUGUUUUAUGGUAGAAUAUAAAGCUAGAAAUUAUGUUAAACAACUUUUGCUAAGCGAUUUUAAACGAAAACGGGUAAAUUGACAUAAUCGGUAAAAAUACCUAAUGUUCAAAAGUGUGUGUUAGAGUGGGAAUUUGAUGUUUCCAUAGAAGGGGAAAAUGUUCAGCAUGUCAUAAAACAUAAGAAUAAGAGAUGAAGUUUAAUUUCCGAGCUUGGGGACAAAAGUGUAAAUAUGCAAAAGUUAAGGGGCAAAUUGUAAUUUUUCAAAAAUUUGGGCGGAGGGCUAUUUUAAUAAAUUUUAACAUUAAAUGAGUUAAAUUUUCUAUUAUAGAUCAAGAAAAACGAGAAGACUACCUCAAACGGGGAAAAGAGAAAAUAGUGGAGUAAAUUGCAAAAUUACGAUAUUUUGCACCGAGGUAAGUAAACAUGUGAUUUAAUGCAUUAUUUUGAUAUUAUUCAAUAUAUGUUGAGAUUUAAUAGAGCAUAGAAUAAAUAUUUGUCAAUAUCCUAAAAAUGUGGUUAAGUUGGGAAAGGUGGUAAAGUGUUGAAAACACGGUUUCCGGUUGAACACUCGAAAUAAGCCGGAGUACAUUGAAUACGAAGGAGGUUGCUAAGUGCUGAUUCCCCCAAGGGGUUGCUAAGUGCUGAUUCCCCCAAGGGGUUGCUAAGUACCGAUUCCCCGACUCAUUGGUGGUUGCUAAGUGCUGAUCCCACCGUAUCUUAAAUGUGAAAUGGGCUGCUAAGUGCUGAUUCCCCGAAUUACUGGUGGUUGCUAAGUGCUGAUCCUACCGUAUCUUAAAUGUGAAGGGGUUGCUAAGUGCUGAAUCCAUCGAUAACGGAUAAUAUUCCGAGUGUUCAACAGGAAAAUUAGAAAGGUGAAUAUAUAUAUAUAGAUGGUGGAUAAGAUUAUAUGAGCAAUAUUGGGUUUGAUACUUAAUCAACCCAUGUGUGAGAUGGAAGGAAAUAUCAAAAUUACAAAAGAGCAAAUUUAAAUGUAAAACUGUUUUGAACAACAACAAUUGGGAAAAUUUGAAAAAUCACCAUAAAUGGUGGAAAAUGAAUCAGAUGUUGAGUAAUAUAUGAAAUUUAAGCUGAAUGAGUCUAUUUUCAUAUGAAAAAAAAAGGGCAAGCAAAAGAGUUGUAUAUUUGGGGAUAUUUGAAUUUUAUUGAGACAGGGCUGGAUUGAUUCCGAAAUCCCCUGUUCCAAAUUUGGAAAAUCACCAAAAACUGUACAAAAAUAAUUAUGGCUUGAAAUUUACAUGCUUGAAUUUCUUAAUGAGUCUAUUUUUAAGAUAAAUAAACGAGAACAUUUUUUGAAUUUUGUACAGAGAGUUAAGUAAAUUUUAGUUAGGAUAUGUUAGAACUAUCGAGCAGUGAAACAGGGGAAUCUUUACAGAAUAAACUGUACUAAUUGGCUAAACCAAAAAUUCUAAUAAUUUUAUGGUGGAAAGGUAUAUGAGUCUAGUUUUGGGAAAAAUUUACAGAACUUCAUUUGGAGCCCUGUAGUUCUAGAUAAAAAUAAAUUGGUGACAGUGACGCAGAAAAAUAGUUUGCUGGAAAUUGAACAACCAUUGAAAUUUAUGUGUGAUAAAAAUUAUGUUACUUUGUAAUCUUGUGAGAAAUUUAUUUAUUUGUCAUAUGUUUACUUACUAAGCUAUAUGCUUACUCGUUUUUAUUUUCCCCUGAUUAUAGUGACAUCAGCCAGUUCGGAACUUGGACGAAGUCAGGAUAUCAUCCACACUGUCAUCAACUUUUUGGGUAUUUUGGCAAUCAACACUUUUGAAACAUGGCAUGUAUAGAUGACUUUAUGUAAUGUUGUAUAAAAACGUAUACAUAGUAUUGUUCGGUUUAAUAAGUAGAUGAUUAUUAAUGAAUAAAUUAUGUCUGAAUAUAUAACUAUAAUUGGUUGGAAAUAUUGAAGUUGGUUGAAAUUGUCUUUGAAAAUCUGUAGGGGUUUUUAUGUAAAAAUAAGCAGAAAUGCUGCCGAAAUUUUUAUAAAAAAAUUAUAAGUGUUUGAGUUCUAGUAAUACCUCAUACUCUGUUUCGGUAAGGAACACGGGUAAGGGGUGUUACAAUAUGAGUGAGAAUGAAAUGAAAGAAUUGAGCAAAAAAGGACUUAUUGAUUGGCAAGGAAUUUGCAAACUAAAGUUUUGUAAGUACUGUGUUUUUGGGAAGCAAAAGAGAGUUCGAUUCACCAGAGGGAUCCAUAACACGUAGGGAACAUUAGAGUAUAUUCAUUUUAAUCUGUGGGGCCCAUCUAGAGUGCCUUCGAGAUGCGGAGCUAAUUAUAUGCUAACUUUUAUUGAUGAUUUUUUCAGAAAAGUUUCGGCAUAAUUCUUGAAGCUGAAAAGCGAUGUGUUUUCUGCAUUUAAGUCUUGAAAAACUAUGAUUGAAAAAUAGAUGGGAAAACAAAUAAAAUACCUCCACACAAACAAUGGCUUAGAGUUUUGUUUUGAGGAGUUUAAUAAACUGUGCAAGUUAAAAAAGAUCGUGAGACAUUUGACAGUUCAUCGUACUUCACAGCAAAACAGCGUUGCAAAAUAAAUGAACAGAACGAUCAUAGAGAAGGUUCGAUGUCUGUUUUCAAAUGCCAACUUUCUAAAGUCGUUUUGGGCCGAAGCAACCUCUACUGCAUUUUUUUUUAUCAAUCGAUCUUCAUUCGUUGCCAUUGAGAAAAAGACUCCACAAAAGGUAUGGUCUGGUAAUCUUGCUGACUAUUCUGAUUUAAAGAUCUUUAGAAGUCUUGCGUAUGCUCAUGUUGAUAAUGGAAAAUUGGAACCGAGAUACAUCAAAUCUGUUUUUCUUGCUUGUAAAGCUUAUGUAAAAGGGUAUAAGUUAUGGUGUACUGAAAAUAGAAAAGAUAUGACUAUCAGAUAUGUUGUUUUUGGUGAAACUGCUAUGCUACCUAACUUAUUUCUUAAAGACUUUUCCAAUAAAGAAAAUCAAAAGCAAGUGGUGCAUCAGAUUAAUCUAGAAUCUAAAACAGAGUCAACUCCUCAAGUCAGUUCAAAAAUUCAGAAUAGAGUUGCUUCUUCACCACAGUACUCUAUCGCCAAAAACAAAACUAGAAGAGAAAUUAAACCUGCAAAGAAGUAUGUCGAGACUAAUAUAGUUGCUUAUACUUUAAAUGUGGUUGAAGAUAGAUGCAAACCAAUAGCCAUCUAAUUAUUCUGAGGCGGUUAGCUGUGAAUACUCAAAAAAGUCGAUGUUUGCUAUUCAAAAGGAGAUGAAAUCACUCCACAAAAACAGAACAUAUGAUCUUGUGAAACUUCCUAAAGGUAAAAAUAUUUUUCGUUGUAAAUGGGUGUUUAAAAAGAAAGAAUGGACUGAAGGAGUUGAAGAACCCAGAUAUAAAGCAAGGCUUGUUGCAAAGGCUUACAGUCAAAUUCCAAGAGUGGACUUCACAAAUGUGUUCUUACCAGUUGUGAAGCAUGAUUCGAUUUGAGCUUUGUUUGGUAUUGUUGCCAUGCAUGAUUUGGAGCUUAAGUAGUUAGAUGUAAAAACUGCAUUUUUGUAUAGAGAACUUGAGGAGGAUAUUUACAUGUAACAACUAGAGGGUUUUACAGUCUUAAAAAAAGAGGACUAUGUUUGCUUGCUGACAAAGUCCUUUUACGGUUUGAAACAGUCAUCAAGACAAUGGUACAAGAGGUUUGAUUCCUUUAUGACUUCUCAUGAUUUCAAAAGAAGUAUCCUUAACAGUUGUGUUUACUUUAAGAAAAAUAGUGAUGGUUCUUUUGCGUAUCUACUCAUUUAUGUUGAUGACAUGUUGAUAGCAGCGAAAGAUAAAUGAGAGAUAAAAAAAGGUUAAAGCCCAACUAAAUGAAGAAUUUGAGAUGAAAGAUUUGGGACCAACAAAAAAGAUACUUGGUAUGGAGAUUUUCAGAGAUUGAAAAGCAAGUAAAUUAUACCUAAGUCAGAAGGGGUACAUUGAGAAAGUUCUUUGCAGGUUCAAUAUGCAGAGUGCUAAGCCUGUUAGUACUCAUUUAACAGCCAAUUUUAGACUUUCAUCGGCUUUAUCUCUACAAUCAGAUGAUGAGAUUGAGUACAUGUCACAUGUUCCAUACUCUAAUGUAGUGAGAUCUCUCAUGUAUGCUGUGGUUUGUUCACGUCCAGAUUUAUCAUAUGCAGUCAGUGUAGUUAGCAAAUAUAUGGCGAAUCCCAGUAAAGAACAUUGGAAAAUAGUUCAGUGAAUUUUAAGAUACUUACGAGGUACUACUGAUGUUUGCUUACAGUUUGGAAGAACUAGAAAUUGAGUCAUUGGGUAUGUUGAUGCUGAUUUUCCUGGAGACCUUGAUAGAAUAAGAUCUCUCACAGGUUAUGUCUUUACAAUUGGAGGUUGUGCAAUCAGUUAGAAAGCCACUUUGCAAACUACAGUUGCUUUGUCUACCACUGAAGCUGAGUACAUGACGAUUACUGAGGCUUGUAAAGAAGCUAUUUGGUUGAAGGGACUCUUUAGGAACUCAAUGAAGACCUUCAAAUUAGUACAGUAUUUUGUGACAGUCAGAGUGCCAUCUUCCUUACAAAAGAUCAAAUUUUUCAUGAGAGAACAAAACACAUUGAUGUUCGGUAUAAUUUUAUUUGUGAUAUUAUUGCUCGUGGUGAUAUUGUUGUGAGCAAAAUUAGUACUUAUGAAAAUCCUGCAGAUAUGAUGACUAAGUCACUUCCUAUAACUAAGUUUGAGUGUUGCUUAGACUUGGUUGGUGUUAAUUGUUGAAGUUAAACCCUUAAAUGGUUUUAUGAAAGAGGUGGAGAACUUGUUCGUUAAGAGUUUGCGAAGAAGAACUUGUUCAUUGAUAAUUCGUGUCAAUGUGGGUAUUGUUAGAAUUAAGUGACCCGAAUCCUUAUUUAAAUAAAAUACAGUGGUAAAAUAAAACAAAAGUAAAAUCUAUAUAGAACUACAUUUCUUUUAUUUUAUUUUAGAAUAAGAUUUUUUAAAACUUAUUAAAGUCCAUCUAUUUGAUAUUUAUUAGAAUAAGGUGUUUCAACCUGACUACACUCCUAUUAGAAUAUGGUUUUACAAGCCUAUAAAUAAACAUAGUCUACUCCUCUUGUAAUCAUUCAAAUUUGACAUAGUAAAUUUUCUUCUCCUCUGCCUGUGAUUUUUUUUCGAAAGGAUUUCCACGUAAAAAUCUGUGUUUUCUUUAUUUUUAUUUCUUUUCUUCUUUGCGAUAUAUUGUCAUUACCGACAUUCUAUUAUGUUUACAUAUGAUUAUUUGUAAAGUGAAGUUAGUAUGCUAAAUAGUAAAUGAUAAACUUGAUAUGUGACAGAUUGUUCCUGGAACUGAAUAGGCCUUUUGUUUGAUUGUGGAUUGAGUAAAUGAGUUACCUUUUAAAGAGACCUCCUUAUGUAGUUGAUUGUUCCUAAGAUUCAAAGGGUUUUCUUAAAAGAUAGGCAACCAAGGGAAACCUGAUUGAUGCAGUACUACACUCAAGGUAUUAGAACCCAUUGCAAAGGUAUUGGUACCUUCAAACGUGGAAGCCAAAUUAGUGAAAUAGGAGAGUCAAGUCUAGAUACCUUAACCCCAAGUAUGGAUCUUGUACUUUUUAAUAUUAGAAUCUAGCUUGAGGGUAUAUAUACUUCUAAACAUAGAACCUAAAUAGGAAAAACAAGGGAAAUUGGUAUGGAUACCUUGAUACCUUCCAAUUUUAAGCAUCAAUACCGUACCUAAGGGUACCGAUGAUUCUAGCAUAAAUUGGAUAGUUUCAGAAUUUAGUUCCAAAGUGUUUAGUUUGUUCAUUUCUUUUCAACCAGUAUAGCUCUUAUUAUCGUUAGAAUAUCGUAAAGUCAAUAGUAUUACCAAGGAUGCCUCUAGUCAUCGAUUGUAGCACCACCAGAUAGAGGUCGUCGCCGAUUCGGGAUAAGGGUGUUAUAUUCGCAAUUAAGAAGCAAAAAUGGAAAUCAACUUUCAAAAUACUGUUGCACAUCUGAACAUAAAGACAAAGUCAAUGGAGAACUCUCCAUCUUAAGGAGACAUUACUGACAGCAAGUAAGCUCGACACUAAAGUAAAGCUGCUCGAAUAGGAUAAGCAAGUUAUGCAACUACUUUAAGGAAGAAAACAACAAUGGCAUUGGAAGUACGAGCUGGUGAUUGAAGACAUAAAGAAUCCAAGGCACCCUGUUCAAAUGAUGAUACAUUCACAACAUCAUUCACUUCCGAUGAAGGAAACAAAGCAGUUGGCCACUGUAGUCUCUAAGAGCUAGUUUAUGGAAAAUUGUUUUUGAAAAGUUUGGUAAUAACUGUCAAAAAAGGUUUUUGAAAAAAAUACAAUCGACGUUGAAAAGAAAUUUAGAAACCAUUCUAUCAAAUACAAUAAUGGUUAAAAUACAAACCAUUCACAAGUUUAGGCACUCUUAGAAAUAAAUUAUCAUCACAAGACAAUAUACAAACUUAAUAUAGAGCAUUUGUGCUUUGGUUAGGUUCUAACCAUACAAAUAUUAACCCAAUUUCAUAAUUGGCACUGUACAUAAUCAAAGUAAAAAAAAUAAAAAUCGGAACAACGAAAUUUUCCAAGAAAAAUAAUAUUUGUUUUAGAAGAGAGAAGAAAACCCAAGUUCUAAAUGAGUAAUGUUGCAUCAGAACUUUAAAAAUAAGUUGAAAGAGAGUGAGACUCUUUUUUUUCUCCUCAAAAUUACCAUAUUAUAAUUUGGAAAUCAAACUGGCAAGGACCAUGAAUCUUUGCUUCAAAAAUCUAGACACAAAAUGGAUAAAACAAAAGGAACGAAAAUCGCAGCACAGAUAACUUAAAUUGUCUAGCUUACUUAUUGACAUAGAUCUUCAAGGCUUGUCUGUUCCUCUUCUUGACACCAGACUUGGCAACUUUCAGACUCCUAUGCACAACACUCAGCCUUGCAAGGGCUGCUUUGGUUAGAUGGGAGGAGGCUGACGAGAGACGAGAGGGUCUGAGUUAGAGUGACUUGAUACACUCUGAAAGAUGGGCAGAUUGAGUAAGCUGGAGGCGCAACGGCCAACAGACGAUUUUUUUAGAGUUCAGAAAAGGGAGAAACGAGAAAGAAAUCGAUGGAGGCAGGUUAGUAAGAGGGGUUUUGAGUAUGUGCGCGCGCGCGCGUGCAUGCGUGUUUUAGGGAUUAGAUUUAUUUAUUUUUAUUUUUUAAAUUGUAUAAUAUUUGGUAAAUUGUAUUAAAUGGGCUUCGCGCGCACAUGCGUGUUUUAGGGAUUAGAUUUAUUUAUUUUUAUUUUUUAAAUUGUAUAAUAUUUGGUAAAUUGUAUUAAAUGGGCUUGGGUUGUGUUUUCUAUUUAGAUUUGGAUAUAUGAUAAUGUUUAUUUUUGGGUUUGGACUUGGUUGGGUAAUAUAAUAGAUUUGAGUUUGGUAUAUAUAUAUAUUAUAAAUUAAAGUCGGUUUUGUCAGUUAAAAUAUUUUCAAAUUCAAAGCCGUAAUCGAUUAUUAUAAUUAAAUUAUCGGUUUGAUCAAUUUCACUCUUAUUUUUUAUAUUUUAUUCUCUUAAAUUUUAUUUAGCUGAUUUUAAAUCAUAUUCUCUUCUACAGCAAACUUAAUUCAACAAUGGGAUAAAUCAUUAAAAUCUUUAAAAUUGCAUUUAUCCCUUUUUUUUAUUAGAUCGAUGCACUUAAAUUACUUUAAACUAAAAUUUAACUAAUAUUUAUAUAGUUAAAAUAAUAUUAUAAUAUAAAUUUAUUUUAUAAUGUGAUAUAAUUAUAUUUUUUUACAUAUCAUAUUAUCAAUUGUUGUAUAUAAGUCAAAAAAAAAAAUUUAUUGCAUACAAGUAUGUAAGGGAGGGCAAGAUAGAUUUUUUCUUUUGGAUGAUAGGUAAGGAGUGGUCAUGGUAAUUGCUUGUCCAGCCUUGUCCACUACAUAAAAAUGACCAUUUUAUUUUUUGUAUAUAUAACUAUUAAAGUGGCUAAAAAGGUAAUAAUGUAGUAUAAAAAAAUUAAUAUAUUUUGUGUUAAAAUAUUUUUCUAAAUAAUUAUGUAUAAAUAAUUAUUAAUUUUAAAAAUAUUGUAAAUAUUAAAGAUAAGUAAUAAAAAUUAAAUUAAAAUAAAGCAAGGUAGGGCAAUGAUGGAUGCAUUUGACAUCUACGAAGGCGAUAACUAUUUUCAAGAUUACACAUCCAUAGUGAAAUAAGGCAGGUGGUAGAGCAUAAUGUGUCAACUCUGGAGCAGUGGUGGAUUUUUUCAUAAUUUUUAUGAUUUUUUCAACUUUAGAGCAUAUCUUAACUCAUAUAUCUUUUUCAGUAGUUUCAAUUGUAAUUACAAUUCAUUUUUUAACCUUAUUCUUAUUAGUAGAUGAAGUCGUAGGACUAUAUGAUUCAUUAGAAAAGGGCAUGAUAGUCACAUUUUUCUGUAUAACAGGAUUAUUUGUCACUCGUUGAAUUUAUUCAAGACAUUUCCCAUUAAGUGAUUUAUAUGAAUCAUUAAUCUUUCUUUCAUGGGGUUUCUCCCUUAUUCAUAUGGCUUCCUAUUUAAAAUUUAAAAAGCGCAAAAAUAAUUUAAGUGCAAUAACCACACCAAGUGCUAUUUUUACCCAAGGCAUUGCCACUUCGAGUCUUUUAACCAAAAUGCAUCAAUUCGUAAUAUUAGCACCUGCUCUCCAAUUCUAGUGGUUACUGAUGCACGUAAGUAUGAUGGUAUUAGGCUAUGCAGCUCUUUUAUGUGGAUCAUUAUUAUCAGUAGCUUUUCUAGUCAUUACAUUUCAAAAGGCCAUAAAGAUUAUUGGUGAAAACAAUCCAUUGUCAUAUCCAUAAAUAAGUAAUUUAUAGAUGUAUAAUACUUACUAUACAAUACUGAAAUUAUAAUGUGCAUUCUUUUAUAAAUGAUAUGGAGCCUAAAUAUUAAUGGGUAGUUGAUUUUAUGAUUAUUCAUAAUAUAUACAAUUAUGAAAUUAAAAUGUAUAUUUUUUAUAUUAACGGUAGGUAGUGUUAAACUCUAAACAUGCAAUACAUACAUUUUGUUUAGAAUUCUUAUAGUUAAAUUGUUAGGUUUAAUUUGUUUGAGUAGUUAAUUGACUACUUUUAUUAAUUCACAUUUAUUUAUUAUUAAUUAUAAAUAAAUUUUAUUUGAAAUUAAUUUUUUGUUUAAUUUAUAGUAUUUUGCAAAUACAAAUUCCGAUAUUUACAAAUUUAACAUAAAAAUAUUAAAUUUAAUUAUUUAUAAAUUUGAAAAUAAUACUCAAAUCAAAGUUUUAAAUGAAAUUCGGACAUAGAUUCAAACUUGCUGUGGUUACUACUGUUCCACCGCAAAUAUCUAAAGAGCUUCCUACAAUGCGAUCGUACAAAAAAAAACAUGUUGAACGUGUCGAAAAGCGGGUUGAGGAGAAUCCAAAUGAGAACUGUAUGUUUCAAAAUUUGGUGAAGGGUGAGGCAGGUAAUGACGAUAAGAUAAGAUAGGGGCCGGGGACUAGUAAAUAUCGUGGGGCUCGGUUGUUCACCAGUUUUCGAAGGCAUGUGAAAGUGUGAUUAUCAAAACAGGGAAUCUAAUGUGGCCGGUUCCCGAGACUCUUUCAUGAUAAAGGCAAAGGCAAGGGAGCAGCCUCUUUAUUUAUUUUGCUUUAAAUUUUUUUUAUGGAAAGGGCAAGGAAAACAGCAAAUACAGCUCACUUCCCGACCCACCACCAAACCAUCAUCAUUUAUUUAUUUGAUCAAAACCCUAGGCCGCUAUUAGUAUUUAACCCUUGGCUACCACCAUCUUCUUUUUAUUAUUGAAGGUAACCAAAGGCCUCGGUAGGUAGGGUUGUUUACUCUUGGGGGUCUCCUUGGUUCACACCAGGAGCGUCUCCGAGGCUUCAAGUUUUGGGUUUUAAGAUCUACUUAGCACUCAGACCAUCUUGUAGGUGAAGUCGGGUUAAAGUAUGGUCUGGCUUUUGCUUUAAAGGGUCUUGGAUCUGUUCCGAGUUUUUUGUAUUUUAGUCUAGUUUCAUGGAUUUGCUUUUGUGAUGGAAAAAAAUGUUUGGCUUUUUUCUCUAGUGGGGUUGAGAGAUCACAUCUUCUCAUCUUAACUAAAGAUUGAUCGUUUACUCAAAUAGUUGUGUACUUUCGGUUUUCCAGUUUAUAGGGGAAAAGAAAAGAUGUGUUUUGCUUUUGCUUUUAAUCUUGCUUCUGUAUUUUCUUCCCGUUUAUGGUAAGUUGUCUAGGGUUAGGGUAAGUGUUUGUUUAAAGUGGUCAGGUUUUAGUGAAUAAAUAUGGCUAUUAGGAAGAAGAAAAAGAAGAAAAUCAGCCCAAGUAUUUAGAUGUAAUCCAAAGUAAGAAGGUGGGGGGUUAGGAAUGGAGCUCCUUGAAGUCCAAUAGAGUUUCUUGCUGGGUAUAUUGAGCUGCUUGGCUAUGGAUCCCACAGUCCUAUCCCAUGUUGGGAGGGAUAGGCUUGCGGCUUCCAUAUCUCAGGAGCUUCAUUACCUUUAAAGUUAGAUCCUUGUUUGGAUUGAAGGGAGCUCUACAUCUUUCUCCUUUCUCACUUCAUCGUCUAGCCAAAGAUUGAUGUGAUCUUAUAAUGCUACACUUUUAUCUUCUUUUGUUGCUGUUGACUCUUUUUCUUUUUCAUGGAUCUGUGAAGUUUAGGGUUUGAUUGUAAAUUAUUUUGCCUUGUGGGGUUUAUUGUGAAUUAAUAGUUGCAUACUGUUGUGAAUGGUUGGAUGGAUCUUGAAUUUCUUGUUACCUCUUUUGGUUUCCAUUAUUAAUUUUGGCAGAGCGUUGCUGAGACUGCAGAUGUUUACACAGGAUAAAGGAAGUGAAAGCCAAAACGAGAUGUCAGAAAGUAAAUCUUGUGGUCAUUUUCUUAGAUUCUGCUGCUGCUGCUGCGCUGUUUUCAAAAUUCAUUUUUAAUGUAAUAAUAAAAUAAAAGACAUGAAUUAUUGAACCUUUCCAUUUUCUUUUAAAUCUUGAAGGUAUCCUGUCUUCUUUUUUGUUAUGCAUAGGUUUAUCUUGUCCAGGUGGUGGAUUUGUAAAGUUGUGUUAAUUUGCAUGACAGGGAUAAUUUUAAUUAUCUUAAGACAUUAUUGAUCUUGGUCGAGGCUGGGCACCUAAACAAGAAAAAGAUAAGAGGAAAUUAGGUUUAAGUUGUGGAACUGAAGCUUUUGAGAUAUAGGGUUGGCCGGUUAGGGCAAAAGUUAUGGAUGUCGUUUUCACGUUUAUUUUACAAUAUUAUGUAUUUUUAGAAGUUAUUGUUACGUCUGUGUUUGGGUUUUGUUCUGAUUCAUACAAAAAGUUAAUUGUUAUAUUAUUUUUAUAACAUCAAUUUAUAUUUACCAAAAAAAAAUAUUUAUUUAUUUGGCUGUUAUUAUUUUUAUUUUUAAAUGAUAUUUUAGUAAAAAUUAAAAUAUUAUUUAUGAUAUGAUGUAAAAAAAAGAAAUGAUUUAUAUAAUGCUAAUGUUGGAGACAAUAAAUAUUAUGCUAUUUUGAUUUUAAAUAAUAUUUCUUGUUUUAUAAAGGAAAUAAGUUUUUGGUGAUUUUAUAAUAUUUAUUGUUUUAUAGAUUUUUUAUCAUAUUUUUUAAUCAUUUUAUGUUAUUGAUAUAAUUAUGGUAAUUUUGUUUAUUUUAAAACUUGAAUUUCAAAUCUAAAACCCCCAAAUUUGAAUUUUGAAUUUUAAAUUUUGAACCUUGAAUUUAAGUUUUGAGUUUUUAGUUUGAGAUUUAGGAUGAGUUUGGAGUUCAAAGUUUAGAGUUCGGUUUAAAGGUUGAUGUUCGGGUUUUGGAUAAAAAAAUUAUUAAAAUGUUAUUAAAUAAUUAAAAAAUGAGAAUAGAUUAUAUGAUUAAAAAAUCCAUAAAAUAAUUUUUACUCGUAAUUUAUUUUAUUAGCAACAAUGCAUAAUAUUAUUUAUCGUUGGUAUAUGAUGUAAAAUUAUAUGGUUGAUGAUACAUUAAAUACAAAUUUUGUAUAUUUUAUGCUUAUAAACAAAAUUUAUUUUGUUUCUGAAAUUGGAAAGAAAUGAAAGCACUUAUUUAUUAUUUAUUGGAACGAGUAAAAGGGAAAAUUUUCAAAAUAUGCUUUCUUAGCAUUAAGUCAACAGUAACGAUCGUCGAGUUUUAUGGGUUGCCAAAUCAAUAAAUUUAUCGGUACACAGAAGUUUGGCAUGUUAGUAAGGAAGUACAUGAUAUCAUGCAUCAUAACUUAAUAACGUAAAAUUGUUAAGUUUAGGGUUAUAAAUUUUGACAAAUUUAUGAUGCAUAUAUGGUUCAAAUAAUUGUGAUUAAUAUGAUAGAAGUCGAUUCUAAUAAAUGUCAAUUUUCAUUCUAUAAAUAUCUCUUUUAUUCAUUUUUUUUUCUCAUCCACAUUCUUCAAAUACUCUCAUAGUUAUUAUGUCCUGAAUAUGAUAAAAUUUCGAGUUUACGUUUUUACUGUAAUUAUCUUUUUUUUUUUUCAGAUUUUUGAAGUAGUAAAAUAAGUAGUUUGUGAUUUUGAAACAAUUGGUAAAUUGAACUCACCUGUUUGAUAAAACUUAAAGUCAUAAAGCAAUGCUUGAAGGAUGUUGAUUUGUACGGGGUCUCUAAAAUGGAAAAGUUUAAUAUCAUUCAUGAAUUGGUCGCUUCCCUAGUUGAAAAGUGGAGGUCGAAAGCUUUUUACCUUUCAAUUGCUUUGAAACAAAACAAUUAUCAGUUUGAAAGAUGUUGUAUUAAUAAAUAUAUGCAUAAAUAACAAAUAAGUUCUAUAUAUAUAGAUAUUUAUAAUAAUAAAUUAAAAAAAUUUAUUAGUAAAAUACAUAAUGUGGAACAACGUGUAGCAGUUAUGGAUAUAAUUUACUCCUAUUAAUGUGGUAUUUUUAGCAUCCAUACAAUCAUAGAGCAAUAAUAGAUAAGGCAAUCUUCAUUCCUACUUACUUCGUUGUGAUCUGUAGUAAAAUUGUCAAUUUAGCUAAACCCUUUUAAAAAGUUAAAUUUCACUGUUGAAAAAUGAAUAAUGUUUUAAAAUUUUAUCUUAUAAGAAUAUUUUAUAAUCAAAUUUAAAAUUUAAAAAAUAUUUUUAUUAUUUAGAUCGAAUCUAGUGGGAUGCUUGGCCCUGAAUAGAUUUAGCUGGCACCACUCACUUUCAAUCAUCUUUGAUCUCCAUGCUCUUUCCUCUCUUUUAUUCUAUUUAUCUUAUCUAUCUUCAAUUUGUAAAUUUGUUUUGUGGGUAUCUUUAGUAAGAUAUAUCUUGUGACAUCUUUAUUAUCUUUGUGGGCUACGAUGGAUAGACGUUGGUGCUUACUGUCGAUGAACCUCCACUUGCCAUUAGCAACACUUUACCGUAAAUAUUCUUCCUAUUGUAUGGGCCAUGUAUAUGUUAAUUUUCCUUUUAAAAAAUAAAAAUUUAGUUGCAAAAUCAAUUAAACAAAAGUGUAAUGAAUAUUCCUAAAGCUGUGCAGAAUAUUCUCCUGUCCCUACUACUCUUCGUGGCCCAACCAAAAUUUGAUUCGCUGUGGAAUUUCUUGAGGAAUUUGCAAAAGGCAGAAAGAAUUAUAAAUAUAAAACACGAUUAUAAUAUUAAAAAAUAACUUAGAUGAAGUUGAAAUAUUUUUAUGCUCAUUGCUUUGCAUUCUUGAUACAUUUUGUGUUAUUCAUUCCUGUGGAUGACUAACUGAUUAAGGCCCGUUUAAGGCUCAUAAAGCCCAACCUACAAUAAAAGUUUGGUAUCACGGAAAUGGAGGUAGGUUGGGUCAUUGCUCAUUGGUCAAUCUUUUGGUAGGUGAACUUUGAUCCUCCAUCUUAACUAAUUCCUGCAAGUAACUCAGAAGAAGGAAACCAACGAAACCCAGUUUCCAUUUUUGUUUUUUAUUUUUUGGGAGAAUUUAGAAAAAAGAAGAAAAAUAAUAUUCUCUUAACAUGGGUAUUUACUCGACCGUGAUGGAGGCGGUGACGGAGGCGACAGGGUUAUCCCCGACGGCGUUCUUCACAAUCCUGGCAAUGAUGGUGGUUGUGUACAAGAUAGUGUGCGGCAUGUUUUUGGGUCCCGAAGAUUUUCGUCAAAAGCCUCAAAAAGAGCCAAUUCAGGUCGGAGAUAUUACGGAAUCAGAGUUAAGAGCUUACGAUGGUUCGGACCCCAAAAAGCCUCUCCUAAUUGCCAUCAAAGGCCAGAUCUACGACGUCUCUUCCUCCAAGUAAUAUACAACAUUCCAUAUCGAUUGAAUUCACGUAAAUGAUCAAGCUUUUACAAAUAGGUUUUUAUUGUUUUUGCUGUUUGCGUAUGAUUUGACAAUUGAUCUCACUUUUUGUUUGGUUUGUGAGGGUGUUUUAUGGGUGUGGAGGGGCUUAUUCGAUGUUUACAGGGAGGGAUGCGAGCAGGGCAUUGGCGAUGUUGUCGUUUAAACCUGAGGACCUGACGGGGAACCUCGAAGGCUUGAGUGCUGAGGAGCUUAGUGUGCUGGAGGAUUGGGAAUGUAAGUUCCUGGACAAGUAUCCCAUUGUUGGACGGGUUGUUCAACCAUCAAAUACCUCUCAAAAUGGAGAUGGACUUCACAUUCACCACAAUGAUACAAACGGACAUCAACAAGAACAAACCAAGGAUGAUUGAUUCCAAGCUUCAAAAAUGUCCUGCUGUACCAAUUUGUGGAAUUAUGCUUUUAGGUUCCACUAGUUUUGGGAAUGGAUAGACGAGGAAAUAUUUAUGUAAUUAAUGUUCUUUUUUUCUGCCGACCAGGCAUUACUAUUCUUGGAAAAUACCAAAAAAGAAACUUCCCAUAAUCCGUGGAAUGCCUUGAAAGAAACAACUAUUUAUACACAGCCUGGGUGCCUGACUACACAAAAAGAUGGAUGCCAUUGCUAACCAAAUACAGUCCUAUUCUUGUAAAGAUAACAACUGUGGAAUUGAGCUACCACAACUGCCAAAAUCCCUCUAAUUCUCUGACAAAAAGUUUCAACCAAAACAGAGUUAACCAGAUAAAAAAGAAAAUGUCAUUAAAGAUCAUCAUCACCUACUUGAGCAGUAUCCACUUUCCUCCGCUUGCUAGUUCUUUCUUCUUCACAAUUAGGUAGAGCAUUCUCUAAGUCAUCUUUCGGAUCAACAUUUUCAGUUUUCUUGCCAGUUUUUUCGUCACUGGAACCUAGGUCUGUACUUUCCUCCAAGCCAUUCAUGGGUUCCUCCUCAGCAGGCUCCUCAUUCUCCUCGCUCUUUUGUUUCAGUGACUCAAUCACAUCCAUCAAUUCCCGGUUGACCUGAUAUAUCGUUUUCAUAAAAUAUUCGUGUUAUCAGAAAAAUCGUGCUGAAAUAAAGUUAAACCGUGUGAUUGUGAACCAGAUCACUAACUGAAGGGAAAAAAAGGUCCUGUAUCUCAUAAUCUAUUUUUCAAGCCUUUCUAGAGUUGAACUUCCUUGUUCCCCUUAAAAUGCGUUCUGAAAAUUAGGCAAAAUAAAAAUAUACAUUAAUGCCGCACCUGAAGAUCUUGAAGAAAAUCAGAGAUAUCAGUGGGGCACGAAGGACAGUUGAGGAUGUUCUUUUGUGAUCUAAGAGUCCGGCCUCCUUUAUUCCUCUCUCUUAUAGCAGUCUUACCAGUAAAUGCAGCUUCAAAACAAGACUUGCAGAAGUUGUGGGCACAAGGAGUUGUAACCGGGAGACUCAUAACUUGCUGACAGAUUAGACAACCAAACUCUGCAACGUAAAGCAUAUCAAGUCAAAUGCUCUCUCUGCUCCUCUCAUUGCUUUUUGUUUCCCACUAAUGCCAUGUUCAAAGAUGAGUACAGAUUAUAGAAGAUCAUCAAAUGUAUAAAUAUGCAUCAAAAUCUAAAAUCAUGACUACUAAAUUAAGUGGAACUCAAUUAUCUUCAGUUACCCUACCAAUUUAACCUAGGCAUAAAUGCACAUGGACAGAUCUUUUUGAGCACAAGCAAACUCAAGGCGUGCAGACUAAGGCCCAAGUACAAAAUGAAAAUAGUCCUUGACAGGGAAAACAAGAUCAACCUUUGAGGAGUCUUUCUCUUGUACUUAGUUUACGUGAGUGCCUUAUAGCUUUCCUUGUCCUUUUCCCUUCUUCAAGAUCAGCUGCAUUUGCUGGCUUUUUGCUUGGAGGAGGAGCUUUUUUCCACUUCCAUCGACUACCUUCUUCCUGAUUGCAUUACGAACUACAUAAGCAUAGCAGAAAAAGAUGAAGCCUAUGGGAAGAGGAACCAAAUUGUGGGUCAUAUCAAAGAUCAAACUCCAAAAACAGAAAAGAUAUUUCACUAUUUAACUUCACCAGUAAAACAUUGUUUUAUGAAUUUAUUUUUUCUAGUUUCAGAUGACAUAAUGAGUUCAACACAAGAUGCAUUCUUCAUAAUGUUUAUCAUCAGGUUACUAUCUAACAGACAAAACAUUAUUAAAGGCAGAACAUUAAAACUAAAGAUAUCAGAGAAGAAACUACAUCUCUUACAUCAAAGUCCCACGAUGGACUCUCCUUUCUCUCGAAUAUGUCAGUUGCCUUUUUCAGCUCAGAAAUAGCAGGUAAGGGCCUAGGUUGAUCACCAUGCUCAUCGCUGCAUUAAAGUUCAAUACAAUAAUUCAUGGUGGAGCUAAUGAAUAGAGGAAAGAAGACCGUUUAAGCAUAUGAAAGGCAAAAACCUUGUCCAUGGGGCUGGCUCAUUGUCACAUCUCACAAACAAAUAUCGGCAAACUUUAAAUCCCUAUUGAGGAAAGUACCAUCAGGAAAUUAAUUUACAAGAGCUCAGCAUAGCUAGCAAUAUUGUUCUGAUAGAGAUAUGAUACCUGUAUUCCAACCUUUCGCCAGCAUUUUUCAAUUCUAUACACUCCAUCAUAUCUCACCCCUUUCUCUGGGGCAUAUGAAGAUCGUUUUUCUUUGUGCGACCUGCACAUCAAGAGAAACAAAAGCUUUUAACAAAUAAAAUAGCAUCAUCGAAGUAGGCUUCUAACAAGGCGCCAACCUAUUAGUGAAGCUUCAGUUGCCCUUUGCACGUGCAUAGACAAUCAAUAAGUAAUAGAAACAAAGAGAGCUAAGCUUCAAGAGAUGAGACUUGCCUUACAACUCGAACAGGAUAACCCUUUUUGCAACUUACUCGCAAAGCUUCAUUCAUCUUCUCAAAUUUUUGAUCAAAUGACUGUUCCUUGUUUGUUCGCUUAUUUCCACUGAGAUCUCUACCUCCACUGCCAUCGGCACCCAUAAAAACAAACAAAUUUCAAAUACACACAUGAAUGAAUAAAUGUUAACCAAUAAAAUUCCUCAAUUUAAAUGGAAAAAAUAUGAUAGUUAUUGACAGCAUUCUUGGAUAAUGUCAUCAUGGUAUCUAUGCAGUAAGUGGAUCAGUAAAUUCAUCUAAGGCCCAACAAUACAGCAACUACAAGCACAUCCACUGAAGCCACAUGAACCAUGCAUCAUCUACUGUACUUUCUAUCGUGUACUCCUUUUACAUUAUAAAGUGCAUUAAAAAUGACAUUAAGCAUCGGAAUGUUUGGAAGGGCAUAGGAAAUUUACAGUUAUGCCUCCAAGAAACAGCCUGACAAGAGUUAAAAUUUGAAAUUCAGUAAUUCACCUUCUACUCAGAGAAUUGAGUUGCCUUUUAAAGUUGAGACAAAAAUAUAAGAAUUAUGUAAACAAGCUAACUGAUUAUUAUUGAAUAAAGCAGUAAAUGGUAACAAGUCAACAAUACCAAUUGGACUAAACCGUCAUCAAUCCACUUUCAUUUUAUAAGCAUGUGCAAUGAUGAGGUGCAGGGUGCUAUACUACUAAUAUGCAUAGCCCUCUGAAAACAAACCUUCCUGUGUAGAGAAACCAUUCUCCAUGAUCCUCGUCAUCCUCAUACCCCCCUGAGAGUGCCACCGAUUGAGCACCAUAGUUUGACUGACCAGCAAUGCCUGCAACAUGGGGAAGGUGAGCACCCCACUGCCUGCAUUCUAAUCUGUCUUCCCAACAUUCACCAACAAGCACACCUUGAUUUCUAUCUGGGUCAUUUUCAGCUGUAAUCGGGCCAAAAUGAUCAGGUGGUACAGUUACAAAUAUCUUCCCACUAGCAGCAUUUGCUUUCCCAGCUUUUUGUGCUCGCUCUGUAGUGAAAGCCUUAUCAGGUCGAUCUUGAUUGUGUAUAAAAUGGAAAACUUUCAGAGGACCAGCAGCAGCAUUUGAUUUCGAUAGCUUGGCCAUUCUGAUGACAGAUACAAGAGUAGAAUUAAUACGAGGCUGACUAGCCAUUUUGGGGGGAACUGUUGAGCGGCAUUUUGCACAAGUACGCUUCCCUUGACCUAUCCACUUCUGGAAGCAUUUAAGGCAGAAGUUGUGGCCACAUGGCGUCUGAAACAACAUGAAUAAAGACAUAUAAAUACAUACAUCAGCAAUCAACAUGCUAAAUAUUUCUCAGCAAAACAUCGAAAAAGAAGAAGAAAAUGAAAAUGAGAAAUCGUACCGUAACAGGCCUGUCAGGUAACUGCAUGCAAAACGAACAGUUUAAGCUUUCGUCAAGAACAUCCAAAACAGAGCUCUCCCCUUUUCCAUUCCCUCCAUCUUCUUCAGCUCUCCCACUCACUAGUUCCUGCCUCUUCCUCGCUUUCUCCUUCUCCGUCAAGGACUCAUCCGCCUCUAUUGCCUUUAUCGCCACAAAGAGCUCGCUAGAGCUCCCAUCAGUGGCGACCGAUGGCGGGAGAAGAGGGUCGCCUGAGCAGUCAGGACAGUGCCAUUGCAAAGUAGAAGCCAGAGUUUCGGGCUUAGAAGCCAAGCAACCCACGUGCCAAGGAGCAGCGCAGAUGCUGCAAGUGAGGGUUUCCUCCGUCGGAGGGGUGACUUUGCAGCGCAUGCAAGCGCCAUCGCCUCCACAAGGAAGCUGGAUGCUAUCGUGCGCCAUUGGCAAACAAACAAUGAGCUUGAGGCGCAAGAUAGCAGACGUUGAAUUUUGAUGGGACGGAGACUGGAGGGAAGAGUGGGCGAGAGGAGAAAAGAUAUAUAGAGAGAGAGAGGCGAGGGGGCUUCGGUAUGGAAUUUGAGAGACUUUUUGAAUUCCUGAAGAGGAUAAAUAUGAAUUGACGAUAUUAUUCUUUUUAAUUCAUAUUUUUACAUUUAUGCCAUUUUGUUACUCGUUUACUUUUUGGCUACAGAGACGAUUCUGAUGCGGAGUUUAAUAUAUAACUGGGGGGUAAAAGUUAGUAGAAGAUUUGAAGAUUUGACUUCUAGCCCUGCUCCGUCAAUGUCUUAAUAAAAAAUCAAUCAAUAUGAACUAUUAUAUCGAAAUUCGAAAGGGGUAGGUGGAAUUUUAGUUUUAUAAGAUCUAAAUUUUAAUGGAAAAAAACUAAGUUUUUGUUUUUGGUUUUAUAAGUGAAGAAAAUAAUGUUUGGAGGAUUUUUUUUUCUAAUUAAGUUUUUUCUUAAUAAAUUUUAAAAAGUUUUUUCUUGUUUGUGUAUAAUUUUUUUAAUAAUUUUUUUAGUGAAUUAUAAGGUAAAGCCUGAACAAUAAACAUAAUUAGCGCGACUCGAGUUCAGACUACACUUAGAGGGUGAACACCCUUAACCAUCAGACCAUUAUAUGGAGUUCGAAAAAAUAACUUUUAAUCAAACGCAUUUAAUAAAUAAUAUAUGAUAGAAAAUGGUCAAAUUCUGCUAUUAGACCUUAUGCUUUGUGUAAAUUAUGGAUUUAAUAUUUGUAUGUUAAUUUGAUCAAUUUUAGAUUUGUGCUUUUCAAAAUUUGAAAUUUUAAUCCUGACCCAAUGGUAACAGUUAAAUUUGUUUGGUUAUUAGUCUUGUAUUAUGUGUAAAGUUAUAGAUCUAGUCUACGUUUACUAAUUGGAUCAUUCACCGUGGUUAUUUUUUUUGAAAUUCAAAAUUUUAGUCUUAAUGUAAGCGACCAUCGUUAAAUCUAUUGACUGAUUUUUUUGUGAGUAAUAUGCGAAAAAUAACAAACAAACACAGUAUCACAUGUGUGAUAGUGUGUUUCACACAUCGAAUUUUAAAAAUAAUAGAACUUAACUUAAUAAAUUUAAUAGUUAUCAUUUGGUUAGGAUUAAAAUUUUUAAAUUCUAAAAGUAGAGAUUGAAAAUGAACAAAUUAAAGGACAUGUACUAAACCUACAACUUAUGUAACGUACAGGGCCUAAUAGUAGAAUUUGACCUAAGAACCGGUUGGGCAUAAUUUUGUUGUAAUUGCAAAACCCUAAUUCCCAAUAUACCAACGGUACUAUAUAUACUUUCUUAUGCCUUACAUUCUUGCUUUUCAGUCUCCGCUGACCUAUCAUUUUAUCAUUCAAAACCCUAAAGGCCGCUCCCGCCGCAAGCGCCGACGAAAAUGGCAGUCUCCGAGGGAUUGGUUCUCCGCGGCACCAUGCGAGCCCACACCGAUAUGGUCACCGCCAUCGCCACUCCCAUUGAUAACUCCGACAUGAUCGUCACUUCCUCACGUGACAAAUCCAUUAUCCUUUGGCACUUAACCAAAGACGAAAAAACCUACGGCGUCGCGCGUCGUCGUCUCACCGGCCACUCUCAUUUCGUCCAAGAUGUUGUCCUCUCCUCAGAUUCCCAGUUUGCUCUCUCCGGUUCCUGGGAUGGUGAACUUCGUCUAUGGGACUUAAGCGCAGGAACCUCCGCUCGUCGUUUCGUUGGCCACACCAAAGAUGUGCUUUCCGUUGCCUUUUCAAUCGACAACCGUCAGAUCGUCUCAGCUUCUCGUGAUCGAACUAUCAAGCUUUGGAAUACCCUUGGAGAAUGCAAAUACACUAUCCAAGAGGGCGAUGCUCAUACAGAUUGGGUAAGCUGUGUUCGUUUCAGCCCAAAUACUCUUCAACCCACCAUCGUUUCGGCUUCCUGGGAUAAGACCGUGAAAGUUUGGAACUUGACCAACUGCAAGAUUCGUAACACAUUGGCCGGACACACUGGUUAUGUGAACACGGUGGCGGUUUCGCCUGAUGGUUCUUUAUGUGCUAGUGGAGGCAAAGAUGGGGUGAUUCUGUUGUGGGAUUUAGCCGAAGGAAAGAAGCUUUACAGCCUUGAAGCUGGUGCCGUAAUUCACUCGCUUUGCUUUAGUCCUAAUAGGUACUGGCUUUGUGCUGCAACGGAGCAGAGCAUCAAGAUCUGGGAUUUGGAAAGCAAGAGCAUAGUCGAAGACUUGAAGGUUGACCUCAAGGCCGAGGCUGAGACAUCUGCAGCCACUGACAACGCAAACAAAAAGAAGGUGAAAUUGCUUUUAUUCAUUACUGUCCUUCAAUUCUAGUUUAGCGAAGCCUUUUUGAUGUUUUCUUAUUUGUUUUUGCUUUCUAUCCAUCUUCGUCUAUUUUGAAUGUCUUAUUUUUGGUUGGAUGUUUUGAUAUAAUUUGUUUAACUAUUGGCAUUUUCACAAAUUGGGAUGAAAUUUUAGAUGCAAUGUAGCUUUGCUUUUUUUUAAUUGUUGGAACAAUUUUAUAGCUUUCUGGCAUCCUAAGAAUCUUUUGACAUAUGAUUAUGGAGAUUACCUAUUAUUGUGUUCCUUCCAACGCAUAUAGGUGUCAACGGGGCUGCUUGGUGAAUACCAUUUACCAUGAAUUUAUUUAGACUACCCUUUUAAUUAUCCUCUCGUUCUGAAUGAUUCGUUUUCACUUUAUACAACUUAUGUAUUUCUUUCUAGAAUUUUUGUUACUGUUUCUUUGAGCUGAUAUAGAUUAGUUUUUAUCAUAUAUGCUCAUCGCCCAUGUUCCAUUAUGCUGCUACUUUUUUAAACCAUGAUCAUGCUUCUUAAGUAGUUUAUUCUUUUCUAAGCGUACUAUUGUAAUGUUCAAAGCUUGGAAUUUGUCAUUGUUCCUUAUGUUACUCUGACUCAAGGUGUAUGUCGGAUAUGGGCAUUUGUAUGGCAAUGAUAUGAUCAUAUCAUAUGUUAUUUGUACUUCCUUAUUUGUAACAAAAAGAUCAUNNNNNNNNNNNNNNNNNNNNNNNNNNNNNNNNNNNNNNNNNNNNNNNNNNNNNNNNNNNNNNNNNNNNNNNNNNNNNNNNNNNNNNNNNNNNNNNNNNNNNNNNNNNNNNNNNNNNNNNNNNNNNNNNNNNNNNNNNNNNNNNNNNNNNNNNNNNNNNNNNNNNNNNNNNNNNNNNNNNNNNNNNNNNNNNNNNNNNNNNNNNNNNNNNNNNNNNNNNNNNNNNNNNNNNNNNNNNNNNNNNNNNNNNNNNNNNNNNNNNNNNNNNNNNNNNNNNNNNNNNNNNNNNNNNNNNNNNNNNNNNNNNNNNNNNNNNNNNNNNNNNNNNNNNNNNNNNNNNNNNNNNNNNNNNNNNNNNNNNNNNNNNNNNNNNNNNNNNNNNNNNNNNNNNNNNNNNNNNNNNNNNNNNNNNNNNNNNNNNNNNNNNNNNNNNNNNNNNNNNNNNNNNNNNNNNNNNNNNNNNNNNNNNNNNNNNNNNNNNNNNNNNNNNNNNNNNNNNNNNAUAAUAAAUAAUUUAAUCAUAUUUAAACAUAAUUAUUAUUAAAUAUAUUUUAAUUAAAAUAUAUAAUUUAAUAAAAUUCUUAAUAAUCAAUAUUCUUAUAUGAAUUUACUCAAAUCAUAAUAUAUGAUACUAUAAAAUAUAAAUUAACAUAAUUAUUAUUAAAUAUAUUAUAAUUAAAAUAUAUAAUUUAAUAAAAUUCUUAAUAAUUAAUAUUCUUAUAUGAAUUUACUCAAAUCAUAAUAUAUGAUACUAUAAAAGAUAAUUUGAAAUAAUUAAUAUUAAAUAUAUUUUAAUUAAAAUAUAUGAUUUAAUAAAAUUUAAAAUAAUUAUAACUAAUAAAUUAUCUUAUAUGAAUUUGUAUAAUUUAAAAUAAUUAUUAUUACAUAUAAUUUAAUAAUAAUAUAUAAUUUCAUAAAAUUCUUGAUAAUAAAUUUUCUUAUAUGAAUUUAUACAAUUUAAAAUAAUUAAUAUUAAAUAUAAUUUAAUAAUGAUAUAUAAUUUCAUAAAAUUCUUAAUAAUAAAAUGUUCUUAUAUGAAUUUACUAAAAUCAAAAUAUAACUUGAGAAUUAUAAUCUGCAUAAACACUCAAUCCGAGUUCCAAACAUACGUGCCAAGGAAGACGAUUAUUAAACGUGUCAUUGUAUUAUUUUGGCUUGUUUCAUGUUUAAGUUGAUAAGAGAAUUCUUGGACCGCCAAGAUUUACAUAAAUUAAGUAAAAUUUAGUUUCAACUGUAUCGGUUCAAAACAAGUAAGAUUUGCCAGUCCAUGCUUUGCUGGCUUUUAAGUUUAAAACAGAUGGCAUAUAGCUGACAAUUUUCAUCGAGGAAAACAAGUAGUCUGUUCUACCCAAAAUAUCUCAAGAGUUUUAAACAAAAGGUAGUUAGUUAGAUGUAAACACGCCUUUUCUGAAACCUACAAAUGUCAAUGGCUAGUUCUUAAUUACAAGCAGAUCAUCCUCCUUGCAUAUGGGCACCUAGUUCACCAAACUGAUCAUCAGCUUCCACAGUAUCCUCAAACAGGCGAACUGCAUCCAGCUUCUGUUUCAAGAUUUCUAUAGCAUUAAGAACCAACUGAGAAGCUUUGAUCGCACCAGUGGAUUCAACUGUAAAGAUGAAACUGUCUUCUUUGGCAUAUAUCUCCACAAGACCUGGCUUGCCUAUAGCUUCAGCUUUCUUUAGCACCUCAUCGUUAUAGGUAUACGCCUCUGGAUCAACCACCACAACCUGUUUUCAAGAUAAAAAUAGAAUUCAUAGUUAGCAGCGCCAACAGCAGCAGCAGUGAAAUAGCAUAACCUCCAAUUUUUGGCUCACAAUAUAGGGACUGAACGAAUGCACUCAACAUACAUGAAACAUAUGAUGCUCAAGCAAGUCAGAACAGCUAUCUACACAAAAUAUGAGGCAAAAAAAAAAGCACUAAUCAAACGAACUAAUUCCGAAAUGCUCCAACACUCACUGCAAUAAUAGUCAGUAACAACAUUACGGUAUCAUUGGAGACUUCCUAUAGAAACAAGGUUUUCAAUACAGUAAUGGCAGCAGUAGCAAGCAGGCCCCAUUUAAAUGAAAGCAGAAAGAAAUGUAGUUUGACACCUCGUAUCUUUAGCUUUGAGAUAAACACAGGGUGGUAUUAACAGCCCUAAUACAAGGAGAAACACUCCAAUCCAGAAACCUAAACUGAAGCUCAAGUUCCAUCAAUAUCCUCAUGAUUCACAAAAGUAAAAGGCACAUAAGAGGAACUUUUGUAAGAAACAUAUAAAGACAAAAUGCUACUAAAACACAUCCACAUUUUAAGCUCAAGCAAACUAGAAACUCUAAAAGAAAAGACCUUGAUGACGUGCAAAGCAAUUCAAUCCUCCUAUUGGACAGACCAUAGAUGUAAUUAAUCAAAACCAGCAAUUGCUUUAACAAUCCAGAAGCUCUAGUGAUAGCCAACACAACCCAAAGCUUAAUCCCAAACAAUUUCUUUGUUAGAAUAGAUGUAAUGAUGUAGAAAGUAAAGGCAUAGCAUACCUGUUGGGUAUUUGGGUCAAUGUCAAAGAAUAAGAUCAUUGCUCUGCAUUUUAUGAAGUAUUGAUUAGACUUGGCAAUUAAUUAUAACGGCACAGCCCUUAUAGAACUCGGGAAGAUUGUGAAACUUGUAAACCUCGUUAACAGCCUGAAUUUGCUUAGUUAUCUGCGAGUUAAUUGCAACAAAGUAAAUGCCAUUUAUUUGGAAAUAAAAGAACAGUGGAAUAUAGAGGGAAAAGAAAAAGAACUGCAAGAUGAGCAUCCCGAUUUGUUCUACAUAAGAUAGCCAUCCUACUGAGAGUAGAUACGACUUAAAUACUUAAUUGUCAGGAAAUGAGAAUAGAACAAAUACCCGACCAGUAUGACAAACCAGUGCAAAAUAAACAUUAUUUAGAAGUUUUUAAAAUAUAAACAUCAUUCAAAUAUGGGCAUGAACUAUGAAGUAUGACUCUCCAAAUAUAUACAAGUGCCGAAUGCCAUUUAACUAUCCAAAGUAUGACUAGAUAUUGGAAAAGGUUCAACUAUCCAAAGGAAUUACAAUCAUGUCAAAUACUAUGAUAUAGGCAACCACUCAAUACAAUUUUUAAACUCGAAAACUGCAUUAACAUACGAGAAUCAAAAUCAGAUAGAACACGAAAUAGAACUCAAAUCUCAUUGACCAAAACAACAAACAAACGGGUAUAUUUUAGUUUAUGCAAAGUCCAUCAUCACUUAUUAACUAAUAUCAUUACAAAAGAAUAAAAUUACAAUGCUUUUCAGCCAGCUAUCCGAAAGAAACCACUAAAUGUUUACCUCAGACAUGUGAAGCAUGGCCAUUACCACCCAAUUCCACAACAGCCGACUUCUCUUUCACCAAACCAUCUUCUUCUUUAAUCCCACUAUCGAGAUCAUCAUCGGAAUCCAAAGUGAAAUUCCCCCCAUUACUAUCCAUUAGCUGUAUUUCAGCCCCUAAUGGCUUAUACCGCAAACCAUCCCCUGAAGCACCAACAACAACACCGUUUCUUUUGCCAAUAAGCGAUAACAUCCCAACAACCAGAACCACAAGCAAAGCAAGAUGGCAAUUGAAUUGCAAUGUGGCAAUAAACCUUGCUCUAUGAUAAUCAGGGUGACUUCUGCAUUUAAUAGUAUAAUUCCCUCUACUUUUUUCAUGUAAGCUACAUCCAUGAACCAUCAAAUUAGUGUAAAAUGAAAAUCCCAUUUGCACAAACCAUGUUCCGUGUAAAAUCAACCCAAUACCUCGUACCGAUUUCGAGUAAAUGGACCUGUUAGAUCUCAAUUCUAACAUGGUUGAAACCACACAAAUUGCUAUGGGAACACAUAAAGGAUCAAAAUAUCUAUUCUCAAUCCCACUUGUAUCCUUUCUUUGCAAGUAAUACAACAAAAAUUCUUCAACAAAAGCUAAAAGCAGAACUAAUUCAAGAACAGGAUCAGGCCAAAAGUAUGAACCUUUCUUAUUAUUUAAAAGACCCAAAGCAGAGUAAAGCAAGAAGAGCAGAGCAAGUGAGAGCACUUGUAACUGGAGCACCGUCCCCACCCGAUCUUUUGAACUGAAAGCAUCAAAGAUUGAAACCACAGAAUUUAAGAAAAUCGAAAGGGAAAAGAUUGAUACAAAGAUGAAAGAUGGUGAAGAAGAAAAAGGGUUCUCUUUAGUUUUAGAAAUAGAGGCAGAUUUGAUCUGGGUUGAAAGUGAAGAAGAAAAUGGAGUUGGACUCGGGUUGAGGCAGAGGGUAAAACAGGGAGGGGAAACUGAAGAGGCAUCUAAUCUGGGCAAAAGAGAGGGAUUAGAAAUCGGUGGUUUUCACCGAUUAGAAAAGUAAUGUAUUACACGCGUAUUAGCAAUACAUUGAACCAAACGACCGAAUAAGGAGGGAUUAGUGGGGCCCACCGAUUAGGGGUGGAUUGGGUUAUGUUUACUGUUGUUGCUGCUAAUACUGGGUUGCUUGACCCGAGUUACAAAUCAAUCGGAUAUAAAGCUAUUUACAUCAACCGCCACAUCGUCAGUUAAUGCUGAACACAUAGGUCCCGUUUCGCAUUGCGUAUUCGAGGUGGAAAACUGCUUUCCAAUUUCAAAAGUAAAGCCCAACAUUUGAUUUUUGGGUUAAAAGUAAAGCCCAAUAUUCGAGGUGUUCUUCGUUUUCGGUUUUUGUUUUUGGUGGUGCUAAUAUUCAAAAUACUUUUAUUUAUAUUAAUUAUUUAAAAUAUAUUUCUAAUUUAUAUUUUAUACAUUAUUAUAUUAAAUUAUUUAAAUAUUCUAUUUCAUUAUAUUAAAUUAUUUUAUUUAAUACUUCAAAAUAUUUCAUGUGCAUUUGAAUUUAUAAAUAAUUUAUUAAUAUAAUUAUAUAAAUUUAUUUAAAUAUUAUCUAAAUUAAUUUAUUUUUUAUUUUUAACGUCAUAUUUAAAAUGAAAAUUUUAACAUUUUACCUCAAUUUUUAACAAUAAUGCUAAACACAUUUUCACAGUACUUUUUAAAUAUAAUUUUUAAAAAUUAAUUUUUUCAAAAGCGCAUAUCAGCCACAAUAAUAUUGACAAACUAGUCCAUAGUUAAAUAACACAGAUAAUUUUUUAGACCAAAAGCUAUAAUAAAACAAUAAUUUAAUACUAAAAUAGAAAAAGAAAGCAUUUCCACUGUUGCAAGCUUUCUCGUGAGAAACAACGCUAAUGGUUAGGUUGUUAAAAUUAUCUAAUGAAUCAAAGUUUCAAUGCUAUAUUUUGCAGGAAUAUUAUUAUUUUUCUUCAUAUUUUAAUAUAUCAUGUAACAAUAAAUUAAUUUCAAUUGGUGAUAUUUAGUUUUAGUAAAGAAAAGAAAAAUAUUUGUUUAUUUUAAAGAAGUUUUAUUUUUUUAUAAUAGUUAUUACUCAUCAUUUUAAUUUCAAGUUUAAUUUUUUUUUAAUUAUUCGUUUUUUUAUGUCUAACUAUUUUAACAAAUGUAUUAAAUAAAUUACUAUACUAAUAAUUAGUGGCGAAUAAGCCUUUUUAUAAUUUAUAAAAUUUUAAAUUAGUAAUGGUAAAAUUAUACUUUACCCCUUAAAUGAUAAAAAUUUAAUUUAAUUAUUUUAAAUUUUAUAAAAACAUAAUCUAUUAAAAAUGAUGAAAUUACAUUUUUACUGUCGUAAAAAUAUACAAUUUAAUUCAUCCUCUCAAUAAAUUCUUUUUAGCUUCCCCUACUAAUAAUCAAAUGUAGUAUAAAUGCUUUGAUGGAGUGAGCAAUUAAACCCACUUAGUAAUCCCCUAUGAUUUAUUAUUAAAAUGAAUAAUAUUCUUUAAAAGCUAAAUAACAUUUAUUAUAAUAAAUUAUUAUUUGUUUUAUUAAUAAUUGGGUUAAGGUUCAAAUUUGUCAUCAUAUUAUAAGUGAAUAUUGAAAUUUGUUAUUAUAAAUUUUCAUAGAUAUUUGCCAUUAUAUUUUGGAACUAUGAGUAAAAUUAUCCUUCAACCCUUAUGUGAUUGAAUUUUACUACUAAACUUUGAAUUUUAUUAAAAUUUACAAUUAACUUUAAUUUUUAAUCAAAUUUUACUACUCGAUAAUAAAUUUGAUGAUUUUAAAAAAAAUUGAUAAAAUAAAUUCUUUCAAAUAUUUUAUUUUAAUAGUUAAUAAUAAUUUUAACUUAUAAACAUUAAAAAUUAGUAAACUAAAUUAGAAUAUCUAUUUAAUGAAAUAAAAACUUGAAAAAUAAUACAUAUAUUCUAAAAGAAAAUUUUAAGUUUAUUUUUUAUAAAAUAUUCGUUUUCAUUUAAUUUUAAUAGUAUAUUAGUUAAUUUAUUAUUGUUAAAUAUUAAAAUAAAAUAUAAAAUAUAUUUUUAAUUAAAUUUUAUCUUCAAAUUAUUUUAAAUUAAAAAUGAAUAGUAAAAUUUAAUAAAAAAUUUAACUUUAGUAACAAAAUUAAAUUAAUUAAAAGUAAAGUCACAAAAUUCAAUACAAAAUUAAAAUAUAGUGAUAAAUUUAUUUAUAAUCCACAAGGACGAUGGCAAAUAUCAAUCAAAGUGAAGUAUAGUGAUAAUUUUUAAUUUCCACUUAAAGUAUAGUGACAAUUUUUUUUUAUUAAUCCAUAAAAAUAUUAAAAUAAUGUUAGCAUCAAGAUUGUUGUCAAUAUAAGAGAACGCGUGUUCGAGCACGUUGAAACAUUUUAAUCCUUUUUAUAUAAAAGUUAAAAAAAAUUAUGAAUAUUUUUAGUUAUUAUAUAAAAUAUUUAUUAAUAUAGCGAUAGUCUAUAUGGUUGCUACAAUUUCUCCAAAGAGUUAAAAUCACGUAAAAUUUAUUAAAAAAAGAAAAAAAAUAGCAUUAAUAUGUAACUCUUUUCGAAUAAUGAUGUUUCUCUUCUCAAAAUGGGAGGAGAUUUUUUUUUAAUAUUUAAUUUUUAUUGAUAAAGCAAAUUUUAUCCAACAAAUAUUAUUCUGUAAAAAUAAAAUGAAGCCCCUGGAAAAUAAAUUGCACGCAUAAAAUGAAAAUGAAGAAAAUAAGAAAGGCUGGAAGUUCUUGUAGUGCAAGUAUUGGCUUCUACAACUAGAGGUGGACAGACUGCUUUUGCUUCCUUGGCUGCCAAACAAUGUUUAGAUUGAUGCCUACACAGUUGACUACCCAUGAUGUCACAUCCACUUUCAUAACUGCUUUUGCUCCACGCAUAAACUCGCCGCCUUCAAUCUCUUCACGCAAUGAAAAAGACGUGAUUAUGCAGGAUUAUAGGAUUGAAAAAUAACUGUUUAUAAAAAUAUUUUAUUUUAAAAUUUAAAUUUCUUAAUUUAAUUAGUAAGUAAAUAAAAUCAGUUUUUAAAAGUUAUGAUCUAAUUCUUAUUAAAUUUUCCAGAAUAAAUUGUUAAUGAGUCUCUUCUACGAUAUUAUUAAUCAACAUCUAAUUAAGUUGUUAUUUUUCACAUGUGAAGGAUUUAUUAAAGUCUUUACUUUAUGCUUAAAAAGUUUGAAUUGAGUCACUAGACUUUGGACUAUUCUAAUAUGAAAGUUACUGGGUCAAAUAGUUGGACUAACAAUAGGCUUCUCUGUGUAUGCAAAUCUUUAUAUAAGUAGUUUACAUUUCCUCCAUGAUUAUUUAUUUUAUAUUAAAAAAUUCAAUUCAAACUCAAGCUUUAGUUUAAGUAUAGCCCUUUUACUCUUUUUUUUUUUUGAAAAAUUUAGAUUGAAGACAAUAUUUUUAAUUGAUUAUGCAGGCUGGGUUAAUUUGAUUCGCUUCAGCACAUCGUUCAUCCGUUCAAGGUACAUUUUUUUCCUCAUCUCUUGUUUAGAAUUUAGCUCGUGAUAAAUAUAAACAUAACUAAUUUAUAGGAAAAAUAAUAUAAUAAAUAUCGAUUGACUUUUAACUUGAUUAAUAUGCGCAUUGACAACAAUAGGACUUGAGUUCAAGUACGCAUUAUUCUCUUAUUUAUAAAUUUGGGAGGAAUUAUGAAUAGUUUUAGACAUUGUAUCAAAAAUAACAUGUAAUAAAUAAUAUAUAAUUAAUGUGCUUAAAUACUAUUUUUAAAAUUUUACUUUUAAAAAUAUGUAUUUAAUUCGUAGUUAAAAGUAAUAAAAUGAAACAGCUGAUGUUAAGCUUUUAUUAGUCAAACUAUUUUACUAGAAAUAUAUACUUUUUUUUAUUUUCUUUGAUUAAUUUUUUUUAAUAAAGUUUUCGUUUAUGGUUUUUUUCUCAAUUUGAUGGACUUUUAAGUUGAUAUUUUUUACUAAAUUAUUAUAAUUUAAUGUAUACAAGUCAACAAGAAUAAUUUCAAAAAAUAUUUCAACUCAGAUAAUAUUUAGUUGAAAUUUUUCUAAAAUAUAAUUUAAAUUUGAUUAAAAAUCUUAUAACAAUUUAUAGCGAUAUAUUUUUUAUCGAAUCCCGAUGAUGAUAGUCUAAGAGUCAUUUUGGAAGAACCGACAUCGUCGGAGACAAGCAUGUCUAUGAUAUGAACUCUAACAUAGAUCCGAGGGAUUGAAUGUCAGCAAAAUAUUAUUGCCAUAAAUUAAGCUCUUCAAGAUACUUUUGAUUUGCAUCAUUUAUAUGAUCUUAUCUAUACUAUUAAGUCCUCGAUUAAAUUGAUGUCAUGAGUUAAUCGUGUAUCAAUUGAAUUGAGUAAUGAUUAAAAUGUUCUUAUUUUACAAAAUAAAUUAUAUUAUUUUGAAAAAAAAAAUUACAUCUUUUAUAUAGAACUAUAAAUUUUAUCACACAUGUGUGUGGAAACAACAAAUUAAGAAUAUAAUGUGUGUUAAAAAAUAACAAACAUAAUUAAAAAUAACACAUAAAAUAUGUACGACGUUAUUAAAAUAGUUUAUCAUGGUUGUCAUCAAUUUUAACUUGUGAAGUCCUAUCACAUGGAUAAAUGUGCGAAACCACAAAUUUAGAACACGGAUGUGUGUAUUUAAAAAACAUACUCGUGUGAUAGGAUUUCUAAUUAAUAGUAUGGAUAUACAAUUGAUGCAAGUAAUAAAGCGUGCAUAAUAAAAUUAAAAUGUAUAAAAAUAUUAAAGCUAAGCUUUAGUUGAGUAGUAAAUUAAAAGUUUUAUUAAUGCAAUUGAUUUGUAUUCAAAUCUUAUCGUGCUCGUAUUUUCAUUUAUUUCUUUUAAAAUAAAAAGAUUAAAGUGCCUUCGAAUAAUAUAACUUAUUUUAAUUAUGGAAAGACAUUUUCAUAAUUUUUCUAACUGAGUUGGUGACCCGAUUGAGGGUGACAUCGACUUAGUCAGAAGCUUAAAUAGUAUAAAUAAUAAAACAACAAAUAUGAAUAAUAAGAUUUAAACCUAAAAUAUAACCAUUUUUAACAUUUGUACUUUAUCAUUUUAAUAAAAAACUCUUUUAUUAUUUACUUUAAUUUUCACUCACACAAUGCAUAGGAUAGUUUUUUUUUUAAAAUUAUAAGAGAAAAGUAAAGCCUUAACAGCAACACAACUAAAGUAACUCGAACCCAAAAUACACCUAAAAUGAUAAAUAGCUUGACUAUCAUGCCAACACAUAAAGUUGACAAUGUAUGAGAUAGUUCAAUCAACAUCCAAAAUAAUAGUUGAUUUACAGCUAAAUCAAUUAGUUUUUUAACGGUUCUAAAGGUUAAGUUAUGGUAAAACUAAAUUAGGUUAUUAAAUAUUCACCAACCUAAAAUCCAUAUGUUUGGUAUUAUCGUGUUAUUUUAAAAUAUUAUAAUUUUUUUUUAUAAAUUUAUAUAAGUUUUAUAGUUAAUAAUUUAUUUUUGUCAUAUUUGUAUUCAUACUCUACUCAUAUAUAUACGUAUUUUAUAUUUUUGUGAUCCUGUUAUUUUUGUAUCUAUAAUUUAUAUAUAUUAUGCUAAUAAUUAAUUAUAUAUUAACAUGUUCAUACAUGCAUACUGUGUCAUUUUUUUUUGUCUCAUUCAUGUUUGGUGUUGUUUGUCGUAAUGAUUGAAUUUAGAGAAUGAUUUGUGAUUGGUUAUGUAACAUGUUGUGUCAUCUAUUAUAUUAUAAUGAUUUAAUUUAAAUAAAUAUAUAUUCUAAUUGUAUUCAUAUUAUAUUUUGUGUUUACACUGUUAUAAUUUUAUUUAAGUAUAUUGAGGAGGGUCGAUUUUUUCAAAAAGAAAAAUUGAAGUGUCGUUUAUUAGACAAUCAGUCGAUUCCCCAACAAUUAAAUGUAUUGUUUUUAAGUGGGGCUUUUAUCUAUUGUACUCUGUUGAGAGUCAGCAUGUCAUGAGAACAUGCUUGAUGGACUUAGUUCACAGAACUGGGAGUGCCUCGAUUGUUGGAUUUACAAGACUUAAUGGAAAGAUAUUAGUAUAUGUAUUGAAUGACUCGACAAGUAAAUGGCCUAUAUGCCUUAGGUUGGUGAUUUGAGUCUCUCCACUGCACACAAGUGAGCUCCAUAAUUAUUCACACGCUUUGUAUUGACAUCUCCCACUCAAGUCUUGCAGGUUUACCAAUUGAGGAGCUCUUGAGUUAUUGAACCAAGUCCCAAAGCAUGUGUUUACGAUACGCUAGCUUUUAAUAGAGUAUGAGAGAUAAAACCCUCACUGAGGGACAAUAUAUUCGGUUAUUGGUAGACCCGUCAACUACUUGAUGACUGGCACUUCAAAAAUUUCUCCCAAAAAAUAUAGAUGAAGAUUGCAGAAUAUUUAAAAUAUAAUAACUAUAAGAAGAUAACAGUGCUCAAGGAAAAAAAAAAGUACUAUACUUGCUCUAGUGACAAGGUGUGUGUAUACAAUUUUCUGCCUCCCACCUUUGCUAUUUCUAUUCCACUUACUCGUUACUCAUACACUACAUUAUUCCAUCAUCUCUAAACAAUCUUUUAUCUUGUUCCAUCAUCUCAACUUUCAAACUAUUUUCUCAUGAACUUGCCUCAAUAUUUAUCCAACCUCUCCAGCAUACAAAGUUAUAUUUCUCAAUCUUCAAGUGUCGGCUUCACCUCUGCCCUUUACAAACUCGACAAAUCUAUUAAAUAAUUCAGCAACUCAAUUACUUCACUAAAAUUUUCUCAAACUCAUAUAUGAAAAAUAUAAAUGCGAAAGGGAAAAAAAACUUAUUUUUCCAAAGAAAACUUUACUACAUACGUAUUUGUAUUUAUAAAUUUAAAUUAUAUGAUUUCCUUUUGCAAAUUAGUAACAAAUUUCAACAUAUUUAAUAUAACUAAUUCAACACAUCAAAUUAUUUAAACUAAAUGUUCUGUCAUAUAAGCUUUACAAAUUCUAAUAAAUUCAUAACAUAUUCAGAUUUAUUUAAAGAAAAAAUAAUUUUACCAUAUUUAAUUUAUUCUAUGUCGUUGGUGCCAAAAAGUAGUCAGGUCUAAAGAUUAAUUCCCCUAUAUCAAUACGCUCUUCUUUGGCUACUGAAAUGGAGGCUGGCCACUGUUUUUUUUUUCUUCCUCAUUAUGGUACCUUCAUACAAGAUUAUGUUUCUUUUCUUCUUUUUUUAGUAUUUCAGUCAAAUUGAUGUUUGCUUAAACUCUUGUCUAAUUUCAAAAUUUUCCUGCUUUUUAUUUUUUGGUUUCUCAUACUUUGCCUGAUUUUCCAUUAUUUCCGUCUUUUUUUUUUCUCUUUUAUCAUCCAGAGCUGAGAGCUCGAAAAACUUACUUUCUGCUUUCCCCCCCUUUUCUUUUGGGUUUGGAAUUUGGAGUUAAGUUGUGAUGGAAAAUUUGGAGAAAAAUAAAAGUAAAGCGUUGUAAAAAUUCUGAUAAAUUAAAGAAUUUUAAACUAACACGUAAAGAAAAGAGAAAAAAGAGAAGAAGAAAGAAAUGGAUCCGUCGAAGAAAGUGGCGGAUAGGUAUUUGAAGCGCGAGAUUCUUGGUGAAGGUACUUACGGUGUUGUCUACAAAGCCAUUGAUACUAAGGUAACCCUAAACCCUAAUCCUAAAUCUUGUUCUUUCUUUCUUUUUUUAAUAGCUUUUAAAAUUGAAUACAGAAAUAGAAAAAUUAGUUGGAAUGCGUAAUUAUCCUUUUUCUCUCUAAGGUAAAUUGUAAGGAUCAAAUAAUUUAGUUCAUUUGCUAUCAACUUUGUGUUACUAAAAAUUUUGUCACUCGAGGAUCAAAUAAUUUAGUUCCUGUGCUAUCAACUUUUGGUUACUAAAAAUUUUGUCACUUAACUGAGUUAAGUGUCUGGAAAAGAAUUAUAGGAUUACUUCAGAUGGAGAUUUUGCUAUUUCGCCUCUGCAGUCUGCACCCCCUUUCACUUUUUAAGCCAAAUGCCAUUUUCUGAAAGUGGAACAAGCAACUCCAGUUACAUGAAGCUAGUUGCAGUUCUCUUUAAUUUUCAUAACUGUUCAAUACAAAACUGUUUUCUAGAAUUUUUGGCUGGCUAAAUUGUUUAUUCAACUGUUAUAACUGCAAUUGUUUGCUUGUUUGGUCCAUUGCAGACGGGACAGACUGUUGCAAUUAAGAAAAUUCGGCUGGGGAAGCAAAAGGAAGGGGUGAAUUUUACUGCACUCAGAGAAAUUAAACUGCUUAAGGAGCUUAAAGAUCCAAAUAUAAUUGCUUUAAUAGAUGCAUUCCCACACAAGGGUAAUUUGCAUCUUGUGUUCGAGUUCAUGGAGACUGACCUUGAAGCUGUUAUUCGAGAUCGUAAUAUAUUCCUCUCACCAGCUGAUAUCAAAUCCUACAUUCAGAUGACUUUGAAAGGGCUUGCUUUUUGCCACAAGAAAUGGGUUUUACACAGGUCUUGUUUCGGUUUGCUCUUAGCCUAGUUUUGUAUGUUUGCUGCUUCAUAAAUUGUUUUAUUUGUUAUUUUGCUUUACAGGGAUAUGAAGCCGAAUAAUUUGCUAAUAGGAUCCAAUGGACAACUUAAACUUGCAGAUUUUGGUUUAGCACGCAUAUUUGGCAGCCCAGAUCGUAAGUUUACUCACCAGGUAAGCUUAUAGCUGCUAAGUGGUGUUUUCAAUUUUAUCAGUACUGACUAAUUGGUGCUCUGAAUAGCUAUAGCAUCUUCUUUUUUCUCUCCAUAAUUUUAUAAAAUUUCUGUUGUAUCUUGGAUUAGUACUUUCUUUUAGGAAUAAACUUACUUUGUGGCAGUGCUAACUUCUUGACCUUUCAAAGAAAGUCCUCACAACCACAGCUCUCUUGUUUUCUGCAAUCACUAUGUUUCUAUGGGAAAAGUUUAGAAACUGGGUUUAUAUUUGUUCUUGUUUUCAGUUUUAACUUCUUGCUUUCUACAUUAUGGCUUAAUUAGUUAUGUUGGAACUAGGUUAUGUACACAACACGCAUGUUGUUUUGUAGUAAAUAUCAUUGAUAUCUUGUGUUAUAUCCAUUAUUUCGUUGGACCCUUAGCUUUUGUCAUUGAUGUCGUUAUCAUAGUAUUUUAAAACAAAAAAUGCAAAUAUAGCUAGUUUUGUGGAGAGAGACCAAUAAGAUCAGCAAGGGUAUUUGUCCCAUCUUUUUUUGUUCUUUUCUUGGUAUUGCAUACUUUUUGAUGUAGAAACCUGCUUAUCUAUUUAUUUAUUUACACAUUAGUGACCUCUUCUUGAAAAGUUAUUGAUUUGGAUUUAACUUACUUGUAAGUCCAUGGAACUAUAAAUAGGUCUUUGCUCGAUGGUACAGAGCUCCUGAGUUACUUUUCGGUACCAAGCAAUAUGGUGCUGGUGUGGAUGUUUGGGCAGCUGCCUGUAUAUUUGCUGAACUUCUCCUCCGUCGACCAUUUCUGCAGGUAAACCUUUUGUAUAGUCAAAGUUCUCUGGUGUUAGGUUUUUCUUGUUUUGAUAUUUGCAUGAUGUCAAGUUAUAGAUUACCUUAUUUAUAUAUUCCUGCUGGUUAUAGCAGUCUUUUAUAUAUAUAAUUAAAUGAUGAUAUGUGAUGAUUGAAUCUCAUUUUUCAGUUUUCUUCUUUUAUCACGUGGCCUUGCUAAAAACAUCGUCACCAUCAUCAAGUUAUAAUCAUAACGAGUUAUUGCUAUAUGGCCAUUUGUAACUUGUUCUUUUAUCUGGUUUUUGUUCAACUGUGGGUGACUUGAUCUUCUUUUUAGUUCCCUAGGGAAUAUUCAUUUGUUCGGUUUCUUAGGCUUAUUCAUGGUAUUAUUCAAAUGAAGAUCAGAUCAGAAUUGGCUGCUGGUGCAAUGCUCUAAUGACAUGCAUGUCUCCAGCAGAUAAAAAGUAUUGCAGGCUGUUUAAGGAUGGCAAUGAUAUGUUUCAAAUUUGUCAAAAAUGUGAAUCAUUGCGUUUAAUGCGUGUUUAAACUGAACCUUGUUUUCUUGCUUUACCAAAUUAAAGACUGCUUAUGCUUAAUUGAAGCCAUUUUAACACUGAUUGUAGGUAGCUUGGCUAUGCUUGAUAAGCAUUUGGUUUUAGUUUUAUGUAGCCAAGAUCCUUGGUCUUGCACAGUGCAUCAAUGUGAUAUUUCUUUCCUAGCUUGUUUGGAUAUCCAUCAGAAAUUUUGUUGUAUUCAUUGUUCUGAUACCUUAUAUAUAUAUUCUGAUUGGUCUUAUCUUUAGUUCAUGUUAGAGGUGUGGAUGAUAACAGUUUGAUUCAUUUUGGUUUUGGAAAAAAAAAAAAAACAGAUAAUGUUAAAAAUCAAACUAAAGCUGAACUGAAUACAAUAUGUAACCAGAUUGACCUGAACCAACUUGAACUAAAUUCCAUCUAUUUGGUUUUUCGGUUUUUUAAAAUUUAAAAAAUAUAUUUUAUAUCUUUUACUAAUUUAGAAAUGUAAUAUUUAUUUUAAUAGUAUAAAAACUAAACACUAAUUAAAAUUAAAUAAAAAUAAAAUUUGGUUCAGUUCGAAUAAUUAUGGUUUUCUAUUAAUGAACCAAAAAUAUUCAUUAUUACAUCAAAUCCUAUAAAAACUGAACUGAAACCAAACUGAACACUGUGGCUUGAAUUGGUUUCUCAUUUUCUCUGUUUUCUGGUCAACCCUACUUUAGAGAUGCUGCUUCCCCUUUUCAAUGUUAAGUGUUAGACUAGAACCUUUUGUUUGAUUGCGUUAUAAGCAAUAUGUAAAUUGUAGUUUCGGUGUUACUAUGGAUUAUUACAUUGGGUUUUGCUGACUAGUUGUCAUUAUUGUCAUUAUAACAUGUUAAAAUGUCUUUUUGGUAUUCAUUUGACCUAUGAUACUUAUACUCUUCAUUUUCUCCGAAGUACCUGUGUCCAACACACAUUUAGAGGUGGGUAUUGGGGUAUGACCAUCCAAAUAUAUGGAAAAACUUGGAAGAAAUUCAGCAUAUACAUAUCAAACAUACACUGAUGUGGUUUAGGGGGAAUAAUAGUAAAUCAAUAGAAUUAUGCUGAACAAACGAGUAAGAAGUUGGAACUCUAGAAAACAUAAAAAUGUCUUCUAGUUUCUCUCCAUUAAUUCGAAGAAAAUAAUAAGAAUGUUGUGGCUGUAAAUAUUCUACAGCUUGUUAGGCUCUCUUUCAAAUAAGGUUUUAAUGCGAACCCUUUAUUUAAAAAAGAUAACUAAUACUCUUAGCCCUAGAUUUAAACCCUAAAGAUAUCUAAUAAUCCUAGCCAUUCUUAACGUAACAGUAAAGCUCCUGCUUCACAUACCCAUAUUUGAAAAUCAUCUCAGAAUCCGGGUGACAUAAAUUUUGACAAGCUCAUAUGUGGUUUCUUCUUUUCGGUUUUCCUUUAUUAUUAUGUACCAAUGCUUGCCGAUUUGAAGUUCCAUUCCCGGUAUAUUUUCUCAAUUUUCUGUGGUUCAACAUCUUACAUUUAAUAGGGUACAAGUGACAUCGAUCAGUUAGGAAAGAUCUUUGCAGCUUUUGGGACACCAACGCCCUCUCAGUGGCCAGAUAUGGUAUACCUGCCUGAUUAUGUAGAAUACCAAUAUGUUCCUGCACCACCUUUGCGUUCAUUGUUUCCAAUGGCCAGUGAUGAUGCUUUAGAUCUUUUAUCAAAGAUGUUUACUUAUGACCCAAAAGCUAGGAUUACGGUGCAGCAAGCAUUAGAGCACAGGUAUCAGGGAAUGUUUUAAUUGGAAAUAUAAAGAGAAUGUAUGGUUCUUUUCUAAUGUUUGUUCUUUUGUUCAGGUAUUUUUCAUCUGCUCCUCUACCUACAGAUCCAGCUAAGCUCCCUAGGCCUACCCCUAAAUCUCGUCCGUCAGAUUUUAAUCCCCAGGAAGGUCCCACUGUGCUUUCUCCCCCACGAAAAUCUAGGAGAGUAAUGCCAGAUCGUGACAGAUUUGAAGGUAAUUCCAACCUAUUGGAGAAGAUUGAUGACCAUGUUGGUGAAGCAAGACUGGCAGUUGGUGACCAUGCAGGAAAGAGUGACCAGGUGCCAAUGUCAGUAGAUUUUUCAAUCUUUGGGUCGAAACCUCUGAGUAGACCGACAAUUAACAGGUGAGGCAAUAGCUAUUUUACGGUAAUGUCAUAAUGGUUUUUUUUUCAUCCAUAAUUUCCUCAAAAGCAUGGGAAUUGAUUCAAAUGUGCAACACAUAGUUCGACUUAAAAAUGGAAUUUUUGAACCUUGUAUCAAUAAUUUUAAAUGGAGUAGUUUUUGGAUAAAGUUGGACAUAAUAUUAAUAUGGCUUGGCCUAUCCAAAUAGGUUAAUUAAACUAUAUCAAGCCUUUUCUGUUAAGCCUUCAUCUAGGGUUAUCCUUCUGAUUUCAAAUUCCUCGUUCUUAAGCAAGUCUGCAAAGUUGGAGAAAAUUCCUCAUAGGUUCAUCAUUUCAAAUUUCAUAAGAGAAUUUUCUCCAAUUAGAUUCUCUCUCUCUCUCUCUCUCUCUCGAUAGAGCCUAAUAGAUUUAUCUUCUUUUAAGUUGCCCUUGAUAAGCAAUGCUCGGAUAUUCUUUGAGUUGUGAGGUGGGUGCAUGUCAAUUGCGAGCUUGGAAGAUUUCUUAUUCUUUUCUUUUGUGGAGAAAAUGUAGUAGGCUUUAAGAGGGGGUGGAUUUUUGGCCGUACUUUUGAGGGUGGGUUAGCCUUUUUGCGUGCUGCUAGAUUAUAUGUUGUUCGCCGUUCCCUCCCACCCCAAACACAAUAUCAUUUAAAUGUUCAAUACCCAAACCCAACCCCAAAAAGAUCAAAAUUCCCUGGCAACCACCAGACCUGACCCAAAAUAUUAAAUAAAUUUUUGUAUUAUCUUAAUUUUUACAAGAUUAAUAAAAUACAUCUUACAAAAAUUAAAAAUAUCCAACUAAAAUAUACAAAAAAUAGUUACAAUGUUAUAAAAUCUUCUAGCAGCUUAAAAUUUCUAAUUAAAAUAUAUAAAUUAAAGAGGGUAUUUUGGUAAAGUUUUCAGGGAGGGGCAGUGCGGGUUUGAUCAAAACCCGGCUCCGAUUCAACCUUUGAAAAGUAAAAUUAAAAACCUGCCCUGGUCCAAACCUGAGUUUCAAAAAAUUAAAAAGAAAAAGUUCACCCCUAUUGAGUCCUAUCGGAUUGGAACUCUUCGGGUUUAUUUAAAUUGACCUCGGGAACAUGUUUUUAAUUGUUUGCAAAUAAGCUUUGAUUAUUUGUUCAUGAACAUAUCCAUUUAAUGUUCAUGAACAAGUUCAUUUACAAUUUUGGAAUUUUUAAAACACGAACGGAACAUGAACAAGCUUAAAAGUAAAUAUAGAAACACUAAUAGAAGUUUGGUCAUUCAAGCUCGGUUCAUUUAUAGCAUAAAUUCCAAUUAUACAAGUAUUUGUUUUUAUCCAAGAAUUCUUGCAAAAAAUAUCAACCAAUAGUCUUCCUGUACUUAAAUUUUUUUUCUAGAUGUUGCAGUAAGCUGAUGUAAGCAAUGCAUUUAUAUCAGAUUAGAUAGUCAUGCUACGUGAUAAAAAUUUUCUAAAUGAAAUCUGAACCUUUUACUGCAUAUCUAGCAGAUGCUUCUAAAAAUGUUAUAUAUAGUGUUAACCUUAACAUAUAAAUCAUAAGUUAGGUAAACAACAAGAUUGUAAUUAAGUGCAUUAAAUGAGAUUUUAGAAUAUUUCUAACAACCUUUGUGAAGUCUGACUUUGAGAAAUUGUCCAUGUAAUAAAGAAAAGGCAUGAAUUAGGAAAUUGAAUAACUUAUUAGCAAAUCCCUCUUUUGCCAAGUAAGUUUUGAAGAAUAUCUGUGUAGCAUCUUAUAUAUUGUAUUUUACCAUAUGGUGUUUAUUGUAUUAUGAAUCAUUGUUGAUUUGCUUCGCUCACUCACUGAUUACUACAAGGAUUGAUGUAGGUUGUGAAGCUCAGUAAAGAGCAUUAGUCCUUGUAAAUAUUGGCUUAAAUUGUUUUGAUAUCUCUGGUAAAUCUUUCCCAUAGUAAUUGGGUUAAUUAUAAAGUAAUUUAUAAAUUACACGGUUGCAUGGUUGCAUAUAGGUGUCUCUUCUGUUUUCAUAAGAAAGAAAAAAUCUCUAUAGAAAAAUCUUAUGCAUGUAUCUUUAAAUUUCUGUAUUCAUUUCAUGUUGUGUACAAUGAAGAAAAUUUAGAAUUAUGCUUCAGGAUAUGUUGGAUUAGCUUAGUUUGUGCAUCAUGGGAGUUGGCCUUCUACUUUGUCAGUUUGCUCUGUUUGCCUGUUAUCUUCAUAUGGUUUUUGUCUGCCUAAUUUUUGUUUCAUUUACUUUUUUUUCUCUUGUUACCGGUGUAGAAGGGUUUUUUUUUUUUCUUUUUCUUUUUUCUGGGUGUAACAUGUCAUGCAUAUUUCCUUACUAGAUUAUGAAUUGUACAUGUCCCCCAUUGAGCUGGCCAAGUGUACUUUUCUAGUUGGAAGUUUGUACUUUAAUGGGUUGGGGGUAAAGGAAGGUGUGCAAGAAAAAAGGGAUCAAGAAUGGGGAGUUUAUUUAGAGCCUCUUCAUUUAACAUGGUAGAUCUGUUGAACCAUUUAUUUACCAGAAUUUCCUUGUAAGCCCUAAUUAGAAUGAACCAAACAUAGAAUGUCCACCAUUUUGCUUUUUGGAAAUCUACUCUGCAUUUUGUUUACCUAUUGGCCUUACAAUACUUGGGUUCCAAGUUAUGAUCAUUUCUGACAUUUGGCAGAAAUUCAAGAUUCCAGAUGAGCAUUUAAAAUUAUAUAAGAUAAUAAAGCUUCAUAGUGAAAAACAUUACCUAAAAAAUACCUAUUCUACAGGUGAUUGUUAUUGUUGUGCUUGUGAUUAGCAUCUUCUUGUUAUAGGUGAUUGUUGAAUUUUAAGUCAUGAUGGGUAGGGUUUUUUGUCAUUGCCACUUAACUUAGUAUUAUGUUUAAGACACAAUUAGAGGUCUUUGCACCCCUAAAAAAUAAAAUACAUACUUGAU
RNAcentral lists this long non-coding RNA (100472 nucleotides) under Gossypium barbadense (sea-island cotton). Its description in RNAcentral is "long non-coding RNA (GBAR_LNC019504)". The stretch from base 69930 to 70119 matches the Rfam family "MIR159 microRNA precursor family". The record is from RNAcentral. Lineage: Eukaryota; Viridiplantae; Streptophyta; Magnoliopsida; Malvales; Malvaceae.